AAAAAAGACCUCGGUGAAGCUGCUUACAUAUUGAGCAUCAAGAUCUAUAGAGAUAGAUCAAGACGCUUGAUAAGUUUUUUUUCAAUGAGUACAUACCUUGACAAGAUUUUGAAGUAGUUCAAAAUGGAACAGUCAAAGAAAGAGUUCUUGCCUGUGUUACAAGGUGUGAAAUUGAGUAAGACUCAAAGCCCGACCACGGCAGAAGAUAGAAAGAAAAUGAAAGUCAUUCCCUAUGCCUCAGCCAUAGGUUCUAUAAAGUAUGCCAUGCUGUGUACCAGAUCUGUUGUAUACCCUACAUGAUUUUGGCAAGGGAGUACAAUAGUGAUCUAGGAGUAGAUCACUGGACAGCGGUCAAAAUUAUCCUUAGUGGAAUAAGGAUAUGUUUCUCGAUUAUGGAGGUGACAAAAAGGUUCGUCGUAAAGGGUUAUGUCGAUGCAAGUUUUAACACUGAUCCAGAUGACUCUAAGUCUCAAUCUGGAUACAUAUUGAAAGAGGGAGCAAUUAGCUAGAGUAGCUCCGUGCAGAGCAUUGUUGACAUAGAAAUUUGCAAAAUACAUACGGAUCUGAAUGUGGCAGACCCGUUGACUAAACUUCUCUCACAAGCAAAACAUGAUCACACCUUAGUACUCUUUGGGUGUUAAUCACAUAGCGAUGUGAACUAGAUUAUUGACUCUAGUAAACCCUUUGGGUGUUGGUCACUGUUGGAAAUAUGCCCUAGAGGCAAUAAUAAAAUGGUUAUUAUUGUAUUUCCUUGUUCAUGAUAAUUGUCUAUUGUUCAUGCUAUAAUUGUAUUAACUGGAAACCGUAAUACAUGUGUGAAUACAUAGACCACAACAUGUCCCUAGUAAGCCUCUAGUUGACUAGCUCGUUGAUCAAUAGAUGGUUAUGGUUUCCUGACCAUGGACAUUGGAUGUCAUUGAUAACGGGAUCACAUCAUUAGGAGAAUGAUGUGAUGGACAAGACCCAAUCCUAAGCAUAGCACAAGAUCGUGUAGUUCGUUUGCUAAGAGCUUUUCUAAUGUCAAGUAUCGUUACCUUAGACCAUGAGAUUGUGCAACUCCCGGAUACCGUAGGAAUGCUUUGGGUGUACCAAACGUCACAACGUAACUGGGUGGCUAUAAAGGUGCACUACAGGUAUCUCCGAAAGUUUCUGUUGGGUUGGCAUGAAUCGAGACUGGGAUUUGUCACUCCGUAUGGCGGAGAGGUAUCUCUGGGCCCACUCGGUAAUGCAUCAUCAUAAUGAGCUCAAUGUGACUAAGUAGUUAGUCAUGGGAUCAUGCAUUACGGAACGAGUAAAGUGACUUGCCGGUAACGAGAUUGAACGAGGUAUUGGGAUACCGACGAUCGAAUCUCGGGCAAGUAACAUACCGAUUGACAAAGGGAAUUGUAUACGGGAUUGAUUGAAUCCCCGACAUCGUGGUUCAUCCGAUGAGAUCAUCGUGGAACAUGUGGGAGCCAAUAUGGGUAUCCAGAUCCCGCUGUUGGUUAUUGACCAGAGAACGUCUCGGUCAUGUCUGCAUGGUUCCCGAACCCGUAGGGUCUACACACUUAAGGUUCGGUGACGCUAGAGUUGUUAUGGGAAAUAGUAUGUGGUUACCAAAGGUUGUUCAGAGUCCCGGAUAGGAUCCCGGACGUCACGAGGAGUUCCGGAAUGGUCCGGAGGUAAAGAUUUAUAUAUGGGAAGUCAUCAUACGGUCACCGGAAGUAUUCGGGGGUAUGCCGGUAUUGUACCGGGGCCACCAAAGGGGUUCCGGGGGUCCACCGGGAGGGUCCACCUGCCCCGGAGGGCCUUAUGGGCUGUAGGUGGAAGGGAACCAGCCCUUAGUAGGCUGGGCGCCAACCCCCCUAGGGCCCAUGCGCCUAGGGUUUGGGGGAAACCCUAAAAGGGGGCGCCCCCCCCUCUUGCUUGGGGGGCAAGCCACCUUCCCCUGGCCGCCGCCCCUCCCACCAGAUGGGAUCUGAGGGGGCCGGCCCCCCUCUCCCUUGCCCCUAUAUAUAGUGGAGGGGUGGGAGGGCAGCCAUACUUUUCCCAAGGCGCAGCCCUCUCCUCCUACACCUCCUCCUUCUCCUCCGUAGUGCUUAGCAAAGCUCUGCCGGAGAACCACGAGCUCCAUUGCCACCACGCCGUCGUGCUGCUGGAGUUCUCCCUCAACUUCUCCUCUCCCCUUGCUGGAUCAAGAAGGAGGAGACGUCCCCGGGUUGUACGUGUGUUGAACGCGGAGGCGCCGUCCGUUCGGCGCUAGAUCGGAUCUUCCGCGAUUUGAAUCGCCGCGAGUUCGACUCCAUCAACCGCGUUCUUGUAACGCUUCCGCUUAGCGAUCUUCAAGGGUAUGAAGAUGCACUCCCUCUCUCUCGUUGCUAGCAUCUCCUAGAUUGAUCUUGGUGACACGUAGGAAAAUUUUGAAUUAUUGCUACGUUCCCCAACAGUGGCAUCAUGAACUAGGUCUAUGCAUAGAUUCUAUGCACGAGUAGAACACAAAGUAGUUGUGGGCGAUGAUUUGUUCAAUUUGCUUACCGUUACUAGUCUUAUCUUGAUUCGGCGGCAUUGUGGGAUGAAGCGGCCCGGACCGACCUUACACGUACACUUACGUGAGACGGGUUCCACCGACUGACAUGCACUUGAUGCAUAAGGUGGCUAGCGGGUGUCUGUCUCUCCCACUUUAGUCGGAUCAGAUUCGAUGAAGAGGGUCCUUAUGAAGGGUAAAUAGCAAUUGGCAUAUCACCGUUGUGGCUUUUGCGUAGGUAAGAAACGUUCUUGCUAGAAACCCAUAGCAGCCACGUAAAACAUGCAACAACAAUUAGAGGACGUCUAACUUGUUUUUGCAGGGUAUGCUAUGUGAUGUGAUAUGGCCAAAAGGAUGUGAUGAAUUAUAUAUGUGAUGUAUGAGAUUGAUCAUGUUCUUGUAAUAGGAAUCACGACUUGCAUGUCGAUGAGUAUGACAACCGGCAGGAGCCAUAGGAGUUGUCUGAAUUUAUUGUAUGACCUGCGUGUCAAUGAAAAACGCCAUGUAAUUACUUUACUUUAUUGCUAACCGUUAGCCAUAGUAGUAGAAGUAAUAGUUGGCGAGACAACUUCAUGAAGACACGAUGAUGGAGAUCAUGGUGUCAUGCCGGUGGCGAAGGUGAUCAUGCCGCGCCUCGAAGAUGGAGAUCAAAAGGCGCAAGAUGAUAUUGGCCAUAUCAUGUCACUUUAUGAUUUGCAUGUGAUGUUUGUCAUGUUUACAUCUUAUUUGCUUAGAACGACAGUAGCAUAAAUAAGAUGAUCCCUCACUAAAAUUUCAAGAGACGUGUUCCCCCUAACUGUGCACUGUUGCGAAGGUUCGUUGUUUCGAAGCACCACGUGAUGAUCGGGUGUGAUAGAUUCUAACGUUCGCAUACAACGGGUGUAAGCCAGAUUUACACAUGCGAAACACUUAGGUUGACUUGACGAGCCUAGCAUGUACAGACAUGGCCUCGGAACACAAGAGACCGAAAGGUCGAACAUGAGUCGUAUAGUAGAUACGAUCAACAUGGAGAUGUUCACCAAUGAUGACUAGUCCGUCUCACGUGAUGAUCGGACACGGCCUAGUUGACUCGGAUCAUGUAUCAGUUAGAUGACUAGAGGGAUGUCUAUCUGAGUGGGAGUUCAUUAAAUAAUCAGAUGAACUUAAUUAUCAUGAACAUAGUCAAAAGGUAUUUGCAAAUUAUGUCAUAGCUUACGCUUUAGUUCUACUGUUUAAGAUAUGUUCCUAGCGAAAAUUUAGUUGAAAGUUGAUAGUAGCAAUUAUGCGGACUGGGUCUGUAAACUGAGGAUUGUCCUCAUUGCUGCACAGAAGGCUUAUGUCCUUAAUGCACCGCUCGGUGUGCUGAACCUCGAGCGUCGUCUGUAGAUGUUGCGAAACAUUUGACAUACACGUUUUGAUGACUACGUGAUAGUUCAGUGUGUGAUGCUAACGGUUUAAAAUUGUGGCACCAAAGACGUUUUUGAAACGUCGCAGAACAUAUGAGAUGUUCCAAAGACUGAAAUUGGGAUUUCAGACUAGUGCCCACGUAAAGAGGUAUGAGACCUCUGACAAGUUUCUUAACCUGCAAACUAAGGGAGGAAAGCUCAAUCGUUGAGCAUGUGCUCAGAUUGUCUGAGUACUACAAUCGCUUGAAUCGAGUGGGAGUUAAUCUUCCAGAUGAGAUAGUGAUGGUUCUCCAUAGUCACUGCCACCAAGCUAUUAGAGCUUCGUGAUGAACUAUGACAUAUCAGGGAUAGACAUGAUGAUCCUUGAGCAACUCGCGAUGUUUGACACCGCGAAAGUAGAAAUCAAGUAGGAGCAUCAAUUGUUGAUGGUUAGUAAAACCACUAGUUUCAAGAAGGGCGAGGGAAAGAAGGGAUACUUCAUGAAAUGGCAAAUCAGUUGCUGCUCUAGUGAAGAAACCCAAGGUUGAACCCAAACCCGAGACUAAGUGCUUCUGUAAUGAGGGGAACGGUCCCUGAAGCAAAACUACCCUAGAUACUUGGUAGAUGAGAAGGUUGGCAAGGUCGACAGAAGUAUAUUGGAUAUACAUUAUAUUAAUGUGUACUUUACUAGUACUCCUAGUAGCACCAGGGUAUUAGAUACCGGUUCGGUUGCUAAGUGUUGGUAACUCGAAAUAAAAACUGCGAAAUAAACGGAAACUAGCUAAAGAUGAGAUGACGAUAUGUGUUGGAAGUGUUUCCAAGGUUGAUGUGAUCAAGCAUCGCAUGCUCCCUCUACCAUCGAGAUUGGUAUUAAACCUAAAUAAUUGUUAUUUGGUUUUUGCGUUGAGCAUAGACAUGAUUGGAUUAUGUUUAUCACAAUACGGUUAUUCAUUUAAGGAGAAUAAUGGUUACUCUUUUUAUUUGAAUAAUACCUUCAAUGGUCUUGCACCUAAAAUGAAUGGUUUAUUGAAUCUCGAUCGUAGUGAUACACAUGUUCAUGCCAAAAGAUAUAAGAUAGUAAUGAUAGUACCACAUACUUGUGGCACUGCUAUUUGAGUCAUAUUGGGAUAAAACGCAUGAAGAAGCUCCAUGUUGAUGGAUCUUUGGACUCACUCGUUUUUGAAAAGAUUGAGACAUGCGAACCAUGUCUAUUAGUAUAUAUGCAUGAAGAAAGUCCAUACAGAUGGAUCGUUUGGACUCACUUGAUUUUGAAUCACUUGAGACAUGCAAAUCAUACCACAUGGGCAAGAUGACUGAAAGGCCUCAUUUUCAGUAAGAUGGAACAAGAGAGCAACUUGUUGGAAGUAAUACAUUUGAUGUGUGCAGUCCAAUGAGUGCUGAGGCACGCAGUGGAUAUCAUUAUGUUCUUACUUCACAUAUGGUUUGAGUAGAUGCUGAGAAUAUUUACUUGAUGAAACACAAGUCUGAAUUAUUGAAAGGUUCAAUAAUUUCAGAGUGAAGUUGAAGAUCGUCGUGACAAGAGGAUAAAAUGUCUGUGAUAUGAUCAUAGAGAUGAAUAUCCGAGUUACGAGUUUGGCACACAAUUAAGAAAUUGUGGAAAUUGUUUCAUGACUAAUACCGCCUGGAACACCAUAGUGUGAUGGUGUGUCCGAACAUCAUAACUGCACCCUAUUGGAUAUGGUGCAUACCAUGAUGUCUCUUAUCGAAUUACACUAUCGUUUAUGGGUUAGGCAUUAGAGACAACCGCAUUCACUUUAAAUAGGGCACCACGCAAUUCCAUUGAGACGACACCGUAUAAACUAUGGUUUAGAGAAACCUAAGUUGUCGUUUCUUAAAAGUUUGGGGCUGCGACGCUUAUGUGGAAAAGUUUCAGGCUGAUAAGCUCGAACCCAAAGCGGAUAAAUGUAUCUUCAUAGAAUACCCAAAACAGUUGGGUAUACCUCCUAUUUCAGAUCCGGAAGCAAAGUGAUUGUUUCUAGAAAUAGGUCCUUUCUCGAGGAAAAGUUUCUCUCGAAAGAAUUGAGUGGGAGGAUGGUGGAGACUUGAUGAGGUUAUUGAACCAUGACUUCAACUAGUGUGUAGCAGGGCACAGGAAGUUGUUCCUGUGGCACCUACACCAAUUGAACUGGAAGCUUAUGAUAGUGAUCAUGAAACUUCGGAUCAAGUCACUACCAAACCUCGUAGGACGACAAGGAUGCAUGCUACUUCAGAGUGGUACGUAAUCCUGUCUUGGAAGUCAUGUUGCUAGACAACAAUGAACCUACGAGCUAUGGAGAAGCGAUGAUGGGCCCGUAUUCCGACGAAUGACUCGAGGCCAUAAAAUCCGAGAGAGGAUCCAUGUAUAAAAACAAAGUAUAGAUUUUGGAAGAACUACUUGAUGGUCAUAAGGCUGUUGGGUGCAGAUGGAUUUUAAAAGGAAGACGGACAAUGAUGGUAAGUGUCACCAUUAAGAAAGCUCGACUUGUCGUUAAGAUGUUUUCCGACAAGUUCAAGGAGUUGACUACGAUGAGAUUUUCUCACUCAUAGCGAUGCUAAGAGUCUGUUGGAAUUAUAUUAGCAGUUACUGCAUUAUUUAUGAAAUCUUGCAGAUAGGAUGUCAAAACAUUGUUUCCUCGACGAUUUUCUUGAGGAAAGGUUGUAUGUGAUACAACCAGAAGGUUUUGUCAAUCCUGAAAGAUGCUAACAAGUAUGCAAAGCUCCAGCAAUCCUUCUAAGGAUUGGAGUAAGCAUCUCGGAGUUGGAAUGUACGCUUUGAUGAGAUGAUCAAAGAUUUUGGGUUUAUACAAAGUUUAUGAGAAACUUGUAUUUCCAAAGAAGUGAGUGGGAGCACUAUAGAAUUUUUGAUAAGUAUAUGUUGUUAACAUAUUGUUGAUCGGAAAUGAUGUAGAACUUCUGGAAAGCAUCCAGGGUUAUUUGAAAAAUGUUUUUCAAUGGAAAACCUGGAUUAAGCUACUUGAACAUUGAGCAUCAAGAUCUAUAAGGAUAGAUCAAAAACGCUUAAUAGUACUUUCAAAUGAAUACAUACCGUGACAAGAUUUUGAAGGAGUUCAAAAUAGGUCAACAAAGAAGGAGGUCUUAGCUGUGUUACAAGGUGUGAGUAUUGAGUAAGACUCAAGACCUUACCACGACAGAAGAGAGAGAAAGGACGAAGGUCGUCCCCUAUGCUUUAGACGUAGGCUCUACAGUAUGCUAUGCUGUGUACCGCACCUGAAGUGUGCCUUGCCAUGAGUUAGUCAAGGGGUACAAUAGUGAUCCAGGAAUGGAUCACAUGACAGCGGUCGAACUUAUCCUUAGUAACUAGUGGACUAAGGAAUUUUCUUGAUUAUGGAGGUGGUAAAAGAGUUCGUCGUAAAGGGUUACGUCGAUACAAACUUUGACACUAAUCCGGAUGACUCUGAGUAGUAAACCGGAUUCGUAUAGUAGAGCAGUUAUUUGGAAUAGCUCCAAGUAGCGCGUGGUUGGUACAUCUACAAGAUGACAUAGAGAUUUGUAAAGCACACACGGAUCUGAAAGGUUCAGACCCGUUGACUAAUAACCUCUCUCACAAGCGAGAUAUGAACAAACCCCAUGGGUGUUGGAUUCAUUACAAUCACAUAGUGAUGUGAACUAGAUUAUUGACUCUAGUGCAAGUGGGAGACUGUUGGAAAUAUGCCCUAGAGACAAUAAUAAAAUGGUUAUUAUUGUAUUUCCUUGUUCAUGAUAAUUGUCUAUUGUUGAUGCUAUAAUUGUAUUAACUGGAAACCGUAAUACAUGUGUGAAUACAUAGACCACAACAUGUCCCUAGUAAGCCUCUAGUUGACUAGCUCGUUGAUUAAUAGAUGGUUAUGGUUUCCUGACCAUGGACAUUGGAUGUCAUUGAUAACGGGAUCACAUCAUUAGGAGAAUGAUGUGAUGGACAAGACCCAAUCCUAAGCAUGGCACAAGAUCGUGUAGUUCGUUUGCUAAGAGCUUUUCUAAUGUCAAGUAUCGUUUCCUUAGACCAUGAGAUUGUGCAACUCCCGGAUACCGUAGGAAUGCUUUGGGUGUACCAAACGUCACAACGUAACUGGGUGGCUAUAAAGGUGCACUACAGGUAUCUCUGAAAGUGUCUGUUGGGUUGGCACGAAUCGAGACUGGGAUUUGUCACUCCGUAUGACGGAGAGGUAUCUCUGGGCCCACUCGGUAAUGCACCAUCAUAAUGAGCUCAAUGUGACUAAGUAGUUAGUCACGGGAUCAUGCAUUACGGAACGAGUAAAGUGACUUGCCGGUAACGAGAUUGAACGAGGUAUUGGGAUACCGACGAUCGAAUCUCGGGCAAGUAACAUACCGAUUGACAAAGGGAAUUGUAUACGGGAUUGAUUGAAUCCCCGACAUCGUGGUUCAUCCGAUGAGAUCAUCGUGGAACAUGUGGGAGCCAAUAUGGGUAUCCAGAUCCCGAUGUUGGUUAUUGACCGGAGAACGUCUCGGUCAUGUCUGCAUGGUUCCCGAACCCGUAGGGUCUACACACUUAAGGUUCGGUGACGCUAGAGUUGUUAUGGGAAAUAGUAUGUGGUUACCGAAGGUUGUUCGGAGUCUCAGAUAGGAUCCCGGAUGUCACGAGGAGUUCCGGAAUGGUCCGGAGGUAAAGAUUUAUAUAUGGGAAGUCAUCAUACGGUCACCGGAAGUAUUCGGGGGUAUGCCGGUAUUGUACCGGGGCCACCGAAGGGGUUCCGGGGGUCCAUCGGGAGGGUCCACCUGCCCCGGAGGGCCUUAUGGGCUAUAGGUGGAAGGUAACCAGCCCUUAGUAGGCUGGGCGCCAACCCCCCUAGGGCCCAUGCGCCUAGGGUUUGGGGGAAACCCUAAAAGGGGGCGCCCCCCCCUCUUGCUUGGGGGGCAAGCCACCUUCCCCUGGCCGCCGCCCCUCCCACCAGAUGGGAUUUGAGGGGGCCGGCCCCCCUCUCCCUUGCCCCUAUAUAUAGUGGAGGGGUGGUAGGGCAGCCAUACUUUUCCCAAGGCGCAACCCUCUCCUCCUACACCUCCUCCUUCUCCUCCGUAGUGCUUAGCGAAGCUCUGCCGGAGAACCACGAGCUCCAUUGCCACCACGCCGUCGUGCUGCUGGAGUUCUCCCUCAACUUCUCCUCUCCCCUUGCUGGAUCAAGAAGGAGGAGACGUCCCCGGGCUGUACGUGUGUUGAACGCGGAGGCGCCGUCCGUUCGGCGCUAGAUCGGAUCUUCCGCGAUUUGAAUCGCCGCGAGUACGACUCCAUCAACCGCGUUCUUGUAACGCCUCCGCUUAGCGAUCUUCAAGGGUAUGAAGAUGCACUCCCUCUCUCUCGUUUCUAGCAUCUCCUAGAUUGAUCUUGGUGACACGUAGGAAAAUUUUGAAUUAUUGCUACGUUCCCCAACAGUCACAUGACGAUGUAAACUAUGGGUGUUAAUCACAUGGUGAUGUGAACUAUUGGUGUUAAAUCACAUGGUGAUGUGAACUAGAUUAUUGACUCUAGUGCAAGUGGGAGACUGAAGGAAAUAUGCCCUAGAGGCAAUAAUAAAGUUAUUAUUUAUUUCCUUAUAUCAUGAUAAAUGUUUAUUAUUCAUGCUAGAAUUGUAUUAACCGGAAACUUAGUACAUGUGUGAAUACAUAGACAAAUAGAGUGUCACUAGUAUGCCUCUACUUGACUAGCUCGUUGAAUCAAAGAUGGUUAAGUUUCCUAGCCAUAGACAUGAGUUGUCAUUUGAUUAACGGGAUCACAUCAUUAGAGAAUGAUGUGAUUGACUUGACCCAUUCCGUUAGCUUAGUGAUAACCCACAAGUAUAGGGGAUCAAUUGUAGCCUCUUUCGAUAAGUAAGAGUGUCAAACCCAACGAGGAGCUAAAGGUAGAACAAAUAUUCCCUCUGUUGGAAAUAUGCCCUAGAGGCAAUAAUAAAUGGUUAUUAUUAUAUUUCUUUGUUCAUGGUAAUUGUCUAUUAUUCAUGCUAUAAUUGUAUUGUCCGGAAAUCGUAAUACAUGUGUGAAUACAUAGACCACAACCUGUCCCUAGUAAGCCUCUAGUUGACUAGCUCGUUGAUCAACAGAUAGUCAUGGUUUCCUGACUAUGGACAUUGGAUGUCAUUGAUAACGGGAUCACAUCAUUAGGAGAAUGAUGUGAUGGACAAGACCCAAUCCUAAGCAUAGCAUAAAAGAUCGUGUAGUUUCGUUUGCUAGAGCUUUUCCAAUGUCAAGUAUCUUUUCCUUAGACCAUGAGAUCGUGCAACUCCCGGAUACCGUAGGAGUGCUUUGGGUGUGCCAAACGUCACAACGUAACUGGGUGACUAUAAAGGUGCAUUACGGGUAUCUCCGAAAGUGUCUGUUGGGUUGGCACGGAUCGAGACUGGGAUUUGUCACUCCGUGUGACGGAGAGGUAUCUCUGGGCCCACUCGGUAAUGCAUCAUCAUAAUGAGCUCAAUGUGACUAAGGCGUUAGUCACGGGAUCAUGCAUUGCGGUACGAGUAAAGAGACUUGCCGGUAACGAGAUUGAACAAGGUAUUGGGAUACCGACGAUCGAAUCUCGGGCAAGUAACAUACCGUUUGACAAAGGGAAUUGCAUACGGGAUUGACUGAAUCCUCGACAUCGUGGUUCAUCCGAUUAGAUCAUCGUGGAGCAUGUGGGAGCCAACAUGGGUAUCCAGAUCCCGCUGUUGGUUAUUGACCGGAGAGGCGUCUCGGUCAUGUCUGCAUGUCUCCCGAACCCGUAGGGUCUACACACUUAAGGUCCGGUGACGCUAGGGUUGUAGAGAUAUAUGUAUGCGGAAACCCGAAAGUUGUUUGGAGUCCCGGAUGAGAUCCCGGACGUCACGAGAGGUUCCGGAAUGGUCCGGAGGUGAAGAAUUAUAUAUAGGAAGUCAAGUUUCGGCCACCGGGAAAGUUUCGGGGGUUACCGGUAUUGUACCGGGACCACCGGAAGGGUCCCGGGGGUCCACCGGGUGGGGCCACCUGUCCCAGAGGGCCCCAUGGGCUGAAAGUGGAAGGGAACCAGCCCUUAGUGGGCUGGGGCGCCCCCCUUGGGCCUCCCCCCAUGCGCCUAGGGUUGGGAACCCUAGGGGGGGAACUUCCCCCUUGCCUUGGGGGGCAAGGCACCCCUUUCCACCCCUUGGCCACCGCCCCCCCAACCCUAGAUGGGUUUUGGCCGGCCCCCCCUCCCAAGGGGGCCUAUAUAAAGGGGGGAGGGAGGGCAGAAAGAACACAGCCUUGGGCGCCUCCCUCCUCCCCUGCAACACCUCUCUCUCUCUCUCGCAGAAGCUCGGCGAAGCCCUGCCGGAGACCCGCUACAUCCACCACCACGCCGUCGUGCUGUUGGAUCUCCAUCAACCUCUCCUUCCCCCUUGCUGGAUCAAGAAGGAGGAGACGUCGCUGCACCGUACGUGUGUUGAACGCGGAGGUGCCGUCCGUUCGGCACUCGGUCAUCGGUGAUUUGGAUCACAGCGAGUACGACUCCGUCAUCCACGUUCAUUGGAACGCUUCCGCUCGCGAUCUACAAGGGUAUGUAGAUGCACUCCUUUCCCCUCGUUGCUAGUAGACUUCAUAGAUGCAUCUUGGUGAGCGUAGGAAAAUUUUAAAUUAUGCUACGAUUCCCAACAGUGGCAUCAUGAGCCAGGUCUAUGCGUAGUUACUAUGCACGAGUAGAACACAAAGCAGUUGUGGGCGUUGAGUUUGCCAAUUCUUCUUGCCGCUACUAGUAUUUUCUUGUUUCGGCGGCAUUGUAGGAUGAAGCGGCCCGGACCGACCUUACACGUACAUUUACGUGAGACAGGUUCCACCGACUGACAUGCACAAGUUGCAUAAGGUGGCUAGCGGGUGUCUGUCUCUCCUACUUUAGUCGGAACGGAUUCGAUGAAAAGGGUCCUUAUGAAGGGUAAAUAGAAAUUGGCAAAUCACGUUGUGGUCAUACGUAGGUAAUAAACGUUCUUGCUAGAAACCUACAAACCACGUAAAAAAAACUUGCAACAACAAUUAGAGGACGUCUAACUUGUUUUUGCAGCAAGUGCUAUGUGAUGUGAUAUGGCCAGAAGAUGUGAUGAAUGAUAUAUGUGAUGUAUGAGAUUGAUCAUAUUCUUGUAAUAGGAAUCACGACUUGCAUGUCGAUGAGUAUGACAACCGGCAGGAGCCAUAGGAGUUGUCUUUAUUAUUUUGCAUGACCUGCGUGUCAUUGAAUAACGCCAUGUAAAUUACUUUACUUUGUUGCUAAACAAGUUAGCCAUAGAAGUAGAAGUAAUCGUUGGCGUGACGACUUCAUGAAGACACAAUGAUGGAGAUCAUGAUGAUGGAGAUCAUGGUGUCAUGCCGGUGACGAAGAUGAUCAUGGUGCCCCGAAGAUGGAGAUCAAAGGAGCAUGAUGAUAUUGGCCAUAUCAUGUCACUAUUUGAUUGCAUGUGAUGUUUAUCAUGUUUUUGCAUCUUAUUUUCUUAGAACGACGGUAGUAAGUAAGAUGAUCCCUUAUAAUAAUUUCAAGAAAGUGUUCACCCUAACGGUCAACCGUUGCGAAGGUUCGUUGUUUCGAAGCACCACGUGAUGAUCGGGUGUGAUAGAUUCUAACGUUCGAAUACAACGGGUGUUGACGAGCCUAGCAUGUACAGACAUGGCCUCGGAACACACGCAAUACACUUAGGUUGACUUGACGAGCCUAGCAUGUACAGACAUGGCCUCGGAACACGGAGGACCGAAAGGUCGAGCAUGAGUCGUAUAGAAGAUACGAUCAACAUGGAGAUGUUCACCGAUCUUGACUAGUCCGUCUCACGUGAUGAUUGGACACGGCCUAGUUAAACUCGGAUCAUGUUUCACUUAGAUGACUAGAGGGAUGUCUAUCUGAGUGGGAGUUCAUAAUCAGAUGAACUUCAUUAUCAUGAACAUAGUCAAAAAGGGUAUUUGCAAAUUAUGUCAUAGCUUGCGCUUUAGUUCUACUGGUUAAGAUAUGUUCCUAGAGAAAAUUUAGUUGAAAGUUGGUAGUAGCAAUUAUGCGGACUGGGUCCGUAAACUGAGGAUUGUCCUCAUUGCUGCACAGAAGGCUUAGGUCCUUAAUGCACCGCUCGGUGUGCUGAACCUCAGCGUCGUCUGUAGAUGUUACGAAACAUCUGACAUACACGUUUUGAUGACUACGUGAUAGUUCAGUGCGGUUUAGAAUUGUGGCACCAAAGACGUUUUUGAAACGUCGCAGAACAUGUGAGAUGUUCCGAAGACUGAAAUUGGGAUUUCAGACUAGUGCCCACGUCAAGAGGUAUGAGACCUCUGACAAGUUUGUUAAGCCUGCAAACUAAGGGAGAAAAGCUCAAUCGUUAAGCGUGUGCUCAGAUUGUCUGAGUGCCACAAUCGCUUGAAUCGAGUGGGAGUUGAUCUCCCAGAUGAGAUAGUGAUAGUUCUCCAUAGUCUCUGCCACCAGGCUAGUAGAGCUUCGUGAUGAACUAUAACAUAUCAAGGAUAAUUAUGAUGAUCCUUGAGCUAUUCGCGAUGUUUGACACCGCGAGAGUAGAAAUCAAGAAGGAGCAUCAAUUGUUGAUGGUUAGUAAAACCACUAGUUUAAGAAGGGCAAGGGCAAAAGGGAUACUUCAUGAAACAGCGAGUCGUUUGCUGCUCUAGUGAAGAAUCCCAAGGUUGAACCCAAACCCGAGACUAAGUGCUUCUGUAAUGAGAGGAACGGUCACUGAAGCAGUACUACCCUAGAUACUUGGUAGAUGAGAAGGCAGGCAAGGUCGACAGAAGUAUAUUGGAUAUACGUUAUAUGAAUGUGUACUUUACUAGUACUCCUAGCAGCACCAGGGUAUUAGAUACCGGUUCGGUUGCUAAGUGUUAGUAACUCGAAAUAAAAGCUGCGGAAUAAAUGGAGACUAGCUAAAGGUGAGAUGACGAUAUGUUUCCAAGGUUGAUGUGAUCAAGCAUCGCAUGCUCCCUGUACCAUCGAGAUUUGGUGUUUGCGUUGAACAUGAUUGGAUUAUGUUUACCGCAAAACGGUUAUUCAUUUAAGGAGAAUAAUGGUUACUCUGUUUAUUUGAAUAAUACCUUCAAUGGUCUUGCACCUAAAAUGAAUCUCGAUCGUAGUGAUGCACAUGUUCAUGCCAAAAAGGAUAUAAGAUAGUAAUGAUAGUACCACAUACUUGUGGCACUGCCACUUGAGUCAUAUUGGUGUAGAACACAUGAAGAAGCUCCAUGUAGGUGGAUCUUUGGACUCACUCAUUUUUGAAAAGAUUGAGACAUGCGAACCAUGUCUAUUGGUAUAUAUGCAUGAAGAAACUCCAUACAGAUGGAUCGUUUGGACUCACUUGAUUUGUAGGAGAUAUGCCCUAGAGGCAAUAAUAAAUGAUAUUAUUUAUCUCCGAGUUCAUAAUUAUGUUUAUGUUCCAUGCUAUAACUGCUAUGGUUCUCGAGUCUGCAAUAACCACGAGGCUCGGAGGAAGACUCAUAUGCACGUGUGGAAUAAUAAACGGUAAAAUGUAUUCCUAGUCUGGCCUCUAAGACUAGCUCAAGUGUUGCAUGAUGGUUAUGUUUUCCUGAUCAUGGGCAUGUCUAUGUCAGCAACCUUGAGGGCAAAAUGUUAAGAGAACAUUUGUGUUGAAUCGACCCGGAUUGAUGUUAUGCUAUGAGAUUCAUUCGUCACAAGUUUAUUGGUACAUAACACAGAGAUGGUUAACGUUUGCAUGAUUCCUUAGACCAUGAGAGUAUCGAGUUUCUUCAUGCUUGCUUCAUGAACUUUGGGGUUUGUUAAACGUCAUCCGUAAAUGGGUGGCUAUUACGGCGGCUUACGGGUUCAUGGAAAAGUGUGUCAAGUGACUUGAUAGCUCAAGAUUGGGAUUUGCUCCUCCGACGAUGGAGAGAUAUCUCUGGGCCCUCUCGGUGUUACGGUAUCCAUCAUCGUCUGGCCAGACACUUUGUGAUUUGAUCACGGGGAUGCCGGAACACGAUAACGAGAAAAGAGAACAAUACCGGUAACGAGGUAACUAGCAUAGUGGACAAGUUGUUGAUCCACAGGAAUGCCAACAUGUCUCACCUCGGGUAUUUGUAACAUAUCGCGAAGCAACAGGAAUAGCACACGGCAACUGGAGGUUCACUCGAAUAUUUAUUCGUGUGGGUAUAGGGGUCAAUAUGGGUGUCCACGGCUCCGAUGUUGAUCAUUGAUCGGAAGGGGUUCCGGGUCAUGUCUAUACUUCACCGAACCUAUAGGGUCACACGCUUAAGGGUCAUCUAUCUGCUGAAUACUAGACAGGGAGUCUGAGAGAAAAUCACCGAAAAAGUUUCGGACACCGAAAAGUUUCGGACAGCGGAAUCGUACCGUAGAGAGAGGUCAUCGGAUAAGUUUCGAUGAUACCGAAAAGUUGUUUCGGGAUACACCAUUAAGUCAAAUUGGUUUCGGCACAUGCCUGAUAAUUCUUGGAGGAUGCCAGAAUCAUUCUGGAAGCUUUUUGGAAUUUUCUGAGAUAAAAACCGGAAAUGUUCCGGAGCUGCCGGAGCCACUUCAGAUGCGUUUCGUAGAUGAAAAUCACUAAAACCGGAAUUGUUUCGGAACGCGUUGAAAAUCAUUUUAGUGGGUACUGGAAAUGUUCUUAGCCCACAUAAAUAUUUUCAGUUCGAUCAGACGCUGAAAAAUGUCGUCGUGAAUAGUGAAAAUCAGCUUUAUGGUUACUUUAUGGAAAGCCACCUUUUGGGGCUUUGCUCCAAAAGAUCUUGGGGAUGACAUGGAUGGAUAGGAGCCAUUUUUGGGGCCCCUCAUGGGGGUGUGGCCGGACACAUGGGGUAUCCCCCCUUGGGGACCCUCUAGUUCCUUGGUUUCACUCCUAGGUCCUUGUGGAAGGACUUCAUUCAUGUGCAUUUUGGGUUUUUUGUGAAACUACCCUACCCCCUUGGGAUUUCCUAUAAAUAGAGGUGGAGGGGCAGCCCUCCACACUCAUCCCUUGCUCUCAUACACAUGCCAUGCAUUAUCUGGCUUCUUCUCUCCCUCCCACGAAAAGAGUUUCGUAGAGCCAUAAGGCUGUCUGGGUUCCGGCAGGAACUAGUUCUGGACGGCGAAGCCCUGCCGGAUAGAUGACACCGUAUGUGUGCAACUCUGUAGAGAGAUCGUAGUUUCGGUCUUAGUUCGUGAGUGCCUCCCGAAGGGCUGUCCGUGUGACCGUCCGUGUUUCGAAGGUCCUCCCGAAGGGCUGUCCGAGUGACCGUUCGAGCUUCGAAGGUCCUCCCGAAGGGCUGUCCGCGACACCGUCCGGGGGGCUGUUCGACCGCCUCCCGGAGGGCUGUCUGAGGAGCAGAUGAGGGUAUACAUCCUCGCGGUUGGGAGGUUGUAAAUCCUAGCUGCGGGGAUCUGCACCGCCGAUCGUCAUCGACUCUACUUCCCGUUGCGCUACGAGUCGGUAACGAAAAAGAUCAAACCAUGUAUGCAGUCUCCAUAGUGGUCCUGGGCUGGUGCGUAGGUCGGAAAUUUUUUGUUUUCUGCUGCGUUCCCCUACAGUGGCAUCAAGAGCCGUGCUAUGCGUAGAUGCAGGUUUCGAUCUAGAAUACAUGGAGAUGUAUGGGUAUUGCAUAAUAUAAUUAGGUAGUAGAUGAGAUCUAUUGCUGAAAAUUAUUUAUGCGGGUGACAGAUGAAAUCUGUUACCCGAGGUUCUUGUUGCUUCCCUAGAAUUUGCGUUUGCUCAAUCUCGAGACAGCAUGGUGGAAUUUGACAAAGUUCUGGCAAUCCGUGAUCCUGAUUGAUCAUGGAAGUGCUAUCAGUUCUUUGGGUUCUGCCGUAGUCAAAAGAAAGAUGAAAUUCGCAGAUGAAAGGGCAUUGCAGAUAUGAUCUGCACGGGGGUCAUGCGUAUGAUGAAGUUUAGUAUGGGGCUCGAGAUUUAAUUAUCCCGUGUUUCAUACACCCCGAGAUGUUAAUGUAGCAACUUGAAUAAUCAUACUUGAUGAUAAAACGUUGGUAGGUGCGGUUUAAGUCAAAACCUUAGAAGCCACGUAAAAUAAAAUUUUGCAUAAACCUAUUAGAGGCGUCUAACUUGGUUUUGCAGGAUGUGCAUGUGAUGUGGUAUAGCAGUGCUCAUACUAAUUCGAUUAUGUAUGAGAUGACUAUAUUAUGUAAUUUGAUUAACAUGACCUGCGUGUCAUGAUUCGGCAUGAUGGCUGGAGCCAUAUGAUUGCACUUUAAUGACCUGCAUGUCAACCUUGUUGUAAUGCAUUAUUUUGUUAGCUAUAGAGAUAGCAAUAUUAUCUGGUGCAUCGGCAAGGUGGUGGCAAUCUUCGCGAAGGUGAACACCGACGCGAAUGCCAAAGACGAAGAAAUGAAAUACUUCUCCGUCAGAAAGGGCUAUACCAUAUCAUGCUAUUAUGAAUUGCCUGAGAUGUUUAUCCCUUAUGAUGCACCCUUCUUGAUUGCGCGGUAGUCGCUUUUAUUAGGGUGAUCUCUCACUUAAAAUAUCAAGUUGUUAGUGUUCUCCCAAGUGUAGCACCGUCACGGCACCUAUCUUUUCGGGGUGCGCCAUGGAUGCAUGGGUACGAACGAUUAGAGAAGUGUGAGGCGGGUGAGGUCAGACCUCGCAGCAAGAUCACUUGGUUGUCUUGACGUUCAUGGCAGGAUCGUCCUGAGCUCGGAACACACGCAUCGAAAGAUGAGCAAGAGUCACAUAGAGAUGUGAUCGGCAAGUUGGCCUACCGAUUAAAAUUCCCGUUAUGAGAUGAUGAUUCUAUGGCGAUGAAUUCAAGUCUGGAUCUUGUAUCACUCAAAAUUAAUUGUGAGAGAUAUUGAUUUGAGUGGGAGCGCACUGUUGAAUUAACAUGUUUAAUUCUAAGUGCAAUUAAUUAUGAACACUGUCUAAGUGUUUCUUGCAUAAUAGUUGUAGAAUAAUGGCUCGCAUUUCCACCUUCCCUAUUAAAAUUGAAUAGCUGUUAAAUAUCUGGUUAAAACUUUACGAUUGGUAACGUAAUAUAAGGAUUGUCCUCAAAAGUGCCGAGAAGGACAUUGUCCUAUCGCAUGCUUUCCGUAUCCUCCCGCUAAUGCUAUGGAUCAUGUGACUCUCGUCCUUCGAUCCAAAAGCUAGGAUUCUGUUACAGUCAAGUGGAAUAUGUUUGCUUCCAUGAAACCCAAACUUCGAAAGUUGGGAUAGUUAUAUGAUAUUCAUGGAACUGAAAAUUAUUUUCAGAUACAAACAAAGCAAUGUUUGUUUGCAAGUAUUAGUAAAAGUGUUUACUAUGCAUUUGACUGUUGGGAAAGGGAUCCAGAAGAACGCCUGUCAUAUAAUGAAAGGUGAAUAAAACAACAACUUAAAGAGAAAGGAAGUGUCCAAAGGGUGUUAGUAUGACUUACACGCCUAGGAAGUCCGGGGCUAAUGCCACUCUUAAGUUGGGUGCUUCUUCUGAGAGUAGGAGAAAUACUAAAAGUUAAACUGUUAGAAGUAUAAAGGCAAAAGGAAAGAAGACUGGAAUAUCCAGCUCAUGUAUGAAUGUCAUACAAGUUUUUGAUGUAUAGAAGGUUGGUCAAAGAUAUAGUUCUUGCGAAUUAUGGUUAAACAUGUUAAUCACUAAUUCUUGGGUAUUGUGAGUUCAUCACAAAAUUGCCCGCUCGAUUGCAUUCUGUUGCAACUCGAUGUAAGAACUACUAUGGCCUGAAAGACUAGCUAGAAAUGAGGUUAAUGUAUGCACAGGGAACAUAGUAAAUGUUACUAUACCUUCCAUCGGUGUAUUGCCGUCUGUAUUUAUUUUCAUAAUUCAUUUAGAGUUUUACAAACUCUAUCCCAUUGCAUAAGGUAUCUUGCAAGAAGGUUGUUCAUAAGAGAACUUUUUAUGUUCGAUGUUAUGAAUAACACAAGGGCCAUACUUUCAUUAUGAAUGAGAUGUAUGUUAUGAAUAUUGAUAAUAAUACAAUACCUCUGGGUUUACUUUCAUAAUUCAUUUUAGAGUUUCAUACACUCUAGCCCAUUGCACAAUGUUUGUUGCAAAAGAGUUGUUCAUAAAAACAACAAUUAUUGUUAAGUAUUAUGAAUAACAUAAGGGCCAUACUUCCAUCAUCGAUGGGACGUAUGUUAUGAAUAUUGAGGGUAAUAUGAUACAUCCAUAACACUGACGCUAAAUGUCGCAAGACUAAAAGAAUACCACACAAGUGUGGCACUACAUUUGGUCACAUUGGAGAAACCCGCAUGGAAAAUUCCAUUAUGAUGGAUUUUUGAAGUCUUUUUGAUUUUGAAUCAUCUGACACUUGCAACUUUCCUCCGAAAAGUGAAGUGACUAAAAUACCGUUCACAGGCCAUAAGGAACGAACAACAAACUUAUUAGUGAUCAUACAUUUGAUGUGUGUAGUCCGAUAAGUGUUGUUAGUGGUGGAUUUAUUUAUCUUCAGAAAUGACUCAAGUAGAUAUAUGGAUAUUUACUUGAUGAGACGUAAGUCUGGAUCUUUUGAAAUCAUUCGAAAGGUUCUCAAAAAUGAAGUAGAAGUUAUUGUAACAAGAAAAUUAUGUUUCUGCAAUUUGAUUGCACAAAGGAAUAUUUGAGUUACAUGUUUAGCGAAUGUCUGAUGAGUUGUGAAAGGGGUUUCAUAAACUUGCACCUCCCGGAACACCACUGCAAGUGGAAAGUCCGUGGAGAUGUAAUCAAACCAUUUAUGACGUGGUAAGGUCAAAGAUGACAUAAAUAAAUUUGCCAUUAUCCCUUUUAAAGUGAUGCUUUAGAGAUUGCGGCUUUUACACUGAAAAGAGCUACAUCGGGUCUGUUGAAAUGAAGCCAUGGUAUGGUACGCCCAACCAUGUUAUAUCUUUUCUUAAACAUUUGGAAUAUGGGGCUUGUGUAAAAGGUUACAAACCUAUUCCAAAUCAGACAAGUGCUACUUUGUAGGUUAUACCAAAAUGUUGGGUAUUCCUCCCUCACUAUACCGAGGCAAAUAGUUUUGCCGCGAAACGGUGUGCUUUUAAAGAGAAUGGUUCUUUCAAAAAGGUGAGUGGGAGAAUAGUGCAACUCGACGAGAUAAACAGUAUCUACGUCAUCAGAUCAAAGGAAAGAGACCUUGGAAGUAAUUCCAGAGUUUCCUACCGCGACUGAUACGGAAGUCUCUACAAUAAAAUGUAUGAACUUCGGUCGAACUUGCAGCUGAACCACGUAGGCAAGGCUCGUGCAAACCUCUCAGGUGCGCAAACGAGAUAUUGUUGUUAGACAACAUUAUACCUACGAUACACAAGGAAGCGUUGAUGGGCCCUCACUCCAGAAUUGGCUAAAUGCCAAUACAACCCGAGUUAGUUUCCAUAUAAGUGAUUCAAGAUUAAAACCUUGAUACACCUUUCGGAAGACUUAGAGUCUAAAGAAUAUUUAUGGAACUUAAAACUGAUACGGAUAAAAUGUUUUAUCCAUAAAGCUCGACUUGUUGGAAUAACAAGUUCAAGAGUUGACUACGAUGAGGUUGUUUUCAUCGUAGCGAUGCUUAAAGUCGGUUCGGGUUGAACUAGCAAUUAAUACAUAUUUCAAUCAUGAGAUAUGAAACAUGGAUGAUAAAAAGAUUUCCAUCUGAUGGAAAUGAAAGCUAGGACUUGUAUAUGAUACAGUCCAAAGUAAUUUGUCGAUCCAGAGGAUGCUAGUAGGUAUGCAAACUUCAGAGUUCCAGCAAUGGACAGAAGAGAGCAAAAUGGAGUUGGAAUCUUCGGGUUUUGAUGAAAUGGUCAAAGGGGUUUUGACUUCAUCAAUGGGUAACGAAGAUGCUUGUAAUUCAAGAAAGUAAGUGGGAGCGUAAUUAUAUUUCUAAAAACCUUAUGUGCUUGGCACAUUGGUAAUUGGAAAUAAAUUUCUUGACACAAAUUAGGACUUCAUUUGAAAUAGUUUUUCGAUGAAGUGCUUAGGCUAAAUAGCCUCAAUAUUAGGCAUGAUGAUCUAUGGAGAUAGAUUUACCUAAUGGGGCUAAGCAAUGAAUACAUAUUGACAAGAUGCUAAAACCUUUUAGCAUAUAAAACGCCAAGGAGUGAUUCUUGCCAAAGUCACAUGGAAAGAGUUUUUGCAAGACUCGGUGUCCCAAAACACUGAUGAGUAAAAUACAUGAUGCAGAUUCCACACACUUUUGUGUUUGGAUUAAUCAUGUAUUCCAUGGUAUGUAAAACAACCAGAUAUGUCCGAUACUCCCAUGGUGUUGCGAGUAUGGAUACUAAAGUGAUCAAAGUACUGAUCGUGGGACAACAGUGAAAGAUGUCAUUGAGUACUAGAGUAAGUACUGAUGAUAUGUUUUCUUGCAAGCGGAGAUCAUGAAGAGUUCGUUGUAAAAUGUUACAUCGAUAGUCUUCAUCUUUUCACCGUGCGAUUUUCGAUUUAAGUUAAGGGUUUUGUGUAACACACAUUGUGGUGGCACAGUUAGUUGGAAUUUGUUCAAACUAGUUACUGUGGCAAAUUCUAUAACAAGGGCUAAGUAUGUUGACGCUUUAGAAGCGACAAAGAAGAUGUUGAAUCAUAUAGUUCAUUCAUGAACUUAGUAUAGUUCCAAGAUGGCUUUUGACAAUGGGACACUACUGCAGGUAGUUGCUCCAAAACUCAGUCUGAGGAAUCCAGGUUCGACCUGUGAUUCACAUACAUACAAAGCCAAGUCCACACAAAAUAUGAAUUUUGUGAAAACGUAAAAACGCGAGGACAUGCAAAGAUACACACGGAACUGAAGUCGUCAGAUCCGUUGGACAUCAGGCUAUACCACAAGCGAAGCAUAUUUACACCGGUGUGCCACAGGUGUAAAGUGCAUUAGCAUUAACUAGAUUAUUGACUCUAGUGCAAGUGGGAGUCUGUAGGAGAUAUGCCCUAGAGGCAAUAAUAAAUGAUAUUAUUUAUCUCCGAGUUCAUAAUUAUGUUUAUGUUCCAUGCUAUAACUGCUAUGGUUCUCGAGUCUGCAAUAACCACGAGGCUCGGAGGAAGACUCAUAUGCACGUGUGGAAUAAUAAACGGUAAAAUGUAUUCCUAGUCUGGCCUCUAAGACUAGCUCAAGUGUUGCAUGAUGGUUAUGUUUUCCUGAUCAUGGGCAUGUCUAUGUCAGCAACCUUGAGGGCAAAAUGUUAAGAGAACAUUUGUGUUGAAUCGACCCGGAUUGAUGUUAUGCUAUGAGAUUCAUUCGUCACAAGUUUAUUGGUACAUAACACAAAGAUGGUUAACGUUUGCAUGAUUCCUUAGACCAUGAGAGUAUCGAGUUUCUUCAUGCUUGCUUCAUGAACUUUGGGGUUUGUUAAACGUCAUCCGUAAAUGGGUGGCUAUUACGGCGGCUUACGGGUUCAUGGAAAAGUGUGUCAAGUGACUUGAUAGCUCAAGAUUGGGAUUUGCUCCUCCGACGAUGGAGAGAUAUCUCUGGGCCCUCUCGGUGUUACGGUAUCCAUCAUCGUCUGGCCAGACACUUUGUGAUUUGAUCACGGGGAUGCCGGAACACGAUAACGAGAAAAGAGAACAAUACCGGUAACGAGGUAACUAGCAUAGUGGACAAGUUGUUGAUCCACAGGAAUGCCAACAUGUCUCACCUCGGGUAUUUGUAACAUAUCGCGAAGCAACAGGAAUAGCACACGGCAACUGGAGGUUCACUCGAAUAUUUAUUCGUGUGGGUAUAGGGGUCAAUAUGGGUGUCCACGGCUCCGAUGUUGAUCAUUGAUCGGAAGGGGUUCCGGGUCAUGUCUAUACUUCACCGAACCUAUAGGGUCACACGCUUAAGGGUCAUCUAUCUGCUGAAUACUAGACAGGGAGUCUGAGAGAAAAUCACCGAAAAAGUUUCGGACACCGAAAAGUUUCGGACAGCGGAAUCGUACCGCAGAGAGAGGUCAUCGGAUAAGUUUCGAUGAUACCGAAAAGUUGUUUCGGGAUACACCAUUAAGUCAAAUUGGUUUCGGCACAUGCCUGAUAAUGCUUGGAGGAUGCCAGAAUCAUUCUGGAAGCUUUUUGGAAUUUUCUGAGAUAAAAACCGGAAAUGUUCCGGAGCUGCCGGAGCCACUUCAGAUGCGUUUCGCAGAUGAAAAUCACUAAAACCGGAAUUGUUUCGGAACACGUUGAAAAUCAUUUUAGUGGGUACUGGAAAUGUUCUUAGCCCACAUAAAUAUUUUCAGUUCGAUCAGACGCUGAAAAAUGUCGUCGUGAAUAGUGAAAAUCAGCUUUAUGGUUACUUUAUGGAAAGCCACCUUUUGGGGCUUUGCUCCAAAAGAUCUUGGGGAUGACAUGGAUGGAUAGGAGCCAUUUUUGGGGCCCCUCAUGGGGGUGUGGCCGGCCACAUGGGGUAUCCCCCCUUGGGGACCCUCUAGUUCCUUGGUUUCACUCCUAGGUCCUUGUGGAAGGACUUCAUUCAUGUGCAUUUUGGGUUUUUUGUGAAACUACCCUACCCCCUUGGGAUUUCCUAUAAAUAGAGGUGGAGGGGCAGCCCUCCACACUCAUCCCUUGCUCUCAUACACAUGCCAUGCAUUAUCUGGCUUCUUCUCUCCCUCCCACGAAAAGAGUUUCGUAGAGCCAUAAGGCUGUCUGGGUUCCGGCAGGAACUAGUUCUGGACGGCGAAGCCCUGCUGGAUAGAUGACACCGUAUGUGUGCAACUCUGUAGAGAGAUCGUAGUUUUGGUCUUAGUUCAUGAGUGCCUCCCGAAGGGCUGUCCGUGUGACCGUCCGAGUUUCGAAGGUCCUCCCGAAGGGCUGUCCGAGUGACCGUUCGAGCUUCGAAGGUCCUCCCGAAGGGCUGUCCGCGACACCGUCCGGGGGGCUGUUCGACCGCCUCCCGGAGGGCUGUCUGAGGAGCAGAUGAGGGUAUACAUCCUCGCGGUUGGGAGGUUGUAAAUCCUAGCUGCGGGGAUCUGCACCGCCGAUCGUCAUCGACUCUACUUCCCGCUGCGCUACGAGUCGGUAACGAAAAAGAUCAAACCAUGUAUGCAGUCUCCAUAGUGGUCCUGGGCUGGUGCGUAGGUCGGAAAUUUUUUGUUUUCUGCUGCGUUCCCCUACAUGAUUAUGAAUCACUUGAGACAUGCAAAUCAUACCACAUGGGCAAAAUGACUGAAAGUCCUCGUUUUCAGUGAGAUGGAACAAGAGAGCAACUUAUUGGAAGUGAUACAUUUUGAUGUACGCAGUCCAAUGAGUGCUGAGGCAUGCAGUGGACAUCGUUAUGUUCUUACUUCACAGAUGAUUUGAGUAGAUACUGUGUGUAUUUACUUGAUGAAACACUAGUCUGAAUUAUUGAAAGGUUCAAGUAAUUUCAGAGUGAAGUUGAAGAUCGUCGUCACAAGAGGAUAAAAUGUCUGUGAUAUGAUCAUAGAGAUGAGUAUCUGAGAUACGAGUUUGGCACACAAUUGAGACAUUGUGGAAGCUGUUUCACAAUUAAUACCGCCUGGAACACCAUAGUGUGAUGGUGUGUCCGAACAUCAUAUCUGAUGAUGUCUCUUAUCAAAUUACCACUAUCGUUUAUGGGUUAGGCAUUAGAGACAACCGCAUUCACUUUAAAAGGGGCACCACGCAAUUCCGUUGAGACGACACCGUUUAUAGAAACCUAAGUUGUCAUUUCUUAAAAGUUUGGGGCUGCGAUGCUUAUGUGAAAAAGUUUCAGGCUGAUAAGCUCGAACCCAAAGCGGAUAAAUGCAUCUUCAUAGAAUACCCAAAAACAGUUGGGUAUACCUCCUAUUUCAGAUCUGGAAGCAAAAGUAAUUGCUUCUAGAAACGAGUCCUUUCUCGAGGAAAAGUUUCUCUCGAAAGAAUUGAGUGGGAGGAUGGUGGAGACUUGAUAAGGUUAUUGAACCAUCGCUUCAACUAGUGUGUAGCAGGGGACAGGAAGUUGUUCAUGUGGCACCUACACCAAUUGAAGUGGAAGCUUAUGAUAGUGAUCAUGAAACUUCGGAUCAAGUCACUACCAAACCUCGUAGGACGACGAGGAUGCGCACUACUUCAGAGUAAUGCGUGAUCCUGUCUUGGAAGUCAUGUUGCUAGACAACAAUGAACCUACGAGCUAUGGAGAAGCGAUGGUGGGCCCAUAUUCCGACGAAUGGCUCGAGGCCAUGAAAUCCGAGAUAGAAUCCAUGUAUCAGAACAAAGCAUGGACUUUGGUGAACUUGCCCGAUGAUCGGCAAGCCAUUGAGAUAAAUGGAUCUUUAAGAAGAAGACGGACAUGGACGGUAAUGUUACCGUCUAUGAAGCUCGACUUGUGGCAAAGAGUAUUUUCACAAGUUCAAGGAGUUGACUACAAUGAGUUUUUUCUCAUCCGUAGCGAUGCUUAGGUCCGUCGGAAUCAUGUUAGCAUUAGCUACAUUUAUGAAAUCUGGCAGAUGGAUGUCAAAACAAGUUUCCUUACCAGUUUUUCGUGAGGAAUGGGUUAUGUGAUACAAUCAGAAAGGUUUUGUCGAUCCUAAGGAUGCUAAAAGGUAUGCUAGCUCCAGCGAUCCUUCCAUGGAUUAGAGCAAGCAUCUCGGAGUCAGAAUAUACGCUUUGAUGGGGUGAUCAAAGUUUUUGGGUUUAUACAAAGUUUGUUAGAAACUUGUAUUUACAAUAAAGUGAGUGGGAGCGCUACAACAUUUCUGAUAAGUAUAUGUGAAUGACAUAUUGUUGAUCCGAAAUGAUGUAAAAUUUCUGGAAAGCAUAAAGGGUUGUUUGAAAGGAGUUUUUCAAAGGAAGACCUGGAUAAAGCUGCUUACAUAUUGGGCAUCAAGAUCCAUAGAGAUAGAUCAAGACGCCUGAUGAUACUUUCAAAAGACAGCACACCUUGACAUGAUUUUGAAAGAGUUCAAAAUAUAUCAGCAAAGAAGGAGUUCUUGGCUGUGUUACAAGGUGUGAGUAUUGAGUGAGACUCAAGACCUGACCACAGCGGAAGAUAGAGAAAGGACGAAGGUCGUCCCCUAUGCUUUAGACGUAGGCUCUAUAGUAUGCUAUGAUGUGUACCGCACAUGUAGUGUGCCUUGCCAUGAGUUGGUCAAGAGGGUACAAUGGUGAUCCGGGAAACGAUCUCAUGACAGCGGUCGAACUUAUCCUUAGUACCUAGUGGAUUAAGGAAUUUUCUCGAUUAUGGAGGUGUAAAGGAGUUCGUCGUAAAGGGUUACGUCGAUGCGAACUUUGACACUAAUCCGGAUGACUCUGAGUAGUAAACCGGAUUCGUAUAGUAGAGCAAUUAUUUGAAAUGGCUCCAAAUAGCGCGUGGUAGCAUCCACAAGAUGACAUAGAUAUUCGUAAAGCACACGGUUCUGAAAGGUUCAGACCCGUUGACUAAUAACCUCUCUCACAAGCAUAACAUGACCAAACCAGAACACAUUGAGUGAUAAUCACAUAGUGAUGUGAACUAGAUUGUUGACUCUAGUAAACUCUUUAGAUGUUGGUCACAUGGUGAUGUGACCAGUGAGUGUUAAUCACAUGGUGAUGUGAACUAGAUUAUUGACUCUAGUGCAAGUGGGACACUGUUGGAAAUAUGCCCUAGAGGCAAUAAUAAAUGGUUAUUAUUAUAUUUCUUUGUUCAUGGUAAUUGUCUAUUAUUCAUGCUAUAAUUGUAUUGUCCGGAAAUCGUAAUACAUGUGUGAAUACAUAGACCACAACCUGUCCCUAGUAAGCCUCUAGUUGACUAGCUCGUUGAUCAACAGAUAGUCAUGGUUUCCUGACUAUGGACAUUGGAUGUCAUUGAUAACGGGAUCACAUCAUUAGGAGAAUGAUGUGAUGGACAAGACCCAAUCCUAAGCAUAGCAUAAAAGAUCGUGUAGUUUCGUUUGCUAGAGCUUUUCCAAUGUCAAGUAUCUUUUCCUUAGACCAUGAGAUCGUGCAACUCCCGGAUACCGUAGGAGUUCUUUGGGUGUGCCAAACGUCACAACGUAACUGGGUGACUAUAAAGGUGCAUUACGGGUAUCUCCGAAAGUGUCUGUUGGGUUGGCACGGAUCGAGACUGGGAUUUGUCACUCCAUGUGACGGAGAGGUAUCUCUGGGCCCACUCGGUAAUGCAUCAUCAUAAUGAGCUCAAUGUGACUAAGGCGUUAGUCACGGGAUCAUGCAUUGCGGUACGAGUAAAGAGACUUGCCGGUAACGAGAUUGAACAAGGUAUUGGGAUACCGACGAUCGAAUCUCGGGCAAGUAACAUACCGUUUGACAAAGGGAAUUGCAUACGGGAUUGACUGAAUCCUCAACAUCGUGGUUCAUCCGAUGAGAUCAUCGUGGAGCAUGUGGGAGCCAACAUGGGUAUCCAGAUCCCGCUGUUGGUUAUUGACCGGAGAGGCGUCUCGGUCAUGUCUGCAUGUCUCCCGAACCCGUAGGGUCUACACACUUAAGGUCCGGUGACGCUAGGGUUGUAGAGAUAUAUGUAUGCGGAAACCCGAAAGUUGUUCGGAGUCCCGGAUGAGAUCCCGGACGUCACGAGAGGUUCCGGAAUGGUCCGGAGUUGAAGAAUUAUAUAUAGGAAGUCAAGUUUCGGCCACCGGGAAAGUUUCGGGGUUACCGGUAUUGUACCGGGACCACCGGAAGGGUCCCGAGGGUCCACCGGGUGGGGCCACCUGUCCCGGAGGGCCCCGUGGGCUGAAAGUGGAAGGGAACCAGCGCUUAGUGGGCUGGGGCGCCCCCCUUGGGCCUCCCCCCAUGCACCUAGGGUUGGGAACCCUAGGGGGGGACUUCCCCCUUGCAUUGGGGGGCAAGGCACCCCUUUCCACCCCUUGGCCGCCACCCCCCCAACCCUAGAUGGGUUUUGGCCGGCCCCCCCUCCCAAGGGGGCCUAUAUAAAGGGGGGGAGGGAGGGCAGAAAGAACACAGCCUUGGGCGCCUCCCUCCUCCCCUGCAACACCUCUCUCUCUCUCGCAGAAGCUCGGCGAAGCCCUGCCGGAGACCCGCUACAUCCACCACCACGCCGUCGUGCUGUUGGAUCUCCAUCAACCUCUCCUUCCCCCUUGCUGGAUCAAGAAGGAGGAGACGUCGCUGCACCGUACGUUUGUUGAACACGGAGGUGCCGUCCGUUCGGCACUCGGUCAUCGGUGAUUUGGAUCACGACGAGUACGACUCCGUCAUCCACAUUCAUUGGAACGCUUCCGCUCGCGAUCUACAAGGGUAUGUAGAUGCACUCCUUUCCCCUCGUUGCUAGUAGACUCCAUAGAUGCAUCUUGGUGAGCGUAGGAAAAUUUUAAAUUAUGCUACGAUUCCCAACACCCUCAAGUUCUAUCGACCACCGAUACAACUCUACGCACGCUUGACGUUCGCUUUACCUAGAACAAGUAUGAAACUAGAAGUACUUUGUAGGUGUUGUUGGAUAGGUUUGCAAGAAAAUAAAGAGCGCGUAAAUAAAAAUGUAGGGGCUGUUUAGAUGAAGACACAACUAAAUUAGUUUUAGUAGAGAGAUUUUUGUUACGAGAAAGUUAUUUGUCCCUAGGCAAUCGAUAACUAGACCGGUAAUCACUAUUGCAAUUUUAUUUGAGGGAGAGGCAUAAGCUAACAUACUUUCUCUACUUGGAUCAUAUGCACUUAUGAUUGGAACUCUAGCAAGCGUCCGCAACUACUAAAGAUCAUUAAGGUAAAACCCAACCAUAGCAUUAAAGCAUCAAGUCCUCUUUAUCCCAUACGAAACAACCUACUUACUCGGGUCUGUGCUUCUGUCACUCACGCCACCCACCAUAAGCAAAUCAUGAACAUAUUGCAAACCCUACGACGGGAAUCCCUCACGCUUGCGCGACACGGAGAGCACCAUAGGAUAGCACCAAUAGUAAAACAUGCAACUCAAACCAAUCUUGAUCAUCAAAUAACCCAUAGGACAAAACGGAUCUACUCAAACAUCAUAGGAUAGCCAUACAUCAUUGGGAAAUAACAUAUAGCGUUGAGCACCAUGUUUAAGUAGAGAUUACAACAGGUAAGAUAGAGGUUACACGCUGCAUAGAGGGGGGAAGAGUUGGUGAUGAUGGCGGUGAAGUUGUUGGUGAAGAUUGCGGUGAUGAUGAUGGCCACGGCGGCGUUCCAGCGCCACCGGAAGAGAAGGGAGAGGGGGCCCCUUCGUCUUCUUCUUCCUUGACCUCCUCCCUAGAUGGGAGAAGGGUUUACCCUCUGGUCCUUGGCCUCCAUGGCGUGGGAGGGGCGAGAGCCCCUCCGAGAUUGGAUCUGUCUCUCUCUGUUUCUGCCUUCUGUUCUGCUGCCCUUUCACCGUUUCUUUUAUAUCCGGAGAUCCGUAACUCCGAUUGGGUUGAAUCUUUCGCCGAGAUCUUUCUCAUAAAAUUAGCUUUCUUGCGGCAAAAGAAGAGCGUUAACCGCCUUAUGGGGUGCCCACGAGGGUCCAGGGCACGCCCCCCUGCCUCGUGGCCCCCUCGGGCACCGUCUCGCUUUGAUUUUACUUCCCAAAAAUCAUAAAUAUUCCAAAAUAAUUCUUCGUCCGUUUUUAUCCCAUUUGGACUCCGUUUGAUAUGGGGUUUCUGCGAAACAUAAAACAUGCAACAAACAGGAACUAGCACUGGGCACUGGAUCAAUAUGUUAGUCCCAAAAAUAGUAUAAAAAGUUGCCAAAAGUAUAUGAAAGUUGUAGAAUAUUGGCAUGGAACAAUCAAAAAUUAUAGAUACGAUGGAGACGUAUCAGCAUCCCCAAGCUUAAUUCCUGCUCGUCCUCGAGUAGGUAAAUGGUAAAAAAGAUAAUUUUUGAUGUGGAAUGCUACCUAGCAUAAUCUUGAUCAUGUAUCUAAUCAUGGCAUGAAUAUUAAGAUACGAGUGAUUCAAAGCAAUAGUCUAUCUUUUGACAUAAAAACAACAAUACUUCAAGCCUACUAAUAAAGCAAUCAUGUCUUUUAAAAAUAACAUGGCCAAAGAAAGUUAUCCCUAAGAAAUCAUAUAGUCUGGCUAUGCUCCAUCUUCACCACACAAAAUAUUCAAAUCGUGCACAACCCCGAUGACAAGCCGAGCAAUUGGUUCAUACUUUUUAACGCGCUUCAGCUUUUUCAACCCUCACGCAAUACAUGAGCGCAAGCCAUGGAUAUAGUAUUAUAGGUGGAAUAGAAUAUGAUGAUGGGGGUUAUGUGGAGAAGACAAAAAGGGAGAAAGUCUCACAUCGACGCGGCUAAUUCAACUGGCUAUGGAGAUGCCCAUCAAUUGAUGUCAAUGUGAGGAGUAGGGAUUGCCAUGCAACGGAUGCACUAGAGCUAUAAAUAUAUGAAAUCUCAAACUGAAACUAAGUGGGUGUGCAUCCAACUUGCUUGCUUAUGAAGACCUAAGGCAUUUGAGGAAGCCCAUCGUUGGAAUAUACAAGCCAAGUUCUAUAAUGAAAAUUCCCACUAGUAUAUGAAAGUGAUAACUCAAGAGACUCUCUAUAUGAAGAACAUGGUGCUACUUUGAAGCACAAGUGUAGUAAAAGGAUAGUAACAUUGCCCCUUCUCUCUUUUUCUCUCAUUUUUUGUUUUUUUUUUCUUUUUUUUCUUUUUUUUUGGCCUUCUCUUUUUUCUGGCCUUUCUCUUUUUUAUUUUUUUUUAUUUUUUUCGUCUGGAGUCUCAUCCCGACUUGUGGGGGAAUCAUAGUCUCCAUCAUCCUUUCCUCACUGGGGCAAUGCUCUAAUAAUGAUGAUCAUCACACUUUUAUUUACUUACAACUCAAUAUUACAACUCGAUAUCUAGAACAAAGAUAUGACUCUAUAUGAAUGCCUCUGGCGGUGUACCGGGAUGUGCAAUGAUCUAGCGUAGCAAUGACAUAAAAAAACGGACAAGCCAUGAAAACAUCAUGCUAGCUAUCUUACGAUCAUGCAAAGCAAUAUGACAAUAAAUGCCCAAGUCAUGUAUAUGAUGAUGAUGGAAGUUGCAUGGCAAUAUAUCUCGGAAUGGCUAUGGAAAUGCCAUGAUAGGUAGGUAUGGUGGCUGUUUUGAGGAAGAUAUAAGGAGGUUUAUGUGUGACAGAGCGUAUCGUAUCACGGGGUUUGGAUGCACCGGCGAAGUUUGCACUAACUCUCGAGGUGAGAAAGGGCAAUGCACGGUACCGAAGAGGCUAGCAAUGAUGGAAGGGUGAGAGUGCGUAUAAUCCAUGGGCUCACAUUAGUCAUAAAGAACUCAUAUACUUAUUGCAAAAGUUUAUUAGCCCUCGAAGCAAAGUACUACUACGCAUGCCCCUAGGGGGAUAGAUUGGUAGGAAAAGACCAUCGCUCGUCCCCGACCGCCACUCAUAAGGAAGACAAUCAAUAAAUAAAUCAUGCUCCGACUUUGUUACAUAACGGUUCACCAUACGUGCAUGCUACGGGAAUCACAAACUUCAACACAAGUACUUCUAAUAAUCCACAACUACCCACUAGCAUGACUCUAAUAUCACCAUCUUUAUAUCGCAAAACUAUUGCAAGGAAUCAAACAUAUCAUAUUCAGUGAUCUACAAGUUUUAUGUAGGAUUUUAUGACUAACCAUGUGAAUGACCAGUUCCUGUCAUCUCUCUAAAUAGAUAUAAGUGAAGCAAGAGAGUUUAAUUCUUUCUACAAAAGAUAUGCCCACGCUCUAACAAAUAUAGGUGAAGAAAAAGAGCAUUCUACAAAUGGCGAUUGUCUAAGUGAAGAGAAACAGGCAAUCCAAACUUCAAAUGAUAUAAGUGAAGCACAUGAAGCAUUCUAUAAAGCCAUACUCAAAAGAUAUAAGUGAAGUGCAAAGAGCAUUCUAUAAAUCAACCAAGGACCAUGUCAUACCAGCAUGGUGCAUAAAAUAAAAAUGAAAACUAAAUGCAAAAGAUGCUCUAAGAUUUGCACAUAUCGCAUGAACGAAACGAAUCCGAAAACAUACCGACACUUGUUGAAGAAAGAGGGGAUGCCUUCCGGGGCAUCCCCAAGCUUAGACGCUUGAGUCUCCUUGAAUAUUUACUUGGGGUGCCUCGGGCAUCCCCAAGCUUGAGCUCUUGCCUCUCUUCCUUCUUCUCACAUCGAGACCUUCUCGAUCAUCGAACACUUCAUCCACACAAAACUUCAACAGAAAACUCGGUAAGAUCCGUUAGUAUAAUAAAGCAAAUCACUACUCUAAGUACUGUUGCAAACCAAUUCAUAUUUCGUUUUUGCAUUGUUUCUACUGUAAUAUAACUUUUUCAUGGCUUAAUCCACUGAUAUAAAUCGAUAGUUUCCUCAAAACAAGCAAACUAUGCAUCAAAAACAGAAUCUGUCUAAAACAGAACAGUCUGUAAUAAUCUGUACAUUCACAAUACUUCUGAUACUUGAAAAAUUCUGCAAAAAUUAGGAAAAAUAAAAACAUUGUAUAGAAAGACAGUGCAAAAAUUUUCAGAACCAUUCGACGUUCCAGUAAAAAAUGAAAAAUCGUGCACUACAGCCAAAGUUUCUGUCCUGCACCGUACAAACCAACAAGCAUUGUAAACAUCCUAAAGGCAAACCUUAGCACAUUAUUUUUAUAAUACAAUGGAAUUGUACAAGGGGAUAAUUAUUUUUGUUGAAAAAUUUCUGUAAUCAAGAUUCACAAAGUUUCCGUGAGCAUGAACAAAGUUCAAGGCUAGCUCCCACUUCAACAAUGCUUGUCUCUCUCACUUUCACUUUCCUUUUUGAUAAAGUUUUGGGUUCCCCUCUUUAUUUUUGUUGUUUUAAACUAUAUGAAAGCACUCAACAGAAAUAAAUGACUCUCUAAAACUUCCGGGUUGUCUCCCUGGCAGCGCUUUCUUUAAAGCCAUUAAGCUAGGCAUAUAGUGCUCAAGUAGUGAAUCCACCCGGAUCCCAAGGUAUAUCAAAGCAAAUUUUAAUUAGCAAUGAUUUGGCAUUUAAUAGUGAGCACAAGGUAACAUAUAUCAUGUAAUGACGAAGUCUAACUCUCUUCCUAUGCAUCGGCAUGUCAUUAAAGAACAAUUCAUGCACACAUAGUAAAGGCCAAUGCAUAGUAUAAAUAGUUUCUUGCAAUUUUAUCAUGUUGGAAACAUAGAGAGGCGGAGAUGUAGUUCCUCUCUCAUAAUAAUUGCAAGUAGGAGCAGAAAGCACAUGCAUAUUAUAUUCAUCAAAAUCAUCAUGUGUAGUAGUAAAAGGCAAUCCAUCAAUAUAAUCCUUAAUAAGCACAAACUUCUCCGAUAUAGUGUAGUUUGGAGGACUAUCAUGUGUGGGUGCAAUAGCAACAAUUUCAUGUUUAACGUAAGGAACUAUAGCAAGUUCAUCUCCAUAAGCAUAAUUCAUAUUGGCAUCUUGGCCACAAGAAUAGCAAGCAUCAUCAAAAAGGGAUAUUUCAAAAGAAUCAACGGGAUCAUAGCAAUUAUCAUAGCAUUCAUCCUUCGGUAAGCAUGAAGGGAAAUUAAACAAUGUAUGAGUUGAAGAGUUACUCUCAUUAGAAGGUGGGCACGGGUGAUCAAUCCGCUCUUCCUCCUUUUGUUCUUCGCUCUCCUCCUCAUCUUUUUCAUCCAAUGAGCUCACAGUGUUGGGGAACGUAGCAGAAAUUCAAAAUUUUCUACGCAUCACCAAGAUCAAUCUAUGGAGUUUACUUGCAACGAGAGGGAAGGAGUGCGUCUACAUACCCUGGUAGAUCGCGAGCGGAAGCGUUGCAAGAACGCGGAUGAGGGAGUCGUACUCGUAGCGAUUCAGAUCGCGGUUGAUUCCGAUCUAAGCGCCGAACCACGGCGCCUCCGCGUUCAACACACGUGCAGCCCGGUGACGUCUCCCACGCCUUGAUCCAGCAAGGUGAGAGGGAGAGGUUGGGGAAGACUCCAUCCAGCAGCAGCACGACGGCGUGGUGGUGGUGGAGGAGCGUGGCAAUCCCGCAGGGCUUUGCCAAGCACCGCGGGAGAGGAGGAGGAGGGAGAGGGGAAGGGCUGCGCCGAAAGAGAGACGUUCUCGUGUGUCUUGGGCAGCCCAAACCUCAACUAUAUAUAGGGGGGAGGGGGCCCCCCUCUAGGGUUCCCACCCCAAGAGGAGGCGGCCAGCCCUAGAUCCCAUCAAGGGGGGGCGGCCAAGGGGAGGAGAGGGGGCGCGCCCCACUAGAUGGGCCCUAAGGCCCAUCUGGACCUAGGGUUUGCCCCCUCCCACUCUCCCAUGCGCCUUGGGCCUUGGUGGGGGGGCGCACCAGCCCACUUGGGGCUGGUCCCCUCCCACACUUGGCCCACGCAGCCUUCUGGGGCUGGUGGCCCCACUUGGUGGACCCCCGGGACCCUCCCGGUGGUCCCGGUACAUUACCGAUAUCACCCGAAACUUUUUCCGGUGACCAAAACAGGACUUCCCAUAUAUAAAUCUUUACCUCCGGACCAUUCCGGAACUCCUCGUGACGUCCGGGAUCUCAUCCGGGACUCCAAACAACAUUCGGUAACCACAUACAAACUUUCCCUAUAACCCUAGCGUCAUCGAACCUUAAGCGUGUAGACCCUACGGGUUAGGGAACCAUGCAGACAUGACCGAGACGUUCUCCGGUCAAUAACCAACAGCGGGAUCUGGAUACCCAUGUUGGCUCCCACAUGUUCCACGAUGAUCUCAUCGGAUGAACCACGAUGUCGGGGAUUCAAUCAAUCCCGUAUGCAAUUCCCUUUGUCUAUCGAUAUGUUACUUGCCCGAGAUUCUAUCGUCGGUAUCCUAUACCUUGUUCAAUCUCGUUACCGGCAAGUCUCUUUACUCGUUCCGUAACUCACAUCAUCCUGUGAUCAACUCCUUGGUCACAUUGUGCACAUUAUGAUGAUGUCCUACCGAGUGGGCCCAGAGAUACCUCUCCGUUUACACGGAGUGACAAAUCUCAGUCUCGAUUCGUGCCAACCCAACAGACACUUUCGGAGAUACCUGUAGUGCACCUUUAUAGCCACCCAGUUACGUUGUGACGUUAGGUACACCCAAAGCAUUCCUACGGUGUCCGGGAGUUGCACAAUCUCAUGGUCUAAGGAACUGAUACUUGACAUUAGAAAAGCUCUGAGCAAACGAACUACACGAUCUUGUGCUAGGCUUAGGAUUGGGUCUCGUCCAUCACAUCAUUCUCCUAAUGAUGUGAUCCCGUUAUCAACGACAUCCAAUGUCCAUGGUCAGGAAACCGUAACCAUCUAUUGAUCAACGAGCUAGUCAACUAGAGGCUUACUAGGGACAUGGUGUUGUCUAUCUAUCCACACAUGUAUCUGAGUUUCCUAUCAAUACAAUUCUAGCAUGGAUAAUAAACGAUUAUCAUGAACCAGGAAAUAUAAUAAUAACCAAUUUAUUAUUGCCUCUAGGGCAUAUUUCCAACAGUCUCCCACUUGCACUAGAGUCAAUAAUCUAGUUCACAUCGCCAUGUGAUUAACACUCAUAGGUCACAUCACCAUGUGACCAACAUCCAAAGAGUUUACUAGAGUCAACAAUCUAGUUCACAUCACUAUGUGAUUAACACUCAAUGAGUUCUGGUUUGAUCAUGUUAUGCUUGUGAGAGAGGUUAUUAGUCAACGGGUCUGAACCUUUCAGAUCCAUGUGUGCUUUACGAAUAUCUAUGUCAUCUUGUGGAUGCUACCACGCGCUAUUUGGAGCCAUUUCAAAUAACUGCUCUACUAUACGAAUCCGGUUUACUACUCAGAGUCAUCCGGAUUAGUGUCAAAGUUCGCAUCGACGUAACCCUUUACGACGAACUCCUUUUCACCUCCAUAAUCGAGAAAAUUCCUUAGUCCACUAGAUACUAAGGAUAAGUUCGACCGCUGUCAUGUGAUCCAUUCCCGGAUCACUAUUGUACCCCUUGACCAACUCAUGGCAAGGCACACUUCAUGUGCGGUACACAGCAUAGCAUAUUGUAGAGCCUACAUCUAAAGCAUAGGGGACGACCUUCGUCCUUUCUCUCUCUUCUGCUGUGGUCAGGUCUUGAGUCUUACUCAAUACUCACACCUUGUAACACAGCCAAGAACUCCUUCUUUGCUGAUCUAUUUUGAACUCUUUCAAAAUCAUGUCAAGGUGUGCGUUCUUUGAAAGUAUCAUCAGGCGUCUUGAUCUAUCUCUAUAGAUCUUGAUGCCCAAUAUGUAAGCAGCUUUAUCCAGGUCUUCCUUUGAAAAACUCCUUUCAAACAACCCUUUAUGCUUUCCAGAAAUUUUACAUCAUUUCGGAUCAACAAUAUGUCAUUCACAUAUACUUAUCAGAAAUGUUGUAGCGAUCCCACUCACUUUAUUGUAAAUACAAGUUUCUAACAAACUUUGUAUAAACCCAAAAACUUUGAUCGCUCCAUCAAAGCUUAUAUUCUGACUCCGAGAUGCUUGCUCUAGUCCAUGGAUGGAUCGCUGGAGCUAGCAUACCUUUUAGCAUCCUUAGGAUCGACAAAACCUUUCUGAUUGUAUCACAUACAACCUUUCCUUACGAAAACUGGUAAGGAAACUUGUUUUGACAUCCAUCUGCCAGAUUUCAUAAAUGCAGCUAAUGCUAACAUGAUUCCGACGGACUUCAGCAUCGCUACGGAUGAGAAAAUCUCAUCGUAGUCAACUCCUUGAACUUGUGAAAAUACUCUUUGCCACAAGUCGAGAUUCAUAGACGGUAACCUUACCUUCCACGUUCGUCUUCUUCUUAAAGAUCCAUUUAUCUUGGAUUUCAUGGCUUCUAACCAUUUGUCGGAAUAUGGGCCUACCAUCGCUUCUCCAUAGCUCAUAGGUUCAUCGUUGUCCAACAACAUGACUUCCAAGACAGGAUCACGUACUACUCUGAAGUAUUACGCAUCCUCGUCGUCCUACGAGGUUUGGUAGUGACUUGAUCCGAAGUUUCAUGAUCACUAUCAUAAGCUUCCACUUCAAUUGGUGUAGGUGCCACAGGAACAACUUCCUGUGCCCUGCUACACACUAGUUGAAGUGACGGUUCAAUAACCUUAUCAAGUCUCCACCAUCCUCCCACUCAAUUCUUUCGAGAGAAACUUUUCCUCGAGAAAGGACUCGUUUCUAGAAGCAAUUACUUUUGCUUCCAGAUCUGAAAUAGGAGGUAUACCCAACCGUUUUGGGUAUUCUUAUGAAGAUGUAUUUAUCCGCUUUGGGUUCGAGCUUAUCAGCCUGAAACUUUUUCACAUAAGCUUCGCAGCCCCAAACUUUUAAGAAACGACAACUUAGGUUUCUUUAAACGGUGUCGUCUCAACGGAAUUGCGUGGUGCCCUUUUUAAAGUGAAUGCGGUCUUCUCUAAUGCCUAACCCAUAAACGAUAGUGGUAAUUCGAUAAGAGACAUCAUGGUAUGCACCAUAUCCAAUAGGGUGCAGUUAUGAUGUUCGGACACACCAUCACACUAUGGUGUUCCAGGCGGUAUUACUUGUGAAACACUUUCCACAAUGUCUUAAUUGUGUGCCAAACUCGUAACUUGGAUACUCAUCUCUAUGAUCAUAUCACAGACAUUUUAUCCUCUUGUCACGACGAUCUUCAACUUCACUCUGAAAUUACUUGAACCUUUCAAUAAUUCAGACUUGUGUUUCAUCAAGUAAAUACACUCAGCAUCUACUCAAAUAAUCUAUGAAGUAAGAACAUAACGAUAUCCACUGCAUGCCUCAGCACUCAUUGGACUGCAUACAUCAAAAUGUGUUACUUCCAAUAAGUUGCUCUCUUGUUCCAUCUUACUGAAAACGAGGCCUUUCAGUCAUCUUGCCCAUGUGGUAUGAUUUGCAUGUCUCAAGUGAUUCAAAAUCAAGUGAGUCCAAACGAUCCAUCUGCAUGGAGUUUCUUCAUGCAUAUAUACCAAUAGACAUGGUUCGCAUGUCUCAUUCUUUUCAAAAACAAGUGAGAACAAGGAUCCAUCUACAUGGAGCUUCUUCAUGCGUUCUGUACCAAUAUGACUCAAGUGGCAGUGCCACAAGUAUGUGGUACUAUCAUUACCAUCUUAUAUCUUUUGGCAUGAACAUGUGUAUCACUACGAUCGAGAUUCAUUUUAGGUGCAAGACCAUUGAAGGUAUUAUUCAAAUAAACAAAGUAACCAUUAUUCUCCUUAAAUGAAUAACCGUAUUGCGAUAAACAUAAUCCAAUCAUGCUCAACGCAAACACCAAAUCUCGAUAGUAGAGGGAGCAUGCAAUGCUUGAUCACAUCAACCUUGGAAACACUUCCAACACACAUCGUCAUCUCACCUUUAGCCAGUCUCCAUUUAUUCCGCAGCUUUUAUUUCGAGUUACUAACACUUAGCAACCGAACCGGUAUCCAAUACCCUGGUGCUGCUAGGAGUACUAGUAAAGUACACAUUCAUAUAAUGUAUAUCCAAUAUACUUCUGUCGAUCUUGCCUGCCUUCUCAUCUACCAAGUACCUAGGGUAGUCCUGCUUCAGUGACCGUUCCCCUCAUUACAGAAGCACUUAGUCUCGGGUUUGGGUUCAACCUUGGGAUUCUUCACUAGAGCAGCAAAUGACUUGCUGUUUCAUGAAGUAUCCCUUUUGCCCUUGCCCUUCUUAAACUAGUGGUUUUACUAACCAUCAACAAUUGAUGCUCCUUCUUGAUUUCUACUCUCGCGGUGUCAAACAUCGCGAACAGCUCAAGGAUCAUCAUAACUAUCCCUGAUUUGUUAUAGUUCAUCACGAAGCUCUACUAGCUUGGUGGCAGUGACUAUGGAGAACUAUCACUAUUUCAUCUGGGAGAUUAACUCCCACUCGAUUCAAGCGAUUGUGGUACUCAGACAAUCUGAGCACACGCUCAACGAUUGAGCUUUUCUCCCUUAGUUUGCAGGCUUAAGAAACUUGUCAGAGGUCUCAUACCUCUUGACGUGGGCACUAGUCUGAAAUCCCAAUUUCAAUCUUCGGAACAUCUCAUAUGUUCUGCGACGUUUCAAAAACGUCUUUGGUGCCACAAUUCUAAACCGUUAGCAUUACGCACUGAACUAUCACGUAGUCAUCAAAACGUGUAUGUCAGAUGUUUCGCAACAUCUACAGACGACGCUAAGGUUCAGCACACCGGUCGGUGCAUUAAGGACAUAUGCCUUCUGUGCAGCAAUGAGGACAAUCCUCAGUUUACGGACCCAGUCCGCAUAAUUGCUACUAUCAACUUUCAACUAAAUUUUCUCUAGGAACAUAUCUUAAACAGUAGAACUAAAGCGCAAGAUAUGACAUAAUUUGCAAAGACUUUUUGACUAUGUUCAUGAUAAUGAAGUUCAUCUGAUUAUUGAACUCCCACUCAGAUAGACAUCCCUCUAGUCAUCUAAGUGAUACAUGACCCGAGUCAAACUAGGCCGUGUCCGAUCAUCACGUGAGACGGACUAGUCAUCAUCGGUGAACAUCUCCAUGUUGAUCAUAUCUACUAUGCGACUCAUGUUCGACCUUUCGGUCUCUUGUGUUCCGAGGCCAUGUCUGUACAUGCUAGGCUCGUCAAGUCAACCUAAGUGUUUCGCAUGUGUUCCGAGGCCAUGUCUGUACAUGCUAGGCUCGUCAACACCCGUUGUAUUCGAACGUUAGAAUCUAUCACACCCGAUCAUCACGUGGUGCUUCGAAACAACGAACCUUGGCAACGGUGCACAGUUAGGGGGGACACGUCUCUUGAAAUUUUAGUGAGGGAUCAUCUUACUUACUACCGUUGUUCUAAGCAAAUAAGAUGCAUAACAUGAUAAACAUCACAUGCAAUCAAAUAGUGACAUGAUAUGGCCAAUAUCAUUUUGCUCCUUUGAUCUCCAUCUUUGGGGCACCAUGAUCAUCUUUGUCACCGGCAUGACACCAUGAUCUCCAUCAUCAUGAUCUCCAUCAUUGUGUCUUCAUGAAGUUGCCACGCCGACGAUUACUUCUACUUCUAUGGCUAACGCGCUUAGCAAUAAAGUAAAGUAAUUUACAUGGCGUUAUUCAAUGACACGCAGGUCAUACAAAAAAUAAAGACAACUCCUAUGGCUCCUGCCGGUUGUCAUACUCAUCGACAUGCAAGUCGUGAUCCCUAUUACAAGAAUAUGAUCAAUCUCAUACAUCACAUAUAUCAUUCAUCAUAUCUUCUGGCCAUAUCACAUCACAUAGCACAUGCUGCAAAAACAAGUUAGACGUCCUCUAAUUGUUGUUGCAAGUUUUUACGUGGCUUGUAUAGGUUUCUAGCAAGAACGUUUCUUACCUACGUAAAACCACAACAUGAUAUGCUAAUUUCUAUUUACCCUUCAUAAGGACCCUUUUCAUCGAAUCCGUUCCGACUAAAGUGGGAGAGACAGACACCCGCUAGCCACCUUAUGCAACUAGUGCAUGUCAGUCGGUGGAACCUGUCUCACGUAAGUGUACGUGUAAGGUCGGUCCGGGCCGCUUCAUCCCACAAUGCCGCCGAAACAAGAUAAGACUAGUAGCGGCAAGAAGAAUUGGCAAAAUCGACGCCCACAACUACUUUGUGUUAUAUUCGUGCAUAGAAACUACGCAUAGACCUAGCUCAUGAUGCCACUGUUGGGGAACGUAGCAGAAAUUCAAAAUUUUCUACGCAUCACCAAGAUCAAUCUAUGGAGUUUACUUGCAACGAGAGGGAAGGAGUGCGUCUACAUACCCUGGUAGAUCGCGAGCGGAAGCGUUGCAAGAACGCGGAUGAGGGAGUCGUACUCGUAGCGAUUUAGAUCGCGGUUGAUUCCGAUCUAAGCGCCGAACCACGGCGCCUCCGCGUUCAACACACGUGCAGCCCGGUGACGUCUCCCACGCCUUGAUCCAGCAAGGUGAGAGGGAGAGGUUGGGGAAGACUCCAUCCAGCAGCAGCACGACGGCGUGGUGGUGGUGGAGGAGCGUGGCAAUCCCGCAGGGCUUUGCCAAGCACCGCGGGAGAGGAGGAGGAGGGAGAGGGGAAGGGCUGCGCCGAAAGAGAGACGUUCUCGUGUGUCUUGGGCAGCCCAAACCUCAACUAUAUAUAGGGGGAGGGUGCUGAGCCCCCCUCUAGGGUUCCCACCCAAAGAGGAGGCGGCCAGCCCUAUAUCCCAUCAAGGGGGGGCGGCCAAGGGGAGGAGAGGGGGCGCGCCCCACUAGAUGGGCCCUAAGGCCCAUCUGGACCUAGGGUUUGCCCCCUCCCACUCUCCCACGCGCCUUGGGCCUUGGUGGGGGGGCGCACCAGCCCACUUGGGGCUGGUCCCCUCCCACACUUGGCCCACGCAGCCUUCUGGGGCUGGUGGCCCCACUUGGUGGACCCCCGGGACCCUCCCGGUGGUCCCGGUACAUUACCGAUAUCACCUGAAACUUUUCCGGUGACCAAAACAGGACUUCCCAUAUAUAAAUCUUUACCUCCGGACCAUUCCGGAACUCCUCGUGAUGUCCGGGAUCUCAUCCAGGACUCCGAACAACAUUCGGUAACCACGUACAAACUUUCCCUAUAACCCUAGCGUCAUCGAACCUUAAGCGUGUAGACCCUACGGGUUCGGGAACCAUGCAGACAUGACCGAGACGUUCUCCGGUCAAUAACCAACAGCGGGAUCUGGAUACCCAUGUUGGCUCCCACAUGUUCCACGAUGAUCUCAUCGGAUGAACCACGAUGUCGGGGAUUCAAUCAAUCCCGUAUGCAAUUCCCUUUGUCUAUCGAUAUGUUACUUGCCCGAGAUUCUAUCGUCGGUAUCCUAUACCUUGUUCAAUCUCGUUACCGGCAAGUCUCUUUACUCGUUCCGUAACUCACAUCAUCCUGUGAUCAACUCCUUGGUCACAUUGUGCACAUUAUGAUGAUGUCCUACCGAGUGGGCUCAGAGAUACCUCUCCGUUUACACGGAGUGACAAAUCUCAGUCUCGAUUCGUGCCAACCCAACAGACACUUUCGGAGAUACCUGUAGUGCACCUUUAUAGACACCCAGUUACGUUGUGAUGUUUGGUACACCCAAAGCAUUCCUACGGUGUCCGGGAGUUGCACAAUCUCAUGGUCUAAGGAACUGAUACUUGACAUUAGAAAAGCUCUGAGCAAACGAACUACACGAUCUUGUGCUAGGCUUAGGAUUGGGUCUCGUCCAUCACAUCAUUCUCCUAAUGAUGUGAUCCCGUUAUCAACGACAUCCAAUGUCCAUGGUCAGGAAACCGUAACCAUCUAUUGAUCAACGAGCUAGUCAACUAGAGGCUUACUAGGGACAUGGUGUUGUCUAUCUAUCCACACAUGUAUCUGAGUUUCCUAUCAAUACAAUUCUAGCAUGGAUAAUAAACGAUUAUCAUGAACAAGGAAAUAUAAUAAUAACCAAUUUAUUAUUGCCUCUAGGGCAUAGUUCCAACACACAGUUUCAUCAAUUUCUUCUUCCAUAGAUUCCUGCAAAAUAUUAGUCUCUUCUGGGACAGCGGAGACUUUCUCAAUAAGUGCAUUAAUAUCGGAAUUGUAUUCAUAAUUCUCAUAGCAAUAUUUGAGGAUAGCUAAAUUUUCAGGUCUAUAAACAGCAUCAUCAAAAGCUUCAAACUCUUUAAACAUAGAUUCAAUUUCAUAAUCACCCAUAAAAGCAACAAAUUCUUCUAUUUGUUCCACAUCAUAGUAAUCAUAUAUACCAUUAGCAUAAGAAGCUAAGGUUUUAUUAUCAUUAAAUUUGCAUGAAAAGGGAAGUUGUGGAGCCUUCAUCCUAGAGCAACAAGUAUAAUCAUAACUCAAGCAUACUUGCCGAGCAUACCACUUCAAUAUAUGAAUUUGAUCCCAUAAUAGUUUCCCUUUUUGUGUCAAGCGAUAAUCCCUAAAGUAUUCACGUUGAUCCAACGUCACUCCCAUUACAUAAUAUCUGUCACAUAACAAGCAUCGAGGGUUUUAGGAGGUUCCCCAUCUCCAUGAGCAGCAAGCACACCUAAUUUUGUUUGUAUUUCGUGUUCCAUAUCCAUAACUAAAGAUAGAGAACAACUAAGAACAGCAAAUAAAAAAUACUUGGUGAUAAAGCAAACAAGCACAGACGAGAAUAUUCACCCCACGCUAUUGCUCCCCGGCAACGGCGCCAGAAAAAGGUCUUGAUAACCCACAAGUAUAGGGGAUCAAUUGUAGCCUCUUUCGAUAAGUAAGAGUGUCGAACCCAACGAGGAGCUAAAGGUAGAACAAAUAUUCCCUGUAGCCUCUUUCGAUAAGUAAGAGUGUCGAACCCAACGAGGAGCUAAAGGUAGAACAAAUAUUCCCUCAAGUUCUAUCGACCACCGAUACAACUCUACGCACGCUUGACGUUCGCUUUACCUAGAACAAGUAUGAAACUAGAAGUACUUUGUAGGUGUUGUUGGAUAGGUUUGCAAGAAAAUAAAGAGCGCGUAAAUAAAAAGUAGGGGCUGUUUAGAUGAAGACACAACUAAAUUAGUUUUAGUAGAGAGCUUUUUGUUACGAGAAAGUUAUUUGUCCCUAGGCAAUCGAUAACUAGACCGGUAAUCACUAUUGCAAUUUUAUUUGAGGGAGAGGCAUAAGCUAACAUACUUUCUCUACUUGGAUCAUAUGCACUUAUGAUUGGAACUCUAGCAAGCGUCCGCAACUACUAAAGAUCAUUAAGGUAAAACCCAACCAUAGCAUUAAAGCAUCAAGUCCUCUUUAUCCCAUACGCAAACAACCUACUUACUCAGGUCUGUGCUUCUGUCACUCACGCCACCCACCAUAAGCAAAUCAUGAACAUAUUGCAAACCCUACAGCGGGAAUCCCUCACGCUUGCGCGACACGGAGAGCACCAUAGGAUAGCACCAAUAAUAAAACAUGCAACUCAAACCAAUCUUGAUCAUCAAAUAACCCGUAGGACAAAACGGAUCUACUCAAACAUCAUAGGAUAGCCAUACAUCAUUGGGAAAUAAUAUAUAGCAUUGAGCACCAUGUUUAAGUAGAGAUUACAGCGGGUAAGAGAGAGGUUACACUGCUGCAUAGAGGGGGGAAGAGUUGGUGAUGAUGGCGGUGAAGUUGUUGGUGAAGAUUGCGGUGAUGAUGAUGGCCACGGCGGCGUUCCGGCGCCACCGGAAGAGAAGGGGAGAGGGGGCCCCUUCGUCUUCUUCUUCCUUGACCUCCUCCCUAGAUGGGAGAAGGGUUUACCCUCUGGUCCUUGGCCUCCAUGGCGUGGGAGGGGCGAGAGCCCCUCCGAGAUUGGAUCUGUCUCUCUGUCUCUCUCUAUUUCUGCCUUCUGUUCUGCUGCCCUUUCACCGUUUCUUUUAUAUCCGGAGAUCCGUAACUCCGAUUGGGUUGAAUCUUUCGCCCAGAUCUUUCUCAUAAAACUAGCUUUCUUGCGGCAAAAGAAGAGCGUCAACCGCCUUAUGGGGUGCCCACGAGGGUCCAGGGCGCGCCUGCCCCCUGAGGCGCGCCCCCUGCCUCGUGGCCCCCUCGGGCACCGUCUCGCGUUGAUUUUACUUCCCAAAAAUCAUAAAUAUUCCAAAAUAAUUCUCCUUCCGUUUUUAUCCCGUUUGGACUCCGUUUGAUAUGGGGUUUCUGCGAAACAUAAAACAUGCAACAAACAGGAACUGGCACUAGGCAGUGGAUCAAUAUGUUAGUCCCAAAAAUAGUAUAAAAAGUUGCCAAAAGUAUAUGAAAGUUGUAGAAUAUUGGCAUGGAACAAUAAAAAAUUAUAGAUACGACAGAGACGUAUCACUUAGCACUUGAUCGUUUAGUAUGUUGCUAUUGCUUUCUUCAUGACUUAUACAUGUUCCUAUAACUAUGAGAUUAUGCAACUCCCGUUUACCGGAGGAACACUUUGUGUGCUACCAAACGUCACAACGUAACUGUGUGAUUAUAAAGGUCCUCUACAGGUGUCUCCAAAGGUACUUGUUGGGUUGGCGUAUUUCGAGAUUAGGAUUUGUCACUCCGAUUGUCGGAGAGGUAUCUCUGGGCCCACUAGGUAAUGCACAUCACUAUAAGCCUUGCAAGCAUUGCAACUAAUGAGUUAGUUGCGAGAUGAUGUAUUACGGAACGAGUAAAGAGACUUGCCGGUAAUGAGAUUGAACUAGGUAUUGAGAUACCGACGAUCGAAUCUCGGGCAAGUAACAUACCGAUGACAAAGAGAACAACGUAUGUUGUUAUGCGGUUUGACCGAUAAAGAUCUUCGUAGAAUAUGUGGGAGCCAAUAUGAGCAUCCAGGUUCCGCUAUUGGUUAUUGACCGGAGACAUGUCUCGGUCAUGUCUACAUAGUUCUCGAACCCGUAGGGUCCGCACGCUUAAAGUUCGAUGACGGUUAUAUUAUGAGUUUAUGAGUUUUGAUGUACCGAAGGUUGUUCGAAGUCCCGGAUGUGAUCUUGGACAUGACGAGGAGUCUCGAAAUGGUCGAGACUUAAAGAUCGAUAUAUUGGACGACUAUAUUUGGAUACCGGAAUGGUUCCGGGUGAGAUCGGGAUAAUACCGGAGCUCCGGAAGGUUAUCGGAACCCCCCGGGAGGUAUAUAGGCCUUAAUGGGCUUUAGUGGAAAGGAGGGAAAAGGAGCAAGGGAGGGCCACUCCCCAAGCCCAAUCCGAAUUGGGAGGGAGGCCGGCCCCCCUUUCCUUCCUCCCUCCUUCCUCUUCCUUCCCUUUCCCUCUCCAAAUAGGAAAAGGAGGAGUCCUACUCCCGGUGGGAGUAGGACUCCCCCCUUGGGUGCGCCUCCUCCCCUUGGCCGGCCCUCUCCUCCCCCUUUAUAUACGGAGGAGAGGGGCACCCCAUAGACACAACAAUUGAUCUCUUUGAUCUUUUAGCCGUGUGCGGUGCCCCUCUCCACCAUAGUCCACCUCGAUAAUAUCGUAGCGGUGCUUAGGCGAAGCCCUGCGUCGGUAGAACAUCAUCAUCGUCACCACGCCGUCGUGCUGACGGAACUCUCCCUCAAAGUUCGGCUGGAUCGGAGUUCGAGGGACGUCAUCGAGUUGAACGUGUGCAGAACUCGGAGGUGCCGUGCGUUCGGUACUUGAUCGAUCGGAUCGUGAAGACGUAUGACUACAUCAACCGCGUUGUGCUAACGCUUCCGCUUUCGGUCUAUGAGGGUACGUGGACAACACUCUCCCCUCUCGUUGCUAUGCAUCACCAUGAUCCUGUGUGUGCGUAGGAAUUUUUUUGAAAUUACUACAUUCCCCGACAGAACCCUCUUCUAAUCUUCUUGGGCGUCUCUUUUGUUGGGUCGGUUGGAUCACCCACUUCUUCCUCGGUGUCGAUGCCAGUGGUCUUGACGGUGUUGGUAAUGAAUAAAUUCCACUUGGGUUGCCCAGUCAACUUCAAGCAACAAUGCACGAGGACGAAGUUAUUCUUGUCCACCUUCAGAAACAGGUUACACGCACGGGAAGGCUGCAAAGGCAAACAUGUCAUCAAGUUGCAUAUCCGGCCAAAUGACCAACACACAUAACAACGUACUUGUUCGGUGAUUUGCACACCACUUGGCCACCGAUCAAUUAGUUGCUUCAAAUUGCCGCAAUACUUGGACACGUCCUUUUGGAUAAUGUAUCACCGAUGGUUAAACGACUUUACCCCACGGUUGCGGAUUAGUUCGUCGGCGUAGGGAUCAAAAUAUUUGUGCUCAUCGAACCAAGUGUGAAUGUUGGCCUAAAAUGUUGUGCCCUUUUGCUUCGUGCCAUGGAUCGGAAUGAUGCUAGUGGCCAACCACGAAUCACCUUCAUGUGCACUCCCUCAUGUUGAAGCUUUCUCCUCUACCCUACUUCUUUGGAUCCGCAACAAAUUCAUCUGGAUCAAGGUCGUCGUUGCAAUCCUCCUCCGGCUCCUGCUGGCCGGUGUACGAAUCUGGUUGCUGGUAUACGUGUCUGACUCCAUGCCCGGCUGCGUGGACUCCAAGUCAUCCACUUGUCUGUCCUCGUAGCAGCUCCGCCUUCGUCGUGAAUCAUCUCAAACAUCUGCUUGUCUGUGUCGUCAUACGCCGGCUCGCCCGGUUGAGACAUACCGUCGAACAGAUAGCAGGCACCAAGCUGCUCCACGCGCGGUGCCUGAGUCCGGACAAGUAGUGGGGCUGUAAACCCGACGCGCGAGAGGAUGCGUAUCGGACGGCCAACUACAAUCAAGCCACGAAAUCUGAUGUCAAGAAGCGUGGAUGCGUGAGAGGACAUGGAUCAGGCUCAGCUUUUGUUGUCCUGAAUAAAUACUUUUGUGUGAAUAAAGCUCUCUCAAUUGUCCGAAAAAAUAGAAAAACAUAAAAGAGGAAACCUCUCCUUUUGGUUGAAAAAAUAAAAUAAAAGAGAAAAUCUCUCGUCUUGGUUGGCAGCAUGGUGGGAGUUGAAUAACCAGGGCAAUAAUGACGAGAGUUUUUCACGGGAAUUAAUUACACGCCUUGGCCCCUGCGCACCGGCUGGCCUGCCUGUAGACUGCAGUCCUGUGCGGGCUCGAGACUGGCUGGCAUGCCUACCGAUGCGUUGACCAGAACUCUUGAUGUUCACUACUCGUUGACCUUGUUUCUAAAAAAAACUACUCGUUGACCUUUCCGCGAAGCCUGCCUGCACGCGUACCUCGGUGCCCAAAACAGCACUCUACUCAUGACAUAGAGGUCUAUGCACAUUUCUUAUUUUAUUUUAUUUUGCUAGAAAACUUUCAGUCUAUUCAUCUUCUAUUUCCUAAUUGCAGAAAAUGAACCUCAAGUCUGUUCUUUGUAGUACAAAAAUAGAGAAUCAAAUUUGUGUCAGUAGGGCAAAACACAAUAGAAUCUUUUUCACGUCGUUCACUCCUCGUAUCCGGGACCAAAGCUUCGUCGUGCGUACUUUAUUUUUUUAACAUAUCAGAAAUUAGUCAACGAGUAUGCUUUUACUAAGUGUAUCAUUCAUUGAUAGAAGAAGAUCAGAACGAAUACAAGAUAUGAUUACAACACAUGACACGGACGCAAAAGGCGUGAACAUGGUGAUCUGAGCAGAGAAACAAGGGAUGCUCGGCCCAAAAUAAGAAAAAACACAGCUAAACUCGCCAUCUUGAGAAGUAGCGCAAACCACCAACAAGACAACCAACAACCUCAGAUCCAAGCCCGAGGACGCCACGAGCAAAGAAAACGACACCUUCAAGAAGGAGAACGACGCCUAGACGCCGCCGCCGUCCGAUCCAGAUAGCCGGACCUAGGGUUUCCCCCGCUGCUCGAAGAGGGGCUCAGAACCGGCCGUGACAACGCCACCAAGGAGGGGACGGCACCCACGGGUGUCGCCGCUGCCAGCAUCCAAUGCAGGGAUUUCGCCCUGGCCAUAGUCCGAGCAAUCCCAAGCCGUCAGAACACGAUCGGAGUAGAGGAAGUCUGGUAUAGGUCGGUGCCAGAACCGCAGGAGGGGAGCCACGCCCGUCACUGAAGAGGCAUCGGGAUCAAGCUCCGUCGUGCGUACUUUAUUAUUUGCUUUAACAUAUCAGAAAUUAGUCAUUCCUUUUUUUGCGAGGGAGAAAUUAGUCGUUCCUAAAAAUCUUAUUCUACGAGACAUGCAAAACAAAAGUGCUCAGCGAGACAUUUUCUUGAACACGAUACAAUCGAAGUCACGAGACAAUCAGUCGUCACUUGCACUGUUUGAAGAUAUAAAUCCAAUGCUAAGUUUAGUCGAGUUGUUUGGAUGGUAGCCCACACUUACUUUACCAAUAUUUUGGCGUUGACCAAAAGCAUGGGUUUGUAUUUGGUUUGAAGCCUUUUCACUUCACACUAAUUUUGUGGUAUGCUAGUUGAGACACUGCACCAUUCACGGACGGCGAAUUUGCUUGCCAAAAUCUUGGUAUGCCCUUAUUUGGUAGGGUUGCCUCAGGCGUCAACCAAACAGUCCCCUAGUAAUCGUCACUUGAUGUUUGGCUCAUGCUUUACGGUUCCUGCACAACGUGUCCAUCGACUGGUUCAAAAAAAAUCGACUGACCAAAAUGGUGUAAGUCGAUUCCAAGAGAUAAUUAACUUGUCCAAAUUAUAUUUUGAGGCGACUUGUCCGUAGCCAGUCCCAUAGUGCAAGCUUUGACGAGCAAGGGCCAGCCCCUCUCAAAUCGCUCGUUGCGCUGGAGAUCAGUCACAUGCACUCCCCCACGCUUUCACGAAAAAUAGCACGCCGGAGGCCUCCUCGCAUGUCGCAUGGCCCAAGUUCCACCGCGCGCAGGAGAUAAUUUUGCCCUGUUUGUUUGAGCUUCAGGAAUCAGAUUCGGCUUUGCCGGUGAAGCUGAAUCUGGAAUCGGAAACAAACAGCUAUUUCAAAUCAGCUUUGCGAGUGAAGCUGAAUCUGGAAUCGGAAACAAACAGCUAUUUCAAAUCAGCUUUGCGAGUGAAGCUGGAUCUGGAUUUGGGUCAUUUUUAGUGCAAUUUGUUGAAGCACCUCAAAGUGUAUUUCGGUGGCGAAGCUGAUUCGCAGAAUCUGCUUUACCACUAAAGCGAAAUUACAGAUGAUUUGAAUCCAAUCAAAACUGGAACAAACAUGAUCUAUAUAACUGUGAAUCAGCUUUGCCACUAAAGUGAUUCCCUAGGUGAUUCGAAUCAGAUCAAAGCUGAAACAAACAAGGCGACUCAGGGAAACUGGUUGUGGGCGCGUCAAGCCACUGCAGGGCAGGCCAUCGUGUCGUGCGGUGAGACGAAAUUACUAAUUUCAAAAUUUUGAAAUAACAAGCUGCUAGUACUGCUUGUCUAUUAGUACAUCUACAUAUCCAAAUGAAUGAAAAAAAUAUGAUUUGUAGAACACUAUUAGCGAGAAAAGCAAGUCAUGCACCAUACAAAUACAGGAGGAGAUGAACAAUGCAGAUUCAAAAACACUACUUAUAUACUGAUGAUAAACUGACAAACCAUCAAACAAGACUGGAAUAUCAACCAAAUACUCUCAGAGGUUGACCAUGCACUAGUAGAAAAAGGGGCUUUUACCCCGGUUGGUAAGGGUUUUUUGUCCCGGUUUUCGAACCGGGACUAAAGGGUCGUUACUAAAGCCCUAACCCUUUAGUCCCGGUUCUUACACGAACCGGGACAGAAGGUCCUCCACGUGGCCGCUGCUGCCAGCCCAGGUAGGGGGGCCUUUGGUCCCGGUUGGUGGGCAGGGACCAAUAGGCAUCCACGCGUCAGCAUUUCAGGGGCUGGGGUUUUUGUUUUUUUUAAGGGGGGUGGGGGGUUUUGGGGGGUUAAUUUAGGUGUUUCAUAUAUUGUGUUAGCUAGCUAAUUAAUAGAGAGAAGUGUCCUCUCUUAUCUCCGUGCUUGGUCGACGCUACGUACUAUAUACGUAUGGAGAGGACUAGACACGCUAGCUAGUAAGCAAAUGAAGGAAACAGAAGAUCGUCAUGAACAUAUGCAUACAGAGAGAAGUGAUAUCGACCACCUCUCCUUCUCCGAGAGAUUGGUCGAACAACAAGUUCUCGUAUAUCUAUUUGACACUACCGGCUACAUAUAUACAAUAAUUAUCUCUUACAAUAUAAUCUCCUAAUUAAAUUGUAAGAACACAGGGUCCACAUAGUAUUCUUCGUUUUCAGCGAUCACGUGGUCAAGGAAGAAUGCCGCCAAUUCCUCUUGAAUUGCUCGCAUACGAUCUUCUGCUAGGAGUUCAUCCCGCAUCUGAAACAUCUAAUUUGAAGAAGGGGGUCAAUACAUAUAUAUAUGAAUAAAUGAAACUCGACACAAAUGAUGGUAAUAAAAUAAAAUUAUGAAUAUUAUUGCUUACGCACUUCAUAUUGUUCAUCAGAGUAGCCCCGCUCACAGGUCGUGUGACGGAUAGACUCACAAACGUAGUAUCCACAUAAAUCAUUCCCUUGUUCCUGCCACAACCACUUUACAAGAAAUAGAGGUCAAUCUAACUGAUAAGCAAGCGUGCUAAAUGGUAUUGAUGAAACUAGCGCUUGAAUCACUAGGAGAUGUGCGGAACAUGCUACUAUAGUACUUACUUUCGGGUGUCUAAAUUGCAGCUUCUUCGGCAGUCCCGGAGCUUUUGUGGUGAAUUUUCUCCAAACCCUGCCAGACAAAGAAAACAAUUACUUGAUAUCAGGAAAUGAAUAAAGUUGCUGAUAUGGUGGAUAAUGAUCGAUUUAACUUACUUCUCGAGCAUUUGAGUCAUGUCCGCAUAGUCCUGGGGAUCUUUUCGUCUCGAGUCUAAGACGGUUACUACUCCCUGCUCAAGCUUAAUCUCUAGGAGAAUAUAGUGGAAGCUGCGCAUGCAUGCAUAAGUCAUCAAUUACAUUACCAUAACAUGGACUAAUAAGGGAAACCGAUUAUGCACAAGACAGUAACACUCACUUGAAGUUGUAAGGAAAGAGUAUUAUAUCUUUGUUUUGAUUUAAUACCAACGAUCGUAGCAAGUUGGCCUCGGCUUUUUGGCAUGUUUUUCAACCGUAUAUGCAUCUAUGAGAUUUGUGUUAAUGAACCCAAUAUCACCGAUUUGUCUUUUCUUCAAUUCGGCGAUCUUCAAUCUGCAUAAUAUAGUGAGGAUAAUUAUAAAUACAUGCAAUGAAAGAGCUGACCUAUAUAGAGAGACUUAAUAACAUAAGUAGUACUACUUACAGACAGUAGCAAGUGAUCGUUGAUUUAUCGAGGGCCUUUUGAUUGAAAAACUGGAAGAACUCCUCAAAUGGAACAUUCAGCAGUUCAAUUCCAACGAGGUCAUGCUCCGGUUUAACUCUCAGCGUCAAAGUAUUCAUCCCAUCAAACUCUCUGCAGGUUUUCAUGUACCAAUCAUGUAAUCUUCGCAUCAUCGUUGUUAGAGAUCUUUCAUCUUUGACGAGAGGCUUCCCAUAAUGGUAUUUGUGUUCGUCCACCUCCAUGAUUUCAUAAUGUACAUCGUCGGGCAGGUAAUCUCCAAGAUUGCUAUAACCGGCCACCAUCCUCGGAUCAUUAGUGACAAUGUCUUUAGACACCUUGAGCAGGGGGCACGAUUGGUUCGUUGUUCGCCGAGCUGGGCAAUUUUUUUCCCAGCUCGUCGUUCUUUUAACCUUUGAUCACUGACAGUACUUCCCGACCGCUCCGCUUCGACAAAUGUCUUUGAAAUAAUGCGCUCAUAGUUGCCUUUCGGCGGAGACUUUGGUGGUUUUGUCAGGGCAUCCAGAGUGCGCUUCGCUUUCACCGGAUCUACCUUCUCCUCCGGAGGUGGAUGUUUCUUUGCUUUCACCCCUUCAAAGAAGUUCUUCACUUCGGCUCGCACGAUCUUCGCGUUCUCCUCCUCGGUCCUCUCGUAUGGUAACUUCUCUGGAGUCUUCAGAGAAGGACCGAAUCUGUAUUGCCUCCCACCUCUGGCAGCUGUACUGCUAGACGCCGGCAGAGCAGACGGAGCGGCUGCGGCUGUCUUCUUUCCUUGCUUACGAGGCGGAGGAGAAGGACUACGACGCGCCGGAGCAGCCGGAGCGGCGGCGGGUCUCUUCCGCCCUUGCUGACGAGGCGGAGAAGGAGGAGGCUGGCUGCUCUGGCACGCCGGCGCAGGCGGAGAAGGAGGCGGAGUGCCGCCACGCGCCGGAGAAGGAGGCUGAGUGCCCUGAUCACUCGCCGGAGGAGGAGGCGGAGUGCCGCCACGCGCCGGAGAAGGAGGCUGAGUGCCCUGAUCACUCGCCGGAGGAGGAGGCGGAGGAGGAGGCGGAGUGCCGCCACGCGCCGGAGAAGGAGGCUGAGUGCCCUGAUCACUCGCCGGAGGAGGAGGCGGCGGCGGAGUGCCCUUACUCGCCGGAGGCGUCCAGUUCGGAAGGUUAAUGAGCUCCUUCCGCCAUAGGCACGGAGUCUUCAGAGCUAAACCCAGCCGAGUCUCCCCUUCACCGGUAGGAUGGUCAAGCUGGAGGUCCUCAAAUCCCUCCGUUAUUUCAUCCACCAUCACCCUAGCAUAUCCUUCUGGAAUCGGCCGGCAGUGGUAGGUUGCGCCGGGUUCAGGAGGUAAAACAGAGCCAACAACCGCCUUGACUUUGAAGUUCUGCCAUUGCGCCAUAAGGUGGCAAUGUUGAGACUCCGUGAUAGCAUCCACGGGGUAGCUAGCAGGAGCCGUCAAGACAUGCUCUGGCUGAAGCAGCUCGGUGGAAGCCACACUGCUUCUCCGCUGAGAUGGCGGGGUAGUUUCGGCAUGUCGAUUGCCGUCUCGUUCCUCUAGCGCUUGAACCCUUUCGUGCAGCUUCUGAAUUUGGGUCUGCUCCAUUUUUUUCCUCCUCUCCUGGCUUUUGUAACCGCCUGCGUCCGGAAAACCAGCCUUCCACGGAACGAAGCUUGGCGUGCCUCGUGUCCGUCCAGGGUGCUCAGGAUUCCCGAGGGCCAUUGUGAGCUCGUCGUUCUCUCUGUCUGGAACGAACGUCCCUUCCUGCGCUGCAUCGAUAUAUUGCUGAAUCUUCUUGACUAGUAUUCUCAAAAGCUCGUUCGUCCAAACGCACCUCCCUGAUACAGGGUCCAAGGUUCCGCCAGCCCCGAAGAACCAAGUCCGACAACGGUCUGUCCAGUUCAUCGUCUGUGGUUCGAUCCCUUUUUCAAGCAGAUCAUUCUCAGCCUCGGCCCACUUAGGCCGGGUUUUGAGGUAGCCACCUGACCCCGUGCGAUGGUGAAGCUUCUUCUUCACAGCAUUCUUCUUGUUUGUCGCUGACAUCUUCUUACUCUUUUCCGAUGUCUUGUGGGCCACAAAUGCAGGCCAGUGAUCUCUGAUCUUCUCAUACCGGCCGAUGAAUUCUGGUGUCUCUUCUUUGUCGACAAACGUUUUCAGUUCAUUCUUGCACCUCCUGAAUAGGUCUGCCAUCUUCUUAAGAGAAUGAGACUUGACUAAUUGCUCUUUAACUAGCUUCUCCAGAUCCUCCUCUGGCGGUAGGGUGAAAUUUGCCUUCAGCUCGGUCCAAAGAUCAUCUUUCUGCAUAUCAUUGACAUAAGACACCUCAGGGUCUUCCUUCUUAGGCUUAUACCAUUGGUGGAUGCUGAUCGGGAUCUUGUCCCUAACUAGAACCCCGCACUGAGCAGCAAAUGCAUCCUUUGUCCGGAUGGGUUCAAUCGGUUGGCCGUCGCGCGCGAUUGCUGUGAUCUCAAACCUUUCAUCCGAGCGCAACUUUCUCUUCGGGCCUCGUCUCUUUACCGAAGUUGUGCUUGAUCUGGAGGGAUAAAAAAAGAAGAAAGACGAGUGUUAAUUAAUAUGUGUACAUACCAAAACAAUGAAUGCAUCAAUUAGCUAGUCAGCACAGGCUUAACUAAUAUAUUUACCUGGCCGGACUCUGUUCGGUCACCGGAGCCGUCACCACGGGCUCCUUCUUGCACCAGCAUUGGGUCACCGGAGCCAUCAUAAUCAUGUCUUUCCUCCUCCACUCUUCGAUCACCGUAGCCUGCUUCUUCACCCUGUUCUUCCAGACCAUCAUUGUCGUUAAGAUACGACAAGAUAUCACCUCCGUCUAAGAUUAUGUCCCCCAACACCUCUUCUGCUUGCUCGUCUCGUCCGUGCUCCAUUGUUUCUGCAAAUAUUACAACAUGGCAAUUAUUACACAAACAUGACAGCAGGUGGAUAUAUUAGUGCAAACGUAGACCUAGCUUAUUCCGGGUUUGGGGUGGCCUUGGUAACGCUUCAAGGGUAGGGGCGCGGCGGGAGGGGGUAGGAGACCGACAUCGUUUUUUUCUAGGGUUUGGGUGUCCUCGAGAGUUUUGGUCGAGCGAGAGGGCCGGGGGGUGCUCCCGUGGUAUAAGUUAUCACAGUCGAGAGGGGGUAUAAAUAUCGACCGUCCAUCAUGUCGAAGUUAUCUGGGAGGGAGUUAUAUAUAUCGACAACGACGACAUACAUACAUGGGAAAAUAAUGUUAUCGGGGAGGGGGUAUAUCGACCCCCCCACAUGUUGAAGUUAUCGGGAGGGGGUUAUAUCGACAACGACGACAUACGUACAUGGGAAAAUAAUAUUAUCGGGGAGGGGGUAUAUCGACCCCCCCCCCUCGUGUUGAAGUUAUCGGGAGAGGGGUAUAUCGACGACGACAGACCCGAUAAAACAUAAGAAAACAAAGAAGAAAUAAAAAGAGGAGAAGAAGAAAUUAAUAGAGGAGAAGAUCGAAGAAAAAAANNNNNNNNNNNNNNNNNNNNNNNNNNNNNNNNNNNNNNNNNNNNNNNNNNNNNNNNNNNNNNNNNNNNNNNNNNNNNNNNNNNNNNNNNNNNNNNNNNNNNNNNNNNNNNNNNNNNNNNNNNNNNNNNNNNNNNNNNNNNNNNNNNNNNNNNNNNNNNNNNNNNNNNNNNNNNNNNNNNNNNNNNNNNNNNNNNNNNNNNNNNNNNNNNNNNNNNNNNNNNNNNNNNNNNNNNNNNNNNNNNNNNNNNNNNNNNNNNNNNNNNNNNNNNNNAGAAAAAAAAGAAGAAAAAAAAAGAGGAGAAGAAGAAAGGAAUAGAGGAGAGAAGAAGAAAAAAUAGAAUUUUUUCUAUUUUUUCUUCUUUUCUUCUAUUCCUUUCUUCUUCUCCUCUUCUUUUUCUUCUUUUUUCCUCUUCUUAUUUAUUUCUCCUCUUCUUCCUCUCCUCUUCUUCUCCUUUCUUCCUCUUCUUAUUUUCCUUUUUCCUCUCAUUCAUAAAAAAAUGUUCAUAUAGAAAAUUUCAAAAAAAAGUAAAGGUUUUGCCUAAUGCAUUGUUCAUAUGAAUAUACAAACAUUUGCAUAUUAUCCAAUAAUUAAUAUCACCAAAAAAUCUAUGAACAGAAAAAAAUCCUAACUUUUCUAAAAAUCUAUCUUUUGCAUAUAUACAUGAAUAUAUAUAUACACAGAGAACAUAUAUACAUACAUAUAUACAUUUUUAUAAAAUGCAAAAAAAGAUCUAAAAAAAGGACAUAUAAACAGAUAUACACUCAUACAUAUACAUAUAUAUGUGCAGAAAAAAAUCGGGAGGAAGGGGCAGUGCCGGCCCUGACCAAGGCGACGGCGGCGCGUCGGGGCAGGGGCAGAGGCGAUGGCGGCGUGGUCGGGGCAGGGGCAGAGGCGACGGCGGCGUGGUCGGGGCAGGGCGAGGCAGAGGCGACGGCGGCAUGGUCGGGGCAGCUGGGGCGACGACGACGUGGUCGGGGCAGGGGCGCGCGGCGUGNNNNNNNNNNNNNNNNNNNNNNNNNNNNNNNNNNNNNNNNNNNNNNNNNNNNNNNNNNNNNNNNNNNNNNNNNNNNNNNNNNNNNNNNNNNNNNNNNNNNNNNNNNNNNNNNNNNNNNNNNNNNNNNNNNNNNNNNNNNNNNNNNNNNNNNNNNNNNNNNNNNNNNNNNNNNNNNNNNNNNNNNNNNNNNNNNNNNNNNNNNNNNNNNNNNNNNNNNNNNNNNNNNNNNNNNNNNNNNNNNNNNNNNNNNNNNNNNNNNNNNNNNNNNNNNNNNNNNNNNNNNNNNNNNNNNNNNNNNNNNNNNNNNNNNNNNNNNNNNNNNNNNNNNNNNNNNNNNNNNNNNNNNNNNNNNNNNNNNNNNNNNNNNNNNNNNNNNNNNNNNNNNNNNNNNNNNNNNNNNNNNNNNNNNNNNNNNNNNNNNNNNNNNNNNNNNNNNNNNNNNNNNNNNNNNNNNNNNNNNNNNNNNNNNNNNNNNNNNNNNNNNNNNNNNNNNNNNNNNNNNNNNNNNNNNNNNNNNNNNNNNNNNNNNNNNNNNNNNNNNNNNNNNNNNNNNNNNNNNNNNNNNNNNNNNNNNNNNNNNNNNNNNNNNNNNNNNNNNNNNNNNNNNNNNNNNNNNNNNNNNNNNNNNNNNNNNNNNNNNNNNNNNNNNNNNNNNNNNNNNNNNNNNNNNNNNNNNNNNNNNNNNNNNNNNNNNNNNNNNNNNNNNNNNNNNNNNNNNNNNNNNNNNNNNNNNNNNNNNNNNNNNNNNNNNNNNNNNNNNNNNNNNNNNNNNNNNNNNNNNNNNNNNNNNNNNNNNNNNNNNNNNNNNNNNNNNNNNNNNNNNNNNNNNNNNNNNNNNNNNNNNNNNNNNNNNNNNNNNNNNNNNNNNNNNNNNNNNNNNNNNNNNNNNNNNNNNNNNNNNNNNNNNNNNNNNNNNNNNNNNNNNNNNNNNNNNNNNNNNNNNNNNNNNNNNNNNNNNNNNNNNNNNNNNNNNNNNNNNNNNNNNNNNNNNNNNNNNNNNNNNNNNNNNNNNNNNNNNNNNNNNNNNNNNNNNNNNNNNNNNNNNNNNNNNNNNNNNNNNNNNNNNNNNNNNNNNNNNNNNNNNNNNNNNNNNNNNNNNNNNNNNNNNNNNNNNNNNNNNNNNNNNNNNNNNNNNNNUUAUGAAAAUUAUUUUUGCUUUCAAUGAUUUUGAACAGAAAAUACUUCGAUAAUUUUAGUUGCAUCAAUUUUAUAUAAUUUUAGUUUCAAUAAUACUAGAGGUUGCUUAUAAUGUUUUGAACAGAAAAUACUUUGAUAAUUUUAGUUUCAUAAAUUUUAUUUAUGUUAUUAAAGUUUAUUUUAUUUUGUUUCUACUUAUAUAUUUUAUUAAAGUUUAUAUUAUUUUGUUUCUAAUUACUUAUUUAUUUUAUUUGUUAUUUUUCAUGCACCAUUUUUCAUGCAUUUACUGAUUAUUUUGAGCUAUAAGACCCUAAAAUUAAAAAGCAUUUCAAAUGAACUCUGAAAAGGUUUGAAAGUUGGCAUGGUAUCAUCAUUUCAUCCACAUAGCAUGUGCAAGAAAGUUGAGAGAGUUACGGCAAAAACUGGAUGCACUUCAUGUACAAAACGGACAAUCUCUUUCGAAGUAUCAGGAUUUCAUACGGAAACUCGUGUGUUACAAAGGGAUUUCAUUUUUUAAAACUUAUUUGAACUCCUGACUUUUUGUGUGUUCAAAAUGCACCAUUCAAAGCCACAUCAUCAAUUUUCAACCCUUUCUGACUUCAUUUGUUAUUUUUCAUGCAUUUACUGAUUAUUUUGAGCUAUAAGACCCUAAAAUUGAAAAGCAUUUCAAAUGAACUCUGAAAAGGUUGAAAGUUGGCAUGGUAUCAUCAUUUCAUCCACAUAGCAUGUGCAAGAAAGUUGAGAGGGUUACGGCAAAAACUAGAUGCACUUCGUGUACAAAACGGACAAUGGUAUCAUACUCGUCUGUUACAAAGUUGGCAUGGUAUCAUCAUAAUAGUUGCGGGAGAAAGUCUUCACUUUUUCUUCGCUUGUGUCAUUUGCUUAUUGUGCCGUAACCAUGGAUAAUCUCCAUCGUUUAUCAGGAUGCUUGGGUCAGCCUUGACUUUGAAGGGAGGAAUUUCAUGAAACUUUUCAUAAUCUUCAGACAUGUCUGUCUUGCCCUCCACUCCCACAAUGUCCCUUUUUCCUGAAAGAACUAUGUGGCGCUUUGGCUCAUCGUAUGAUGUAUUCGCUUCCUUAUCUUUUCUUUUUCUCGGUCUGGUAGACAUGUCCUUCACAUAGAUAACCUGUGCCACAUUAUUCUCUUUAUAUUCGACGAGAAGCCAGUCGGGACCUUCAUACUGAGCAGGCAUUCAAAGAAGAUUUCUUUCUCUUCUUUCGUAAGAGCAUAGCUGGCAGAACCUUCAUACUGCUUCGGAGGCAUGCCGUCUUUUUCGUGCAAACGUUGCAGGUCCUCCCAUGCCUCAGGUGUAUCUUUUGUCUUCCCAUACACGCCCAAGAAGCCUAGCAGGUUCACGCAAAGGUUCUUCGUCACGUGCAUCACGUCGAUUGAAGAGCGGACCUCUAGCUCUUUCCAGUAGGGUAGGUCCCAAAAUAUAGAUUUCUUCUUCCACAUGGGUGCGUGUCCCUCAGUGUCAUUCGGAACAACUAGUCCGCCGAGACCCUUUCCAAAGAUUACGUGUAAAUCAUUGACCAUAGCAAGUACGUGAUCACCGGUACGCAUGGCAGGCUUCUUCCGGUGAUCUGCCUCGCCUUUGAAAUGCUUGCCUUUCUUUCGACAUUGAUGGUUGGUCGGAAGAAAUCGACGAUGGCCCAGGUACACAUUCUUCCUGCUUUUGUCCAGGUAUAUACUUUCAGUGUCAUCUAAACAGUGCGUGCAUGCGUGGUAUCCCUUGUUUGUCUGUCCUGAAAGGUUACUGAGAGCGGGCCAAUCGUUGAUGGUUACAAACAGCAACGCGUGCAGGUUAAAUUCCUCCUGUUUGUGCUCAUCCCACGUACGUACACCGUUUCCAUUCCACAGCUGUAAAAGUUCUUCAACUAAUGGCCUUAGGUACACAUCAAUGUCGUUGCCGGGUUGCUUAGGGCCUUGGAUGAGAACUGGCAUCAUAAUGAACUUCCGCUUCAUGCACAUCCAAGGAGGAAGGUUAUACAUACAUAGAGUCACGGGCCAGGUGCUGUGAUUGCUGCUCUGCUCCCCAAAAGGAUUAAUGCCAUCCGCGCUUAAACCAAACCAUACGUUCCUUGGGUCAGCUGCAAACUCAGCCCAGUACUUUCUCUCGAUUUUUCUCCACUGCGACCCGUCAGCGGGUGCUCUCAACUUCCCGUCUUUCUUACGGUCCUCACUGUGCCAUCGCAUCAACUUGGCAUGCUCUUCGUUUCUGAACAGACGUUUCAACCAUGGUAUUAUAGGAGCAUACCACAUCACCUUCGCAGGAACCCUCUUCCUGGGGGGCUCGCCGUCAACAUCACCAGGGUCAUCUCGUCUGAUCUUAUACCGCAAUGCACCGCAUACCGGGCAUGCGUUCAGAUCCUUGUACGCACCCCGGUAGAGGAUGCAGUCAUUAGGGCAUGCAUGUAUCUUCUGCACCUCCAAUCCUAGAGGGCAUACGACCUUCUUUGCUGUGUAUGUACUGUCGGGCAAUUCGUUAUCCUUUGGAAGCUUCUUCUUCAAUAUUCUCAAUAGCUUCUCAAAUCCUUUGUCAGGCACAACAUUCUCUGCCUUCCACUGCAGCAAUUCCAGUAUGGUACCAAGCUUUGUGUUGCCACUUCGCAAUUGGGUGUGACGCCCCGAUUUGACCGUACACUAAUCAUGCACGCAAAUGUGUACGACCAAGAUCAGGGACUCACGGGAAGAUAUCACAACACAACUCUAAAACAUAAAUAAGUCAUACAAGCAUCAUAAUACAAGCCAGGGGCCUCGAGGGCUCGAAUACAAAUGCUCGAUCACAGACGAGUCAGCGAAAGCAACAAUAUCUGAGUACAGACAUAAGUUAAACAAGUUUGCCUUAAGAAGGCUAGCACAAACUAGGAUACAGAUCGAACGAGGCGCAGGCCUCCUGCCUGGGAUCCUCCUAACUACUCCUGGUCGUCGUCAGCGGCCUGCACGUAGUAGUAGGCACCUCCAGUGUCGUAGGUGUCGUCGUCGACGGUGGCGUCUGGCUCCUGGACUCCAACAUCUGGUUGCGACAACCAGAUAGAAAGGAAAGGGGAAAAAGAGGGAGAGAAGCAACCGUGAGUACUCAUCCAAAGUACUCGCAAGCAAGGAGCUAUACUACAUAUGCAUGGGUAUAUGUGUAAAGGGGCAUAUCAGUGGACUGAACUGCAGAAUGCCAGAAUAAAAGGGGGAUAGCUAGUCCUGUCGAAGACUACGCUUCUGGCCAUCUCCAUCUUACAGCAUGUAGAAGAGAGCAGAUUGAAGUCCUCCAAGUAGCAUCGCAUAGCAUAAUCCUACCCGGCGAUCCCCUCCUCGUCGCCCUGUUAGAGAGCGAUCACCGGGUUGUAUCUGGCACUUGGAAGGGUGUAUUUUAUUCAGUAUCCAGUUCUAGUUGUCAUAAGGUCAAGGUACAACUCCGGGUCGUCCUUUUACCGAGGGACACGGCUAUUCGAAUAGAUAAACUUCCCUGCAGGGGUGCACCACAUAACCCAACACGCUCGAUCCCAUUUGGCCGGACACACUUUUCUGGGUCAUGCCCGGCCUCGUAAGAUCAACGCGUCGCAGCCCCACCUAAGCACAACAGAGCGGUCAGCACACCGGUCUAAUCCUAAGCGCGCAGGGGUCUGGGCCCAUCGCCCUAUGCACACCUGCACGUUGCGAACGCGGCCGCGAGCAGACCUAGCAACCCACACGAUCACGGCGGUUACGUCAAAGCGGUCCAACACGGCGCGCGCCACUCAGUCGCAUACGUCACGAAGGCUUCGGCUGAUACCACGACGCCGGGAUACCCAUAACUACUCCCGUGUAGAUGGCUAGUGCGUAUAGACCAAAUGGCCAGACUCAGAUCAAAUACCAAGAUCUCGUUAAGUGUGUUAAGUAACCGCGAACGCCGACCAGGGCCAGGCCCACCUCUCACCUGGGUGGUCUCAACCUGCCCUGUCGCUCCGCCACAAAGAUCCACUUGCGGGUACUCCUACGAGCCGACCCGACUUUAGUCAUCACAUGUGUCAUGUAAAUAGUAUAUAAGUAUAUACCCGUGAUCACCGCCCAGGUGAUCACGGCCCGAUAGUAUAGCACAGCAGACGGACAAGAAUGUAGGGCCACUGAUGGAAAACUAGCAUCCUAUACUAAGCAUGUAGGAUUGCAGGUAAAGGUAACAACAGUAGUAGCAAGGAUAGGCUAUGCAUCAUGAUAGGAUAUCGAAAAGCAGUAACAUGCUACACUACUCUAAUGCAAGCAGUAUAGAGAAGAUUAGGCGAUAUCUGGUGAUCAAGGGGGGGGCUUGCCUGGUUGCUCUGGCAAGUAGGAGGGGUCGUCAACUCCGUAGUCGAACUGGGCAGCAGCAGGGUCGGUCUCGUAGUCUACCGGAGAGAAGAGGGGGGAAGAAACAGUAAAUAUAAUGCAAACAUAAACAUGACGAUGCGUGACAUGACAAUGAGCGGUGCUAGGUGUGUCCUAACGCGACAGUAGGUGGUACCGGUGAAGGGGGGAACAUCCAGGAAGUAUUCCCGAUGUUUCGCGUUUUCGGACAGACGGACCGGAGGGGGAAAGUUGCUAGUUCGAUAGGUUAGGGAGGUGUGGUGGACGAACGGACUGCGUAUUCGGAUUCGUCUCGUCGUUCUGAGCAACUUUCAUGUAGAAAACAUUUUCAUCCGAGUUACGGUUUAAAAGAUAUGAAUUUUCGAAGAUUAUUUGAAUUUCUGGAAUUAUUUGAAUUUAGAAAAAAUGAAUUAUGACGUCAGCAUGAGGUAAUGCUGACGUCAGCAGGUCAACAUGUCGGCUGACCAGUCAAACCAGACAGGUGGGUCCAGUGGGACCCACAUGUCAUUGACAGGGCACUAACAGAGUUUUAUAAUUAACUUAAACAAGGUUAUUAGCAGGUAGGCCCCACCUGUCAGUGCCUAAUUAGAUUAAUUAAUUAGUUUUAUUUAUAAAAACAUUUUUUUUGUUAAUUAUGCGGCGGGGCCCGCAUGUCAGUGGCUGGGCCUGCCCAGUCAGCAGUUGACUGGGGUCAACCCAGUCAACGGGGCCCACGGGGCCCACUGGCAGUGGCUCUGGGUGGCCCCAAGCCAGCCACGUCGGCGGCCGGCGCCGGAGCGACUCCGGCGACCAAAACAGAGGCGGCCCCUCGCCGGAGUUGGCCGGAAUCGCGCUACGGGGCUCGGGGAGGAGCGGGGCUAGGCUCAUUCGAAGGAGCUCGCAGCGCCGCAUCCAGUGGUGGCCGUAGCUUCGCCGGACUUGGCCGGAAUCGGCGCCGGCGAGCGGCGGAGGCGGCGGCGUGCACGGGUGCCCGACGGAAACGGGGCUACGGCGUGCUAUCGAGCAAGCGGAGGGGCUGGGGAGCAUCUACGCGGUGUGGGGAGUGCAACGGGCUGGAGCCCGUGACCAAAAGGUCACCGGAGCCUUGCCGGCGGCGAGCUCCGCGGCGACGCGUUCGGGCGCAAGCAGAGCGGCGGCUACAAGAGCUCAAGAGGCCAGGAGAGCGAGGGGAGAGGAUGAGGGGCUCACCGCGCGGCGCAAGAAAGGCCCGUGGGUGGCUUAGUAGCAGCAGCAGUCGUCGGAGUCGAAGAAGACGGCGGCGACCCGAGGAAGAAGGCGACGGCGUUGGGGGGUGAUGUAGGGGGGUCCCGGCUCGAGCAGGUGGUCGGGGAGGACGGGCUCGACGCGGCGGAGCUCGUGGACACGUCGGGGAGGGGAACGGGGCUCGGUGGCCGCGUGAACGACGGAGAACGGCGGCGACCGCGCUCGGGCGGUGGGGAAGGCGGGAGCGGCGUGGAUCUGGGGGGAGAGGGAGAGGCGCAGAGGCCAAGAGGGGCAAGUGGGAGGGAUGGGCGGAGGCCGAGGCGUCGGGGCGGCCUUAUCCUCCCCCGUCGCCGGCGAGGUGGUGCGGCGGGGACCUGCCCCUGUUCCGACCCCGGUCGGGGGAACAGGGAAGGGGAGGGCGACCCGGGGAGGUGGGCUAGGCCAGCUGGGCCUGGGGUCGGCCCAGUUGGGCCAGGGUCCAGUGGGGGGGGCUUCUCCUUCUCCUUUUUUUCUUUGUUUGUUCUGUUUUCUUUUGUAUUUUCUUUUUAUUUAUUUAUUUUCUUUUCUGCUUUAUUUCAUUUAAAAGUAUUUAGGCAUUUUAUAAAAAUGUGUUUUCUCCACAAUAAUUAUGAGUGCAAUAUCUGGCAUGGCCCGAACAUUUUUGUUUAAAUUUUUGAAAACUUUUAUUUUCCACUUUAAAUUUAAUUGAAGUUUGAAUUAGGAGUUUGAAAAAAAAUGUGAUUCAAAUGGGAUCAAGCCCUGUUUAGCAACAUGAUUAGCUUAAUCACAGAGAGUUACUGUAGCAUGAUUCUCGGGGUGUUACGAAUCUCCUCCACUACAAGAAAUCUCGUCCCGAGAUUUAGGAGGUAGAAGGAAACAGUGCGGGGUAUUCUUUGCGCAGACGAUCCUCUCGUUCCCAAGUGGCCUCUUCUUCAGAAUGGUGCGACCACUGGACUUUGAGAAACUUGAUCGCCUUCUGACGUGUGCGGCGUUCAGCUUGAUCGAGAAUGCGGACCGGAUGCUCCUUAUAGGAGAGGUCUUGCUGCAAUUCGAGCACUUCAUGAUCCACAGCUCGGAUUGGGUCCUUGAAGCAACGGCGGAGCUGUGACACAUGGAACACAUCAUGAACCUGAGAAAGGUUCGGCGGUAGCUCCAGUUGGUAUGCCACUUUUUCACGCCUUUCGAGAAUAAGGAAUGGGCCAAUAUAUCGAGGAGCUAGUUUGCCCUUGAUUCCGAAGCGGUGAGCACCCUUCAUAGGUGUGACUCGAAGAUAAGCCUUUUCGCCAGGUUGAUAGACCAUGUCUUUAUGAUGACGGUCAUACUGACUCUUCUGACGUGACUGAGCAGUCUUGAGAUUCUCGCGAAUAAUGCGGACUUGUUCUUCGGCAUCUUGGAUAAUAUCCGGACCGAAGAGUGGACGUUCCCCAGUUUCUGACCAGUUCAGAGGGGUUCGGCACUUUCGUCCAUAUAACACUUCGAAGGGGGCCAUCUUCAGACUAGCUUGAUAGCUAUUAUUAUAAGAGAACUCAGCAUACGGGAGAGAUUCCUCCCAUUUCUUGCCGAAGGAAAUAACGCAAGCUCGAAGCAUGUCUUCGAGAACUUGGUUGACGCGUUCAACUUGUCCUUGCGAUUGAGGAUGAAACGCAGUACUGAAUGACAGAUGAGUUCCCAUGGCUUCUUGGAAACUUGCCCAGAAUCUUGAAGUGAAUAAGCUGCCACGGUCUGAACUGAUAACCAAUGGAAUGCCGUGGAGUGAAACAAUCCUGGACAUAUAGAGCGUUGCCAGUUGACUAGCAGUGAUCGUUUCCUUGACCGCCAGGAAAUGUGCAACUUUGGAAAGCCGGUCAAUGACGACAAGAAUAGCAUCAUUACCUUUCUGUGACUUGGGAAAUCCAGUGACGAAGUCCAUCUCAACAUGGUCCCAUUUCCACUCAGGAAUAGAGAUAGGUUGCAGAGUUCCAGCAGGCCUUUGAUGUUCUGCUUUGAUACGACGGCAAACGUCACACUCAGCAACAUAACGAGCAAUGGCUUGCUUCAUAUUAGACCACCAGAAUCUCUGACGGAUGUCUUGGUACAUCUUUGUACUACCAGGAUGGAUACAUAGAGGCGUAUCAUGAGCUUCUUUCAUAACUUCCUGUGUCAUAUCCAGGUUUUUCUCUGCACAUGGCACCACUAGGCGGCCCUUGAAGUAUAAGGUGCCAUCUUCAGCAAUAGUGAAGAAUGAGGGCUUUCCUUCUGCGAGGUAGCGCUUAAUCUUGUGGGCUUCAGAGUCAUACUUCUGUAGCCUUUUGAUGCUGUCCUCGAGAUCUGGUUUAGCAACUAGGGUAUUGAGGGAACCCUGGGUAACAACGUGGAGGUUCACCUUGCCAAACUCCUUAGGAGGGGGAGUGAGUGCACCCGAAGGAACAAUAUGGAGGUUCAGCUUCCUGAAUUCUUCAACAAGCGAGGGCUGAACUUUGUGAACCUGGAGGUGGUUGCAGUAAGACUUGCGGCUCAAGGCAUCAGCCAUUACAUUAGCCUUGCCUGGCGUAUAGGAAAUACCCAAGUCAAAGUCUGCAACAAGCUCCAUCCAUCUCUGCUGACGGAGGUUCAGAUCUGGCUGAGUAAACAAAUACUUCAGACUUUGGUGGUCAGUGAAGAUCUCGCAAUGAUUACCGAGAAGGUAAUGUCGCCACUACUUCAGCGCAUGAAUGACAGCAGCAAGUUCGAGGUCGUGAACUGGGUAGUUCUCUUCGUGAGGGCGCAAUUGCCGAGAGGCAUAAGCAAUCACUUUGCGGUCUUGCAUUAGGACACAGCCUAAUCCUUGACGGGAAGCGUCGCAGUAAAUGACAAAGUCCUUCUUAGUAUCAGGUGGAGCUAGAACUGGAGCAGAAGUCAACUUGUCUUUGAGUGCCUGGAAACUUUCCUGACAUUUGUCUGUCCAUUGGAACUUGACGCCCUUAUGCAACAGGUUAGUCAGAGGCCUGGCGAUCUUGGAGAAGUUCUCGACGAAUCGACGGUAAUAGCUGGCGAGACCGAGAAAACUUCUGACUUGCUUAACGUUCUUGGGAGGAGUCCAAUCAAGAAUAGCCUGAACUCGCUCGGGGUUGACGGCAAUACCAUCCUUAGAGAUGACAUGCCCAAGAUAGGUUACUUCCGGUAGCCAGAAUUCACAUUUGGAGAACUUGGCAUAUAGUUGAUGCUCUCGUAGCUUUUCCAGCACAAGUCGAAGAUGUUCAGCAUGUUCUUCUUCGUUCUUGGAAAAUACCAGGAUAUCAUCCAGAUAAACCACGACGAACUUGUCGAGGUAAUCCAUGAAUAUAUAGUUCAUCAGACGAGAGAAGGUGGCUGGAGCAUUGGUUAAACCGAAAGACAUGACAGUGUACUCGUAUGAACCAUAGCGAGUCACGAAGGCGGUCUUUGGGAUAUCCUCUUCGCGAACACGGAUCUAGUGGUAGCCCAACCUCAAGUCGAGCUUAGAGAACACUGACGAACCCGCCAGUUGAUCAUACAGAUCAUUGAUCCGAGGAAGGGGGUAUUUAUUCUGGAUGGUAGCUUGGUUUAUAGGACGGUAGUCUUGAACUAACCGGUUUGUCCCAUCCUUCUUCUUGACAAAGAGAGAAGGUGCUCCCCAAGGAGAGCAACUUGGGCGAAUGAAUCCUUUGCGAAGAGAUUUGUCGAUUUCCUCCUUAAGCUCAAGAAGUUCAUGCGGCGGCAUCUUGUAGGGUCGCUUGGCUAUAGGAGUGGUGCCUGGUUUCAAGUCGAUGAUGAAUUCGACAGCUCUAGCAGGGGGAAUCCCUGGAAGUUCUUCAGGGAAGACGUCGAGGAAUUCACGCACGACGGGUUCAAUGCCCUCGAGUGGUGCAGCGUUCAAUGCAUUCAAUGCAUAGAGCCUUGCCUCGGCAUUUUGCACCAGAUGGGCUUGGUAAGUAACUAUCUCAUCUGAAGGGUGUAGCAGAUGGACGGUCUUAGUGGUGCAAACGAUUGAAGCAGUAUGCGCUUUUAACUAAUCCAUUCCCAGAAUGAGAUCAAUGCUACAGGACUUCAGUACGAUGGGAGAGACAAGAAAUUCCAGUCCUUCAAUUUCAACAGUAACGUCGUGACUAACCAUAGAGGUUUGACAUUGGCCCGCAGGGGUGUGUACCACUAGCGGAGUGUUUAUCUCUUCGUAAUUAAUGCCAUGCAGGAAUGCAAAUUCUGCUGAUAUGAAUGAAUGGGAUGCUCCUGUAUCAAAUAAAACGGAUGCUGGUACUGAAUUUACGAGGAGUGUACCCAUCACAGUAGCAGGCUGGUCUUGAGCUUCGCUGAGAUCAACGUGGUUGGCAUGAGCACGACCAUAAGACUUAGCAUUGUUGUUGCGGGGCUGGUUGUUACCACGGCCAGCUGCUGGAAGGGCCAGUUGAUUCUGGUUCUGAUAGCAGUUCCUGGCAAAGUGACCCGGUUGACCACACUUGAAGCACAGACCAUUAUCGGAAGUGGGAACAAGAGCCCCAGGUGGGGGAGCUGGUAGCUUUGACUGCCUAGAUGGUGGAGGAGGCAGACGCGAUGCAGCAUAAGAUUUCCUGGGAGCGAGUGCAUUUGGACGGUACAUGCUGUUCGGGAUCCAUAUCUUCCGUUUCUGCGAGGGCGGGCCCGAAGAUGAGCCCGUGUCACAGUUGCGCCUCUGAGAGCUCUGGUAUUCUUGCAGACCAGUAUCGACAUUGAUGGCCUUGUUCACCAAGGUGGCGACGGGGCCCACUGGCAGUGGCUCUGGGGCGGCCCCAGGCCAGCCACGUCGGCGGCCGGCGCCGGAGCGACUCCGGCGACCAAAACAGAGGCGGCCCCUCGCCGGAGUUGGCCGGAAUCGCGCUACGGGGCUCGGGGAGGAGCGGGGCUAGGCUCAUUCGAAGGAGCUCGCAGCGCCGCAUCCAGUGGUGGCCGUAGCUUCGCCGGACUUGGCCGGAAUCGGCGCCGGCGAGCGGCGGAGGCGGCGGCGUGCACGGGUGCCCGACGGAAACGGGGCUACAGCGUGCUAUCGAGCAAGCGGAGGGGCUGGGGAGCAUCUACGCGCUGUGGGGAGUGCAACGGGCUUGAGCCCGUGACCAAAAGGUCACCGGAGCCUUGCCGGCGGCGAGCUCCGCGGCGACGCGUUCGGGCGCAAGCAGAGCGGCGGCUACAAGAGCUCAAGAGGCCAGGAGAGCGAGGGGAGAGGAUGAGGGGCUCACCGCGCGGCGCAAGAAAGGCCCGUGGGUGGCUUAGUAGCAGCAGCAGUCGCCGGAGUCGAAGAAGACGGCGGCGACCCGAGGAAGAAGGCGACGGCGUUGGGGGGUGAUGUAGGGGGGUCCCGGCUCGAGCAGGUGGUCGGGGAGGACGGGCUCGACGCGGCGGNNNNNNNNNNNNNNNNNNNNNNNNNNNNNNNNNNNNNNNNNNNNNNNNNNNNNNNNNNNNNNNNNNNNNNNNNNNNNNNNNNNNNNNNNNNNNNNNNNNNNNNNNNNNNNNNNNNNNNNNNNNNNNNNNNNNNNNNNNNNNNNNNNNNNNNNNNNNNNNNNNNNNNNNNNNNNNNNNNNNNNNNNNNNNNNNNNNNNNNNNNNNNNNNNNNNNNNNNNNNNNNNNNNNNNNNNNNNNNNNNNNNNNNNNNNNNNNNNNNNNNNNNNNNNNNNNNNNNNNNNNNNNNNNNNNNNNNNNNNNNNNNNNNNNNNNNNNNNNNNNNNNNNNNNNNNNNNNNNNNNNNNNNNNNNNNNNNNNNNCCCCCGUCGCCGGCGAGGUGGUGCGGCGGGGACCUGCCCCUGUUCCGACCCCGGUCGGGGGAACAGGGAAGGGGAGGGCGACCCGGGGAGGUGGGCUAGGCCAGCUGGGCCUAGGGUCGGCCCAGUUGGGCCAGGGUGCAGUGGGGGGGGGGCUUCUCCUUCUCCUUUUUUUCUUUGUUUGUUCUGUUUUCUUUUGUAUUUUCUUUUUAUUUAUUUAUUUUCUUUUCUGCUUUAUUUCAUUUAAAAGUAUUUAGGCAUUUUAUAAAAAUGUGUUUUCUCCACAAUAAUUAUGAGUGCAAUAUCUGGCAUGGCCCGAACAUUUUUGUUUAAAUUUUUGAAAACUUUUAUUUUCCACUUUAAAUUUAAUUGAAGUUUGAAUUAGGAGUUUGAAAAGAAAUGUGAUUCAAAUGUGAUCAAGCCCUGUUUAGCAACAUGAUUAGCUUAAUCACAGAGAGUUACUGUAGCAUGAUUCUCGGGGUCUUACAUUGGGGUACAACCCUUUUUUGUGAUCCUCUAACAUGCGAUCGAACUUCAGCUUCUCCUUUUUACUUUCGCAUUGCGUCCUUGCAUCGACAAUGAUCCGGCGGAGAUCAUCAUCAUCGGGCAGUGGUUCCUCUUGAUCUUCAGCAGCUUCCCCCCUUGCAGCAUCAUUGGGCACAUCGUCUGGUUCCUCUUGAUCUUCAGCAGCUUCCCCCGAUGCAGCAUCACCGUAUUCAGGGGGCACAUAGUUGUCAUCGUCCUCUUCUUAUUCGCCGUCUUCCAUCAUAACCCCUAUUUCUCCGUGCCUCGUUCAAACAUUAUAGUGUGGCAUGAAACCCUUGUAAAGCAGGUGGGUGUGAAGGAUUUUUCGGUCAGAGUAAGACUUCGUAUUCCCACAUGUAGGGCAUGGACAACACAUAAAACCAUUCUGCUUGUUUGCCUCAGCCACUUCGAGAAAAUCAUGCACGCCCUUAAUGUACUCGGAGGUGUGUCUGUCACCGUACAUCCAUUGCCGGUUCAUCUGCGUGCAUUAUAUAUAAUUAAGUGUGUCAAAAACCAUUACAGAACAUCAUGAAUAGAUAAUUAAGUGACCAAAUUAAUAUAAGUUCAUCAUCACAUUAAAACCAAAGUCCAUACAUAGUUCUCAUCUAACAACAUAUAUAUAGCUCUCCAGAGCAUCUAAUUAAUUAAACCAUACAUUGAAACUAUGUAAAACAUUUCAAUGCGAAAACAAAUGCGAUCAUAAUCGCAACCAAGGUAACAAUUGAUCCAACGACAUAAUGAUACCAAGCCUCGGUAUGAAUGGCAUAUUUUCUAAUCUUUCUAAUCUUCAAGCGCAUUGCAUCCAUCUUGAUCUUGUGAUCAUCGACGACAUCCGCAACAUGCAACUCCAAUAUCAUCUUCUCCUCCUCAUUUUUUUUAUUUUUUCCUUCAAGUAAUUGUUUUCUUCUUCAACUAAAUUUAACCUCUCGACAAUAGGGUCGGUUGGAAUUUCAGAUUCAACCACCUCCUAGAUAAAUAAAAUCUAUGUCACGUUGGUCGGCAUAUUUGCCAUAAAUAAUAAAUGAACCAAAUAGUUAUAAAAAGAUAAUAUAUACCACAUCCGAAUCAUAGACAGGACGAGGGCCGACGGGGGUGGAUACCAAAACCAUCGCACUAUGUAAUAAGAAGGAAUAAUAAAAGUAACAAAAUUAGACAAGUAUCUAUCUAAAGUAAGAAUUUUUUUCUUUCAGAAAGAAGAUAAGAACAAGAGGCUCACCACGGUGGUGCUGGCGACGAGAUCGGCGUGGGCGAUCGACGGCGGUGAAGACGGGGACGGGACGUGACGGACCGCUAAACCUAGACACAUCUCGGGGAAAAUGGAGCUCGGAGGUCGAGUUUCGAGAGGAGAAAGAUUAACUAGUUUGGCUCAGACAUUUCAUCGAACACCUCAUGUGCUUUCGGGCCUAACCGUUCUCUUUGCCUGUGAGGCCUACUGGGUCUUCUGCGGGCCUGAAUCCUGGCCCAUGGAUGGGUUUCAAGUCGUAUUCAAGCCGUGGUGGCCCAGUAGAUGGCAUAAUUUUUUUCCCUGUUUUUUGUUUUCUCUUUUGCUUUAUUUAUUUUGUUUUGUUUCUACUUACAACAAAAAACUUAUUUAUUUUAUUCCAUUUUGUUUCUAAUUACUUAUAUAUUUUACUUUAUUUAUUUUAUUUUUAUUUAUUUUACUACUGUUAUUUUUAUUUAUUUUAGUACUGCUAUUUUUAUUUAUUUUAUUAAGGUUUAUUUAUUUUAUUUACUAUAGUUUAUUUUAUUUUAUUAAGGUUUAUUUAUUUUUAUUUAUUUUAUUAAGGUUUAUUUAUUUUAGUUACUAUAAAAAAUGAACAUAGAUGCACCUAUAGAGAAAAUUCAACCUAAAUUCAUAAUAAAUUUCUAUGAAAUUCAAAGAAAUUUACUUUGAAUUUAGGUCAAAUUCCCUGUAUAAGGGCAUCUAUUUUCAAUUUGAGAGGAGCUCAACAAGGCAAAGAGGGACGGGCUUAUAAACCGGUGUGAGCGCCCUUCGGUUGGCGAGGUGGGACUAAAGUCUGACCGCUACUAGGACCAACCCUUUAGUCCCGGUUUCUGGUAUGAACCGGGACUAAAGGGUGAGUCUCUGGUCCCGGUUCAAGCCACCAACCGGGACCAAUGGUGGUGGGCCAGGAGCGAGGCCCAUUGGUCCCGGUUUGUCCCCCCAACCGGGACCAAAGGGGCCGGACGAACCGGGACCAAUGCCCCCACGAGGCCCGGCAGGCCCCUGGCCGCACGAACCGGGACCAACGCUCACAUUAGUCCCGGUUCAUGACUGAACCGGAACUAAUGUGAAUAUUGCCCUGUGACCAAAGCCCAGUUUUCUACUAGUGAUGCUAUCUCUGUUUAGGCCUCAAUCUCAUGCUCAUUGCAGAUUAAAAAAUAAAUGGUACGAAAUGAGCACUCUAGCAUGCUCUCUGUUUUGAAGCGGCAGCAAGGAACUGGAAAUACAUUCCUCGGUAGAAACUGCUACACAGCAAGCCAUACUUACAGAUUAAUUGGCCAAGUAUCUCCUCCAGCAGCGUCCUUGUUCACCAUCAAUUCAGGUCAGAUCCCUUCUUUUUAGUUUCACAUUUGCGCUACAUAUACACAUGAUUGAUAACUAACACUGGACAGACAAUUGAUUGAUUCAAAGAAAAGAUAUCAAAAUGCUAGAGGAUACUGACAUCACACACAAUCUGCAAGCAUUUUGUCCUAUUCGAUAGCCCAUCCACAAGUCAAAACCCAGAGCAUAGGAAAUACAUGAAAAUAGCACACAGAUCGGCCAUAGCUCAAAGGCUACUGAUCAGCAAAAGAAAGGUAGCAAAUAUCUAUUCUUAUUGCACCCGGAUCAAACAAGACCAAGAAUAACCUCACGAAGCAGGAAAUAUGAACUUUAAAUGAGAAUCCUAGCAUGGCCAAGAAGCAUAUCCGUUGAAUUACAACUCGAAGAGUAGCAUAACCAUGCUAAUUCAACAGAUUAAACUUAGAAAUUAACAUCAUCUCGGAAUAAACAAGCUAUACCAAGGACCAAAUCAAUUAGCAGCCUUGUUCGUAUCAAAAUUACUCCAUAGCAGUCAACAAAAGCAUGUCAGUUGAUAGACAGUUUCUACUUUUAAACUGAACCCAUGAUGAUACAGUUUCAACUAAACUUAACAUGAAUGCCAAACAAUAACCCUACAAUUAACCAUGGCAUAGCAAUACAUAAUUCUUUGUGUUCCAAGCAAAUGGAAGGUGCGAGACCUUUGUGUUCCAUGACUCUGCAUUGUUUUUGACUCAUGUUAACUUGAGCCUGAUCGGUCAUAGUAGGUUUGCUUUGUUAAUGAACUCCAAGAGACCCAACUGUUUCCAGACUUCACUGACACGCUUGCACCCAAAAGAUUCCGCCUCGUUUUGUUAAUCAACUUGGGGAUGAACCAAGUUGCAGCAACUAUAAACUACCCUAUUCAAAUCUGAGUAUUGCUCCAGUAGCCCAGCCAAUUCCUCCUCUUGGAACGAAGCAUCGACAUUGACUUUCAAGAACCGUGCAUAGGCUUUCUCCAUUUUUGAUCUUAGUUCUUCCUCUUAAUUUUAGUGCUUGUUGCUCGCAUGAAAUUUGUGGGCAAAGCUCUGAUAGAAGUAGUUGUUCUUUGGGUUGGCCGAACGGUCUCGCCCUUUGUCAAUUGAUGAUGUUGCCCCUAAACAUACCAAGAAGCAACAACUAUAAGCUCAGGGAAACUAGGCAGAGCUGCGCUGCCUAGUAUGAUUUGCAUGGAGUGUUGUGCUGCAGCUAUUACGGUUGCUGUUUUUCUUUUUCUUUUUUUCUUUGAUCUUUCGGAUCCUCUGGUGGUCCUAGGACCUUCACCACCUUGGUAUUUUCCGUUGCUUUCUGCUAUUAUCUAUGAAUGCGAGCGAUGCUAGAUCUAAAAAAAAUAUAAGCUCUGGGAUAGCAGUUGACUCAUGACUGAGCCUGAUCGGUCAUAGCAGGAUGCUUUGUUAAUGAGCUCCAAGAGACCGAGCUGCUUCCAGACUUCGCUGGCACGCUUGCACCCAAAGAUUCCGCCUCGUUUUAAUAAAAAUAAGAAAAUUGCCUUUUUUUUCGCGUUCCCUCGUUUCAAUAAAAUAAGCGAAAACGACCCCAUAAAAAAGCAGCGAGGCCCCGCUCCACUGCUGGCAUUCCGCUCACUCACCUUUUGCAGAAAACCCACCGAGUUCUCCGAAGCAUCCCAUUUCCGCCCCCCUCGCUGCCCCCCUUCCCAAUCUCCACACCGCACCGCUCCGCGAGCGGCGGCACGCGCGCGCCAGAUCGCCCGCCCGCUCGCCGCCGCACCGGCGCAGGUCCGCCGCGGCCCCGGCUGCCGCCAUUGCGCGGGGGUGGCCGAACCGACCGCACCCCACCCCGCCCCCUGAAGGACGCGAGGCGCCGCACCCACCGCGCGCGCGGGGGAGGACGCCGCCGCGGCGCGCACGGCGAUGAUGAUCAGCAGGCAGCUCCUGCUCACCUACCUCUACCUGCUCAUCUACAUCUGCCUCUCGUCGGGGGUCAUCCUCUUCAACAAGGUACGUCCUCCCUCCCCCUCCCCAGCGCCGGCUUCACCGCUCGGAAACCCCUGUGUGUGCCCAGUCCCACUGUGCGGCGGAGUGGAGCAAGUGACGACGUCAUGAUGAACUACCAUUCGUCCUGCUCACGAUGUCGUUCGCAUGGUAGUAGUAUUUUAUUUCCCGUCGACGGUUUCAGGUGUAGUGUGGAUUAAGUUUAGUACGUACUAGCUCCAGUGUGAAUGCCUGCUACCUUGAUUGCCCGCACUUGCUGAUUUGGUGCGCGGUCUGUUACAAUGCCACUUAUGCUCUGUAAACUGUAGGGGUUUCUGUGGUUGGUAGGUGGAUCAAGGUUUUGCUGCAUCACGCUUUCAGUAAUCUGUAGCAUAAUGUAGCUCCAUGGGUAACCAAUUUGAGGGAUGCUGUAUUCGCAUGCUAGUGCAGAUCCAAACUCCAAAGCAUUGUGUUCUUUAACCCCUUUUUUUUUUUUGGUAUUAUGUGCUUUCUUAUGUAUAUGUGACUUUGAUUAUGAUGUAUGUAUGUUUUUCUAAAAAAUAUCUUGUUUAUUUUUACAGUGGGUGCUAUCUCCCAAGUACUUCAAAUUCCCCUUUCCUAUCACUCUCACAAUGAUUCACAUGUCAUUUUCCGGAGUCGUGGCAUUCUUCCUAGUCCGUGUUUUCAAGGUAUGCUUCUCCAUGCCACUUCCCUGUUAGAGCCUUCGAUUAUCCUUGUAUAAUACUAUCACAUCUCUUAUUUAGCGAAUAAUGGUGGGCCUGCUUCAACAGAACGACUUGUAAAUCAAUAAUAUUCUCACAUAUGCAAAGCUUGGGCUACUAGCUUUAAUUGAAUCGUUAAUUUUUCUAGUGAUGUAAUUUGGUUUUUCCUAGAUGAGCUAAUGGAGUCACUUGUAUUUUGGUUAUCCAGGUUGUUGCACCUGUCAAGAUGACUUUCCAAAUGUAAGAGCAUUCAUUUUUGUUCCUUCAUUGCAUAAAGCUGAGCAUUCAUUUUUCUUCCUUCAUUGUAUAAAGCUGAGCAUUCAUUUUUCUUCCUUCAUUGAUAAAGCUGAGCAAUCAUUUUUCUUCCUUCAUCAUAUAAAGCUGAUGAUUCUUUUUUGUUCCUUCAUUGUAUAAAGCUGAAUAUUAGUAAUUUGUGUCCUCCCUGAUGCAGAUAUGCCACAUCUGUAAUUCCCAUUAGUGCCUUCUUUGCGUCAAGUCUUUGGUAAGCUAAUUGAAGACAAUAUGAAAUUCUAUUCCAUCUCUUUUUAUUUCUCUAGGCUUCUUUACAAUAUCCCUACAUGCAAAGGCAAGCCUAUGCAGGCAUGUAGUAUGUGAAUGCAUAUAUGCCUAAAAUGGUGAAGCAUCUUAAACUAAUUUUGACUAUUAAUAUUGCACAAAUGCAUACUUGCAACAUUGGUGUUUGUAUCAACCGAAUUGUUUGCCUUGAAAUGAUUAUGUGUUUGUGUUGAAGUUGUUUGCACACCUAGCAGGUGCUGCGAUGUUCUUUGUGUUGGACUGUCUUAUUGCCCUAUUUGCCUGAUAUACCUGUUGCUUGGAAUUGGAUGAUGCAACUUCCUUAUUAUGUGAAAUUGCUUAAUGCAAUAGCAAUCUUAGUUGACAUGGGUUGCUGUAUGGACAAAGGAGUGCUUUCUACACAGGCUUUAAGCCUUUGACUUAAUUCUAUACCAAUUAUAACUUAGUUAAUUUACUAGUUUCCAUUCUCAAGCUCCAUAUAGUACUUAUUAUCCACUGAAUGGCAGUUUGUUACUUUUCUUUAGAGUUGUCUUAACUCAGGUUUCGCAGCAUGACUCUCCCUCACAUACUAUUCAUGCGAAACUUUAUUGAUUUUUGUUUUUGUUUUACAGGUUCGGAAAUACAGCAUACCUAUACAUUUCAGUGGCCUUCAUUCAAAUGCUCAAGGCUUUGAGUGAGUUUACUGCGCACCUUCCUUAUAUUAUUGUUAUGAUAUGGUACUGAUUUGAAUUAAUUCGAAUUGCAGUGCCUGUGGCAACAUUUAUAAUGGCCGUUCUAUGUGGUACUGACAAAUUAAGGCGGGACCUUUUCUUGAACAUGGUGCUGGUCAGUGUUGGUGUUGUAGUUUCAUCAUAUGGGGAGAUUCAUUUUAAUGUGAUAGGAACAUUAUACCAAGUAACUGGCAUUGUUGCGGAAGCCCUCAGGCUGGUCCUGACACAGGUCCUCCUCCAAAAAAAGGGAUUAACCCUGAAUCCUAUUACAAGCCUGUAUUACAUAGCGCCUUGCAGGUACCGGAUACUUUAUCUAAAAUUCUGAAUACUUGCUUGCUUAUUAUAUUCUCUCUUGAAGAAUCCUUGUACAAAAAUAUGUGAAUUAUCAUUUCUAUGUAACAGGAUACUUGAAAAAAUGAUGACUGGCAUUUUCGUAAAUUCUUUUGAGUGAUACUAACGAGCCAGUGACUUAAAAUGCUCUUAAUGCUUGAUAGAUGAUUGGAUAGGGAUGCCGACUUAAGGAAUAGAGAUGACAACUUGACAUGAGAUUGAGGCCACACAACUAUGUUUGUAAUAUGUGUGUAAAAAUAAACUAGAACACUCUAUUGUUAUUGGUUUUAGUAUGGAUAUGAACCGAAUCAGUAGUUCCCAAAAGGCAUAUCAAAAAACAUAUAUAAUCCUAUUAGGCGUAUGUUCAAACUCUGUAAUCAUGUAAUGUUUCUGGUAGAUGUACAUAUGCAUUAUGCAACAAGCCCAUUUAUGGUAGGUUUAUCUGUUCAUGACAACUUUCGCUAGGACUUUUUUAUAUGAUGCUAGGACUCUUAUAUGAGGUUGUUACUAACAAACAUCUGCUGGCUACUUUUCUCCAGGACUCAGUUCAAAUGAGCUGUCAAAAUUAAUUAACUUGCUAUAUUUGAUUGGUCAUAUUACUGAAGUCUUCAUGUUCUAUGGUGAAUUUAGGUUCAUAACAAUUAACAUAUGUUGCCUAUAUGUUAACCAAAGAAUCAUAUGCAUAUAUUGAAGGGCUUAAGUUAUAUUGGAUGACUAUUUUACUCGUUACUUGGAGUAUUUGAUCCCGAGCUCAUAUGCUCCCGCAUGAACAGUAAAAUCCAAAAAAAUAGUAAAAAAAAUUCAAAAAAAUCUGAAUUUUUUUUGUGAUGAACAUUGAUAAAUUUUCUAACUGCAUGCAAAAUUUCAGGUCAAAAUGACAUUCGUGGAAGUCUGGGCAAAAAAAAUAAAAUCGAUGGUCCAAAAAAACUAUUGUUGGAAGCAUUUUGGAGCAUCGAUUUUGUUAUUUUUGCCCAGACCUCCACGAAUGUCAUUUCGAACUGAAAUUUUGUGUGCAGUUAGAUCAUUCAUCAAUGUUUAUCACAAAAAAAAAAUAGAUUUUUUUGAAUUUUUUACUAUUUUUUUCGAUUUUGCUGUUCAUGCGGGAGCAUAUGAGCUCGGGAUCAAAAGAGCACUUUCGUUACUAAGUGCUCUACUUACAAUGUUCAGUACUAGAUUAAUAUCCAUGAGAUUAUUGUCAAAUGUACUUUACAAGGAAUAUUUGGUUUUUAAGCAUGAACCAUAAAUUCUGUUUAGCCAUCUACAACCCGUUGGCUGUUGCUUAGCAUGGCAUUUUAGUCUAGUUGAGUGUCGAGUCAAAUUUGUCGUAAGCCUAGUUAGCUGAAAUCCUAUACUUUGUGAAGUACAUAUGCAUCUAGAAACAUUUGACUUCUCAUGAUUGUUAUGACUUAUGAGUGUCAUUCCUUUUCAUGCUUUAGAAUAUCAUUUGCUCAUAAUGAUUUAAUUAAGUAUGAACGCUCUCAGUUUAUUCCAGAAGAGCUUCUUUGUAUUACUAGAAACCAAACCAUAUGCACUUUUCCAUAAGCUAUAUAUGUUGUGUAAAACAAGCAGAGUUUGCCAAUACUAAUGACUAGCUCAAUGCUGUUUCUUUUUAAAACAUGCUGUGAGCAUAUCUUUCGUUGACAUUCCUUUGCAGCCUUUAUCAUUUCCAUUUGAGGUCAUUAUGCAACUUGUUCUGUAAUAUAACUAAAUAUUGCAUGUUCUGUAUGUCUCCAGAAUGCUUUAGUCUUCCACAUUUAUUUUAGAUGCAAUUUAUCUAAUGUAUUAUUCUUUCAUGCAGUUUCAUCUUCCUAUUUGGUCCAUGGUAUUUACUGGAAAAGCCAGAAAUGGACAUCUCUCCAAUUCAGUUCAAUUAUUGGAUAUUUUUCUCGAAUGCACUUGCUGCAUUUGCAUUAAACAUAUCCAUAUUCCUAGUUAUUGGAAGAACAGGAGCAGUCACUGUCAGAGUUGCAGGAGUUCUAAAGGACUGGAUACUUAUUGCCCUCUCGACCAUUAUCUUUCCUGAAUCUACUAUUACAAGCCUCAACAUAAUUGGAUAUGCCGUUGGUAAUUAUCAUGCAUUCAGUUUCCGUCCAGAUAUAAUUUGCAAAUGGAUCUUGUAAUAAUAAGUUGGUAUGCCUGUUUUGAAUAUAUAUUUUGCGAACAAACUCUUAACUUGUAGUAAUUUAAUGUGUAGCGCUCUCUGGCGUUGUCAUGUACAAUUAUUUGAAGAUGAAAGAUGUGACAGCAAUUCAACUUCCAAUUGAUAACACUGCUGAUAGAGCUACCAAGGUUAGUGUACAUAUCACACUGUAGUUUCAAUAUUUAAUUUUCUUUAGCUUUUUUAGGUCGUCCAUCGUACAAUGUCAUCAAGAGAAGCCUUUGAUGUAUCACUACUUCAGAGGGCAUUAUCGUUGCAUUUUUCAUAUUUUUUUUCCAUAUUCUUUCCUUCUCCCUAUUUUAUUCGUUGUUGCGUAUGACACCUCUAGUACAAAAAUUCAAUUGUUUUGCCCUGCCGAUGUGUAUCGUGUUGUCAGACAGGACAUAUGAGGUUGUGGACCAGAGAUGACUAUUCUUAUUCCUAUGUUUUCUCACCAUUUAGUACAUGCCAUUUUUAUCUCCUAUUUCUUGAGCUUAUCCUUGUUCUAUCAUCUAACAAACUUUUACAAUCAUCUGUGCACCUGGCAGCGACCAUCUUAGUGUCAGACACGCCUGGCAUGCUGUUUCUUCGCUUAGCUUCCACUAAAGUUGAUAGAACAUAUGGUUCCAAUUUGUAGCGUAUGCCACUCCGGUUCUCAUCUGGUCACAAACAUCUUAUUAAUCCACGGAUACUAGUUUUAGAGUUUGUCUCUCGGGGAUGUCAAGUUGCAUUAUAUAAGUGUUCUGCUGCCAUUCCGGUCACGAAAUGGCUGCUUUCAGUUUCUGAUACGUUCCUUUUCCUCUUUCAGGAAAAGAAGGUUGUCAACAUAUACAAACCCGACAGUUCCAUUGACAGUAUUGAUGAAACUGUUGUUGGAGGUGUGGCAGUUGGAAGUCUGGCAACAGAAGCUGCAGCUGUUGACGAGGAAGCCCCAUUGAUCCCUUCAUCACGCAUCUCCCAUGUAACCCGGACACAAACAGGCGGUCUCAGUAGCAGAUGACCACGGUUUUCUAAAGUUUUGAGUCAGGUUGAGGUAGCAAACUUCAUCCUAUAUCUUCCUCCUGGAUAGUCCGAGAACUACGAGAAGACCCUCUUUGGAAGCUUUGCCGAUCGAUUGGUCUUGCACGUUCCUUUUCUCCACGACAUGUUUGCCUGGAUGUCUUGCUAGUUGGCGCUGAAAGCUGUUUCAGGAGACACCUGGAGGUGAAUUAGAGAAAGUAGCAGUGAUAGAAUGAUUCAUUACUUGUUAUCUGUACCUGCGUAUUUUGAGAAUUUUUUGCCGGUAGUCCAUGUUAGAUAUACGACAUUUCUUAACCCAGCGUAUGGAAAUGCUGUCGGAUCAUAGAUGGUGUAAGGCAUCUUUGUAGAUGCUAAAUCUAAUAGCAGAGGUUCCAUUCCGUCAGUCGAUGUGUGCUGUUCUUGUUGCCUUCAGCAUGAGUACCAAAUGUGGAUUUUAGCUGGAUAAUAUGAUCUAUUGAUCUGAUAUUAUACAUGGUAAUGGCAGGAACUUUUCCAGUGAACUGGUAUGUAAGCACCAAAUGCAUGAGCCCUUUCUGUUGGAUACUGUACGUGCAAGCGCAGUUAUGUUUUUCUCAAGUUUUGUCUUAGUCUGAGCAUGUAAAAAUGUAGGGAAAACUAUAAUGCAAGUUUUUUUGGUUGAAAGACUAUGAUGCAAGUUUUUUUUUUUGAAAAACUAUAAUGCUAGUUUUUUUACAAAGCGCCUCAAACAUAACAAAAGUUACAUCGAGGUCUAUGAAUCGCCGUUGUCGCCGCUCUCAUACUAAGAGUCGCCCUAACCUUGUCGACGAUAGUAGGGAAGUCUUCAUGCACUUGCUCCUAAUGACCAACGCUUUAGAACCACAGUCAUUGUCAUUGAAUCAUUGAAUCGAUCCGAAAAAUCUGACACCAAAUCUCGCCGUUGCCUACGCACGGUGAGAAACCCUAACCUCGCCGCCCCAAAGAGUCGGCAGGAAUCGUUAACCCACAGUUUGCAAUCGGGGUCACUUUUAACGGUAAGGUGGUUUUGAUCUGUUUAAGUAAUCUAGCUUUCUCAAAUCAUACCUUAAUUAUAUUCUCAAGGCCAUAUUUUAUGCAAAGUGGAUAAUACUUGGAUACAAAUACGACUACACCAGUAACAUUUUUUUAUUCCAUCCCAUUCCAUAUAGAUACACAUUGUAACGAGUAAACAACAUUGAGUCAUUUGACUCGUAGCAACUCUAGCCAUAGCCCCAAAAAUUCUCUCCUCCACCCUCAACACUAUUUGGGGGGAGGGAGGCUCCCAAAAUAGUGUCUACUUUUUUUAGUGGCAUUACAAUGAUAUCCUCCAAAACCUCCCCCCUUCCCACAUUUAUUCUUCUUCCAUUUUCACAUGAAAAGACAAAAUAAGAACUCAUUGAUGGUGAACCAUGACAAGCGAUGGCGGGAGGUGGCAGACAGCGACAAGAAACGGCGGUUGUCGGUGGACAACGGUCGACAAUAACAUAUAUCGGCCAAUAGGAUUCAUGAAGGAAUGGAGAGCCGUUAUAGUUGCCCCCUACACAUUUGGGAGAAAGACGGUGUGGAUGGAGGGACCCCAAGAUGAAACAGGAGUUGGAGUAGGGUUUUAGCUUAUAAACGAGAGAGGUGAAAGGAAGAAUGGCGACGCAAGGUUUGCCCUGCUCCAGCGAGGGAGGAGCGAUGACGGCGGCGCGUCUUCGGUUCGCUUCAGUGCUUGUAGUCGUCGCUAGGUGGUCUACGGAUCUGGAUGUAAUUUUUAUUAUUUCUCGAAUUCGUUGUACUACCAUGUUUGAAGAUGAAUAGAUUGAGUUUGCAAAAAAAAUAAAAUAGAUUGAAAGUUUUUCGAAAAAAAAACGAGAGAGGUGAAAGGAAGAAUGGCGACCCAAUCUUUUUUUGAGUAACGAAUGGCUACACAAUUUGUAGUUGCUCUCACCGGUGUCGCCUGACCCGAGCCCCUCUCCCCGAGCCCGGCCCGGCCUGGCCCGGUCUGCUACUGUGUCCCUGGCCCUACCCAAAGCUCCAAUCCGACCCGACCCAGCGCUCUAAAAUCCGUCCUGGAGUCCAUCGCCGCUGUACUGUGCCGUGGCUUUAGCGUCAACGCCGACGCCCCCCUUCCCACACACAGCCCCCUCCGCCCGCCGCCGCCACCGCCGCCGUCGCCGUCCCACCUCGUCGCCUCCGCCCCGUUCGCAACCCCCGACAUCUGCUCCUGAGGUAUGCCGUCCAGUCAUCCACCCACGGUCGGAUUACUUGAACCCAAAAACCUGGACUUAGAUUUGGGGCGCGGCGGCGUGCGCCGCUCGCCGCCACGCCGCCUAGAACCCUAGAUCCGCUCCCCUGCAGCCGGGUCCGGGCUUAGAUUCGGCCAGGCUUCCGUUUCGCCGCGGCGUUGUUCUUAGCUCUACCGCGCUUAGAGAUCUGGUCGGAUUAGUUGCUUAUUAGGGUUUUUGUUUCUUGCGUUUCUGCCGCUGCGGAUUGGCGGCGACCGUCAUCUUGUGCCUCGUCUCCCUUUGCAUACGCAUAUUCUCAUCGGUUUGUGCCUCAUCGGUUCAAAUAUUUACAUUGCUGAAGUAUUAUUUUUCCCGGACGCUGGCUAGAUUUGAGGCUAUGUUCGAUGAGAAGCACCACUUCUAGAUUAAAAUUGACUCACAGUGGUACAGCUCUAUGUCUAUGUUGCUAUAUUUACAUUGCUUAAGUAUUAUUUUGCCUGGAUGCUGGCUAGAUUUGAGGCUAUGUUCGAUGAGAAGCACCACUUCUAGAUUAGAAUUGACUCACAGUGGUAUAGUUCCAUGUCUAUGUUGGAGGCUUGGUCUAUCGUAUUUCCUAUGCUUGAGCACACACUAUUCGUUAGUGCUGUGUAGUAGUAAGAAGUAGCCUGCAGUUCUAGAUCUUCUGGAUCUUGAGCUGUUUGGAGGUUUUUCGAAGCCGAACGUUGCAUGGUGGUGUGCAUGUGAUUGCCACGUAGCGUAUGUUUAGAAUCAAUUCUGAGGACCUUGAAGGCCAUGCGCUUCCUGCUUUUUGUAAGUUGUAACGUUUCUCACUUGAGAUACGCAGAGCUCGCUUUGUUUUUUUUUGUUCGAAAGAAAUUAUCACGUGAUUCCUGGGUUAUUUCCGAAUCGGUCAACUCAUACAUGGUAUUUUUACCGUUGCUGGCAUUGGCUAUUAAAUUGUAGAGCUUAUGUGGUUAUCCACUUCGCUACCUGCCAUUUUUUUCAGGUAACGUAGAUCGCAUGUUGGAUUUAAUUCUUUCAGUGUUUAAGUAAAGUGACUGUGCAGCUACUGGAAUAGGUUGACAUACGUUGUCGUAUUGCAUUGAAUGCCUCGCUUUCACGUGAUUCCUGGGUUAUUUCCGAAUCGGUCGACUCAUACAUGGUAUUUUUACCGUUGCUGGCAUUUUCGAUUAAAUUGUAGAGCUUAUGUGGUUAUCCACUUCGCUACCUGCCAUUUUUUUUCAGUUAAUGCAGAUCGCAUGUUUUCUUUCAGUGUUUAAGUAAAGUGACUGUGCAGCUACUGGAAUAGGUUGACUUACAUUGUCGUAUUCCAUUGAAUGCCUCGCUUUUUUUUUUCCAUGCAAAAUCUGAAGUCAAGACUCCAUCACUUACAUCACUCUGUUCGUUUCUUACACUUGGUAGCUUCUGUAUUCUGCAGGUGAACUGAGCACCCAACUUUUGUCAAGAUGUCUGAUAGUCAUGAAACCGACAAGAAUAUUGAGAUGUGGAAGAUCAAGAAGCUGAUCAAGGGACUCGAGUCUGCUAGAGGCAAUGGCACAAGCAUGAUCUCUCUGAUUAUGCCUCCACGUGAUCAAGUCUCGCGUGUGACAAAGAUGUUGGGUGAUGAAUAUGGUACUGCUUCAAACAUAAAGAGUAGAGUCAAUCGUCAAUCUGUUUUGGGAGCCAUCACCUCAGCUCAGCAGAGGCUGAAGCUGUAUAACAGGGUUCCCCCAAAUGGACUAGUUCUUUACACUGGAACAAUUGUUACUGACGAUGGCAAGGAAAAGAAGGUCACAAUUGAUUUUGAGCCAUUCAAGCCCAUCAAUGCGUCCUUGUACCUUUGUGACAACAAAUUCCACACUGAAGCCUUGAGUGAGCUCUUGGAAUCCGAUGACAAGUUUGGCUUCAUCAUUAUGGAUGGUAAUGGAACUCUUUUUGGCACACUUAGUGGCAAUACUCGUGAAGUGCUUCACAAAUUCAGUGUGGAUCUCCCCAAGAAGCAUGGAAGAGGAGGGCAAUCUGCUCUGCGUUUUGCUCGCCUUCGGAUGGAGAAGCGUCACAAUUAUGUUCGGAAAACAGCUGAACUUGCUACUCAGUUCUUCAUCAACCCAGCUACCAGCCAGCCUAAUGUUGCGGGACUAAUAUUGGCUGGUUCUGCUGAUUUUAAAACAGAACUGAGCCAAUCUGACAUGUUUGAUCAGCGCCUUCAGUGCAAAAUACUUAAUGUGGUUGAUGUUUCUUAUGGUGGCGAGAGCGGUUUCAACCAGGCCAUUGAGUUAUCAGCUGAAAUUCUAGCAAAUGUGAAGUUCAUACAAGAGAAGAAGUUGAUCGGGAAGUACUUUGAAGAGAUUAGUCAGGAUACUGGGAAGUAUGUCUUUGGAGUUGAUGACACCCUGAAGGCUCUUGAAAUGGGUGCUGUUGAAACUUUGAUGGUGUGGGAAAACCUUGAUGUCAAUCGGUUUGUGCUUAAGCACAGUGCAACUGGAGAAAUUAUCAUAAAGCAUCUGAACAAAGAAGGUGAAGCCGACCAGAGCAACUUCCGUGAUCCAUCUACCAAUGCUGAGUUAGAAGUCCAGGAGAAGACCUCACUUUUGGAAUGGUUUGCUAAUGAAUACAAAAAGUUUGGCUGCACCCUUGAAUUUGUUACCAAUAAGUCUCAAGAGGGCUCACAGUUCUGUAGAGGAUUUGGUGGCAUUGGCGGUAUCCUCCGCUAUCAGCUGGACAUUCGCUCCUUUGAUGAUCUUGAUGACGACGAGGGUGUCUAUGAAGACUCUGAUUAGCAACCAAUCAAUCACAUGCCUGAGGCAGUCGCGGUUAAAUCUGAAUUUGGCGUGACUAUUUGCUCCGGGGCACCUCAAAGAAGCUGUGAGUUUCGUAUCAUAUGCAAUUAGCUUGUAGUAAUUCCAUUGUCAUUUGCAUGAUUUCUGAAGCUCUCCUGUUCUAUUUUCAGAUCCAUUGAAUGAUGGGCGCGGGUCAGCUACAUAUUAUGCUUUAGAAGUCUGAGACGAUACAACCGCAAUUCCUCUAUCAAACGACGUCGAGAUGUUAUCCUAAAUCGCAAUGAUGACUCGUGUACUGAACCUUGUUUUUUCCCCAGGAACUCCUGCGUCGCUGUUGUCUGAACUGACUCUGUGUCUAUGGUUCAAUUUAGCAACUUGUCUGCCCUAAUGGUAGAACAUGGCAAAUGUCUGCCUGAAUUUGAGUUGUUGUAAGCUACCUAUUGUUGUUGUCAUGCGGGAAAGGUUGAAUUGGGAUUCAUUCAAGUGUGUCUUUUAACUUCCGGUCUGUUACCUCCGCCCCAAAUUAGAUUUAUCUAGGUAUGGAUGUAUAUCUGUCUGGACAAAUCUAAGUCAUCUCAUUCGAGACGCUAAGUUAUUUGUCUUAGAUUUAUCUAGGUAUGGACAAAUCUAAGUCAUCUCAUUCGAGACGGAGGGAGUAUUUAUCAUCUGCAUCUGCAGUAUAAAGAGCACCAAAAGCUUCAUCUGCAUCUGCAGCACCAGAAGCAGCUGACCGGCUGAAACUUCGGCCGGGCGGCCGCGUGAGACUCGUUCGAUCGUAUCACUUGUUUGCUAAAGCGCAUCGUCUCCUACCUUUGAAAGCGCUCCUGCAAGACGCCCCAUUGCGCUUUUUUUUUCUCCUUUCGAUCUCCACACCGUGGUGCACAGAUGCUCCUGCAACAGAGGUGCCGGGACUUUGUGCCGACAAGUCUCUGCAUGGAUGACCACGGCGAAGGUUGCAACACCGGCGAGUGGACUUGCUGCAACCGGCCGAAGCCAGAGCUGGAACCACAGUUGGUUUUUGCUGCAAAUAAGCAAGUUGAAACCACACUUGGUUUUUGCUACGACCGCAUCACCUUUUCUGCUAUCAGAAAGCUGCAAACCACACUAUGAAAAAGCUAUGACUGACAAGAACAAAAGCGACGACCGUCAGACUGACUGUUGCAACCAACAACGGCGAACUUGUGGCCGGCAACGGCGCACGGCUGCAACCUACGAAGGAGCCGCAACUGGCAUCCAAUUUUGCUAAACUUGUGUCGUGCUGUGUUACCACCGGUGUUGAGUUUUGCUACAACCAGUGUCGACGGUUGGAAAAAAGCUUCAACCGGCGUGAGAAAAAGCUUCAACCUGGUGUGGACGAUGAUGCUGAGAGCUGUGGCCAGGGGCACCGUGGUGUUGCGACGGACGUCCUACGACGGCGACGACUAGGUGUUGCAUCGACAGAGACGUUGGGCAUGCUACAAGACGGCNNNNNNNNNNNNNNNNNNNNNNNNNNNNNNNNNNNNNNNNNNNNNNNNNNNNNNNNNNNNNNNNNNNNNNNNNNNNNNNNNNNNNNNNNNNNNNNNNNNNNNNNNNNNNNNNNNNNNNNNNNNNNNNNNNNNNNNNNNNNNNNNNNNNNNNNNNNNNNNNNNNNNNNNNNNNNNNNNNNNNNNNNNNNNNNNNNNNNNNNNNNNNNNNNNNNNNNNNNNNNNNNNNNNNNNNNNNNNNNNNNNNNNNNNNNNNNNNNNNNNNNNNNNNNNNNNNNNNNNNNNNNNNNNNNNNNNNNNNNNNNNNNNNNGCCGCCGAGCUGGCUGGCAUCUCGGAGGAUCACGACAUGGACGCGGUGGGCAGGUGCCAUGGCUUUCCUUUCUGUUUUUUGAACGAAGCAGAUGGAAGAGAGAGAAUAUCGUGCGGCUAUAACUAGUAACUAGGCAGAUUGUACGUGUGCGGUGCGAUCGUCCAAAAUUUGACCGGCCAACUUGCGCCUAUCACUGGCCUAACAAUAAUUACAUGGAGGUCGACCAACUAGUGACGACUACAAGCAUUGCGUAAAAAUGAAGACUGGAUCCAAGCAGAUCCAUUGAAGUUCAACAUGGGUCGAGAUCUGCUAGAGACACAUCUUCACACGUCUUCCAACGACUCUAGACCUUAUUCAACCUUACCAAGAAAAGGCCUUCACCCCGCUUUAUAUAUAAAACAACAACCAACUUGCAACGAGUGAUACAACACCACACGCACCCAAGGCAAGAUACAAAGAUGCUAAGAAGCAGCUAACACUCCCACAACAAGUCCAAGUAAACAACAUAUACACACUAAGCCUCACUAGGAAAUCGAGGGAGCACUCAAGCGGGAACAAGCCACCGAGAAGAGACCAAGCCGCACGUCGUCGAUCUAUGAGGCCCAAGGCGAUGAUUUCAAGAAGAUUACGCCACCGGAGUACCGCCACCACCCGAUCCGGAGGAUCACAAUUUUCAUCCGGGGCACCUUGGAGGAUAUGGAGUAACCACGACGGAGCCUUCAAGAAGAUAACGAUGUCCACGGACGACACCUCCGUCGGCCCGAGAAAGCCAGGCAGGGUAUUCACCCCGGUAAACACACUCCAACUCUGAAUAGGUUGCGGCCAGUCCCGGGGACAAAUGCCACAUCACAGCCACCGAUCGACAAGCACCAACCGCCAUGCCGCCCACACGGCCAUAGAGACUAGCCUGCACCUGAGCCGCGAGCUCCGCCCACGAGCACGCCGCUCCCGCCACCAAGGCCGUCGCCCUGCAUCCCGACGCUCUAGAAACCAACAAAGGAACGGACUUGGAACCGACCGGCAAAACCCAAGCAUCAGCAGAGCCGCCGGUGACCAGACUGCCCCGAACAACUCAAUCUGGAGCUCGGAGGCGCUAGGCAGGGGAAACGAGGAGAGGAGAGGAGCAUGUCCGGACCGACGCCCGCCGCGUCGGUGACGGGUAGAGAGACCACUCAUCCCUCCUGCAACCUCCCCACACGUCACCCCUGACGCCCCAUCACGGCCUCCAGCCAGCUCCAAGCGGGGCAAUAGCAGCCACCCUUCCAUCGGCAAGGGAUGUCGGCUUGUCCGCAUCCUGCCGCCAAAGAGGGCCACAUAGAGCCCAUCCACCGAGGGGCCACCGCACCCCUGCAGCAGCCCACCGCGCACUGCCGCGGUCCACUCCCAGCGCCACGACCACGCCAGGUCGUGGCCAGCCACCCCGCGCCGCCUGUCGAGGGAGAGCCACCCGAUCUCGAUUUGAGCACGCGCUGCCUCCGCCACCGCGAGCACAUCCCCGCCGGCCACACCACGCGGCCCUCCACGCCGGGGCAACAACCACCAGCGCUAUCGUGCCCCGAAACGACGUGGUCGUCCCGCGCUGCCCACCACCGCUCAGAUAGGAGAGGAGGCCCCGCCGCCGCCUCUGCCGGCUGGGCUUUGCCCGCCAGCGAGCUCCCGCGGCGACUAGGGUUUACCUGAAGGAAAUAUGCCCUAGAGGCAAUAAUAAAGUUAUUAUUUAUUUCCUUAUAUCAUGAUAAAUGUUUAUUAUUCAUGCUAGAAUUGUAUUAACCGGAAACAUAAUACUUGUGUGAAUACAUAGACAAACAGAGUGUCACUAGUAUGCCUCUACUUGACUAGCUCGUUGAUCAAAGAUGGUUAUGUUUCCCAGCCAUUGACAUGAGUUGUCAUUUGAUUAACGGGAUCACAUCAUUAGAAGAAUGAUGUGAUUGACUUGACCCAUUCCAUUAGCUUAGCACAUGAUCGUUUAGUAUUCUGCUAUUGCUUUCUUCAUGACUUAUACAUGUUCCUAUGACUAUGAGAUUAUGCAACUCCCGUUUACCGGAGGAACACUUUGUGUGCUACCAAACGUCACAACGUAACUGGGUGAUUAUAAAGGUGCUCUACAGGUGUCUCCGAAGGUACUUGUUGGGUUGGCGUAUUUCGAGAUUAGGAUUUGUCACUCCGAUUGUCGAAGAGGUAUCUCUGGGCCCACUCGGUAAUGCACAUCACUUAAGCCUUGCAAGCAUUGCAACUAAUGAGUUAGUUGCGGGAUGAUGUAUUACAGAACGAGUAAAGAGACUUGCCGGUAACGAGAUUGAACUAGGUAUUGAGAUACCGACGAUCGAAUCUCGGGCAAGUAACAUACCGAUGACAAAGGGAACAACGUAUGUUGUUAUGCGGUCUGACCGAUAAAGAUCUUCGUACAAUAUGUGGGAGCCAAUAUGAGCAUCCAGGUUCCGCUAUGGGUUAUUGACCAGAGACGUGUCCCGGUCAUGUCUACAUAGUUCUCGAACCCGUAGGGUCCGCACGCUUAAAGUUUCGAUGAUAGUUAUAUUAUGAGUUUAUAUGUUUUGAUGUACUGAAGGUUGUUCGGAGUCCCGGAUGUGAUCACGGACAUAACGAGGAGUCUCGAAAUGGUCGAGACAUGAAGAUUGAUAUAUUGGACGACUAUAUUCGGACACCGGAAUGGUUCCGGGGGUUAUCGGAUAUAUACCGGAGUACCGGGGGUUACCGGAACCCCCCCUGGGGAUUAAUGGGCCUAUAUGGGCCUUAGUGGAGAAGAGGAGGGGCGGCCAGGGCAGGCCGCGCGCCCCUCCCCCUCUAGUCCAAAUUGGACAAGGAGGGGGGGGGGGGCGGCGCCCCCCUUUCCUUCUUCUCCUCCUCCUCUUUCCCCCCUUCUCCUAAUCCAACAAGGAAGGGAGGGAGUCCUACUCCCGGUGGGAGUAGGACUCCUCCUGGCGCGCCCCUCUCCUGGCCGGCCGCCUCUCCCCCCUUUGCUCCUUUAUAUACGGGGGCAGGGGGCACCCCAAAGACACAACAAUUGAUCUGUUGAUCUUUUAGCCGUGUGCGGUGCCCCCUCCACCAUAAUCCACCUCGAUAAUACUGUAGCGGUGCUUAGGCGAAGCCCUGCAUCGGUAGAACAUCAUCAUCGUCACCACGCCGUCGUGCUGACGAAACUCUCCCUCAACACUCGGCUGGACCAGAGUUCGAGGGGCGUCAUCGGGCUGAACGUGUGCUGAACUCGGAGGUGCCGUGCGUUCGGUACUUGAUCGGUCGGAUCGUGAAGACGUAGGACUACAUCAACCGCGUUGUGCUAACGCUUCCGCUUUCGGUCUACGAGGGUACGUGGACAACACUCCCCCCUCUCGUUGCUAUGCAUCACCAUGAUCUUGCGUGUGCGUAUGAUUUUUUUUGAAAUUACUACGUUCCCCAACAGUGGCAUCCGAGCCUGGUUUUAUGCGUAGAUGUCAUAUGCACGAGUAGAACACAAGUGAGUUGCGGCGAUACAAGUCAUACUGCUUACCAGCAUGUCAUACUUUGGUUUGGCGGUAUUGUUGGAUGAAGCGGCCCGGACCGACAUUACGCGUACGCUUACGCGAGACUGGUUCUACCGACGUGCUUUGCACACAGGUGACUGGCGGGUGUCAGUUUCUCCAACUUUAGUUGAACCGAGUGUGGCUACGCCCGGUCCUUGAGAAGGUUAAAACAACACUAACUUGACGAACUAUCGUUGUGGUUUUGGGGGUAGGUAAGAACGGUUCUUGCUAAGCCCGUAGCAGCCACGUAAAAUUUGCAACAACACAGUAGAGGACGUCUAACUUGUUUUUGCAGGGCAUGUUGUGAUGUGAUAUGGUCAAGACAUGAUGCUAAAUUUUAUUGUAUGAGAUGAUCAUGUUUUGUAACCGAAUUAUCGGCAACUGGCAGGAGCCAUAUGGUUGUCGCUUUAUUGUAUGCAAUGCAAUCGCCCUGUAAUGCUUUACUUUAUCACUAUGCAGCAACGAUAGUCGUAGAAGCAUAAGAUUGGCGAGACGACAACGAUGCUACGAUGGAGAUCAAGGUGUCGCGCCGGUGACGAUGGUGAUCAUGACGGUGCUUCGGAGAUGGAGAUCACAAGCACAAGAUGAUGAUGGCCAUAUCAUAUCACUUAUAUUGAUUGCAUGUGAUGUUUAUCUUUUAUGCAUCUUAUCUUCUUUGAUUGACGGUAGCAUUUUAAGAUGAUCUCUCACUAAAUUAUCAAAGUAUAAGUGUUCUCCCUGAGUAUGCACCGUUGCGAAAGUUGUUCGUGCUGAGGCACCACGUGAUGAUCGGGUGUGAUAGGCUCUACGUUCAAAUACAACGGGUGCAAAACAGUUGCACACGCGGAAUACUCAGGUUAAACUUGACGAGCCUAGCAUAUAACAGAUAUGGCCUCGGAACACGGAGACCGAAAGGUCGAGCGUGAAUCAUAUAGUAGAUAUGAUCAACAUAGUGAUGUUCACCAUUGAAACUACUCCAUCUCACGUGAUGAUCGGACAUGGUUUAGUUGAUUUGGAUCACGUGAUCACUUAGAGGAUUAGAGGGAUGUCUAUCUAAGUGGGAGUUCUUAAGUAAUAUGAUUAAUUGAACUUUAAUUUAUCAUGAACUUAGUCUUGGUAGUAUUAGCAUAUCUAUCUGGUAGAUCAAUAGCUCGCGUUGUUGCUUCCCUAUGUUUUAUAUAUGUUCCUAGAGAAAACUAAGUUGAAAAAUGUUAUGAACGUCUGGCAGAGCAAAGCUGAUGACUACUCGAUAGUUCAGUGUGCCAUGCUUUACGGCUUAGAACCGGGUCUUCAACGACGUUUUGAACGUCAUGGAGCAUAUGAGAUAUUCCAGGAGUUGAAGUUAAUAUUUCAAGCAAAUGCCCGGAUUGAGAGAUAUGAAGUCUCCAAUAAGUUCUACAGCUGCAAGAUGGAGGAGAAUAGUUCUGUCAGUGAGCAUAUACUCAAAAUGUCUGGGUAUAACAAUCACUUGAUUCAACUGGGAGUUAAUCUUCCGGAUGAUAGCGUCAUUGACAGAAUUCUUCAAUCACUGCCACCAAGCUACAAGAGCUUCGUGAUGAACUAUGACAUGCAAGGGAUGGAUAAGACGAUUCUCGAGCUCUUCGCAAUGCUAAAGGCUGCGGAGGUAGAAAUCAAAAAGGAGCAUCAAGUGUUGAUGGUCAAUAAGACCACCAGUUUCAAGAAAAAGGGCAAAGGGAAGAAGAAGGGGAACUUCAAGAAGAACAUCAAGCAAGUUGCUGCUCAGGAGAAGAAAGUCUGGACCUAAGCCUGAGACUGAGUGCUUCUACUGCAAGCAGACUGGUCACUGGAAGCGGAACUGCCCCAAGUAUUUGGCGGAUAAGAAGGAUGGCAAGGUGAACAAAGGUAUAUGUGAUAUACAUGUUAUUGAUGUGUACCUUACUAAUGCUCGCAGUAGCACCUGGGUAUUUGAUACUGGUUCUGUUGCUAAUAUUUGCAACUCGAAACAGGGACUACAUAUUAAGCGAAGAUUGGCUAAGGACGAGGUGACGAUGCGCGUGGGAAAUGGUUCCAAAGUCGAUGUGAUCGCGGUCGGCACGCUACCUCUACAUCUACCUUCGGGAUUAGUUUUAGACCUGAAUAAUUGUUAUUUGGUGCCAGCGUUGAGAAUGAACAUUAUAUCUGGAUCUUGUUUGAUGCGAGACGAUUAUUCAUUUAAAUCAGAGAAUAAUGGUUGUUCUAUUUAUAUGAGUAAUAUCUUUUAUGGUCAUGCACCCUUGAAGAGUGGUCUAUUUUUGUUGAAUCUCGAUAGUAGUGAUACACAUAUUCAUAAUAUAGAAGCCAAAAGAAGCAGAGUUGAUAAUGAUAGUGCAACUUAUUUGUGGCACUGCCGUUUAGGUCAUAUCGGUGUAAAGCGCAUAAAGAAACUCCAUACUGAUGGACUUUUGGAACCACUUGAUUAUGAAUCACUUGGUACUUGCGAACCGUGCCUCAUGGGCAAGAUGACUAAAACGCCGUUCUCCGGAACUAUGGAGCGAGCAACAGAUUUGUUGGAAAUCAUACAUACAAAUGUAUGUGGUCCGAUGAAUAUUGAGGCUCGAGGCGGAUAUCGUUAUUUUCUCACCUUCACAGAUGAUUUGAGAAGAUAUGGGUAUAUCUACUUAAUGAAACAUAAGUCUGAAACAUUUGAAAAGUUCAAAGAAUUUCAGAGUGAAGUUGAAAAUCAUCGUAACAAGAAAAUAAAGUUUCUACGAUCUGAUCGUGGAGGAGAAUAUUUGAGUUACGAGUUUGGUCUUCAUUUGAAAAAAUGCGGAAUAGUUUCGCAACUCACGCCACCCGGAACACCACAGUGUAAUGUGUGUCCGAACGUCGUAAUCGUACUUUACUUGAUAUGGUGCGAUCUAUGAUGUCUCUUACUGAUUUACCGCUAUCGUUUUGGGGUUAUGCUUUAGAGACGGCUGCAUUCACGUUAAAUAGGACACCAUCGAAAUCCGUUGAGACGACGCCUUAUGAACUGUGGUUUGGCAAGAAACCAAAGUUGUCGUUUCUUAAAAGUUUGGGGCUGCGAUGCUUAUGUGAAAAAGCUUCAACCUGAUAAGCUCGAACCCAAAUCGGAAAAAUGUGUCUUCAUAGGAUACCCAAAAGAGACUGUUGGGUACACCUUCUAUCACAGAUCCGAAGGCAAGACUUUUGUUGCUAAAUUUGGAAUCUUUCUAGAGAAGGAGUUUCUCUCGAAAGAAGUGAGUGGGAGGAAAGUAGAACUUUAUGAGGUAACUGUACCUGCUCCCUUAUUGGAAAGUAGUUCAUCACAGAAACCGGUUUCUGCGACACCUACACCAAUUAGUGAGGAAGUUAAUGAUCAUGAUCAUGAAACUUCAGAUCAAGUUGUUACUGAACCUCGUAGGUCAACCAGAGUAAGAUCCGCACCAGAGUGGUACGGUAAUCCUGUUCUGGAAGUUAUGUUGCUAGACCAUGACGAACCUACGAACUAUGAAGAAGCGAUGGUGAGCCCAGAUUCCGCAAAAUGGCUUGAGGCCAUGAAAUCUGAGAUGGGAUCCAUGUAUGAGACCAAAGUGUUGACUUUGGUUGACUUGCCCGAUGAUCGGCAAGCCAUUGAGAAUAAAUGGAUCUUCAAGAAGAAGAUUGACGCUGACGGUAAUGUUACUGUCUAUAAAGCUCGACUUGUUGCGAAAGGUUUUCGACAAGUUCAAGGGAUUGACUAUGAUGAGACCUUCUCACCCGUAGCGAUGCUUAAGUCUGUCCGAAUCAUGUUAGCAAUUGCCGCAUUUUAUGAUUAUGAAAUUUGGCAAAUGGAUGUAAAAACUGCAUUCCUGAAUGGAUUUCUGGAAGAAGAGUUGUAUAUGAUGCAACCGGAAGGUUUUGUCGAUCCAAAGGGAGCUAACAAAGUGUGCAAGCUCCAGCGAUCCAUUUAUGGACUGGAGCAAGCCUGUCGGAGUUGGAAUAAACGCUUUGAUAGUGUGAUCAAAGCAUUUGGUUUUAUACAGACUUUUGGAGAAGCCUGUAUUUACAAGAAAGUGAGUGGGAGCUCUGCAGCAUUUCUGAUAUUAUAUGUGGAUGACAUAUUGCUGAUUGGAAAUGAUAUAGAAUUUCUGGAUAGCAUAAAGGGAUACUUGAAUAAGAGUUUUUCGAUGAAAGACCUCGGUGAAGCUGCUUAUAUAUUGGGCAUCAAGAUCUAUAGAGAUAGAUCAAGACGCUUAAUUGGACUUUCACAAAGCACAUACCUUGACAAAGUUUUGAAGAAGUUCAAAAUGGAUCAAGCAAAGAAAGGGUUCUUGCCUGUGUUACAAGGUGUGAAGUUGAGUAAGACUCAAUGCCCGACCACUACAGAAGAUAGAGAGAAGAUGAAAGAUGUUCCCUAUGCUUCAGCCAUAGGCUCUAUCAUGUAUGCAAUGCUGUGUACCAGACCUGAUGUGUGCCUUGCUAUAAGUUUAGUAGGGAGGUACCAAAGUAAUCCAGGAGUGGAUCACUGGACAGCGGUCAAGAACAUCCUGAAAUACCUGAAAAGGACUAAGGAUAUGUUUCUCGUUUAUGGAGGUGACAAAGAGCUCAUCAUAAAUGGUUACGUUGAUACAAGCUUUGACACUGAUCCGGACGAUUCUAAAUCACAAACCGGAUACAUGUUUACAUUGAACGUGAAGGAAAUAUGCCCUAGAGGCAAUAAUAAAGUUAUUAUUUAUUUCCUUAUAUCAUGAUAAAUGUUUAUUAUUCAUGCUAGAAUUGUAUUAACCGGAAACAUAAUACAUGUGUGAAUACAUAGACAAACAUAGUGUCACUAGUAUGCCUCUACUUGACUAGCUCAUUGAUCAAAGAUGGUUGAGUUUCCUAGCCAUAGACAUGAGUUGUCAUUUGAUUAACGGGAUCACAUCAUUAGGAGAAUGAUGUGAUUGACUUGACCCAUUCCGUUAGCUUAGCACUCGAUCGUUUAGUAUGUUGCUAUUGCUUUCUACAUGACUUAUACAUGUUCCUAUGACUAUGACAUUAUGCAACUCCCGUUUACCGGAGGAACACUUUGUGUGCUACCAAACGUCACAACGUAACUGGGUGAUUAUAAAGGUGCUCUACAGGUGUCUCCGAAGGUACUUGUUGGGUUGACGUAUUUCGAGAUUAGGAUUUGUCACUCCGAUUGUCGGAGAGGUAUCUCUGGGCCCACUCGGUAAUGCACAUCACUAUAAGCCUUGCAAGCAUUGUAACUAAUGAGUUAGUUGCGAGAUGUUGUAUUACGGAACGAGUAAAGAGACUUACCGGUAACGAGAUUGAACUAGGUAUUGAGAUACCGACGAUCGAAUCUCGGGCAAGUAACAUACCGAUGACAAAGGGAACAACGUAUGUUGUUAUGCGGUUUGACCGAUAAAGAUCUUCGUAGAAUAUGUGGGAGCCAAUAUGAGCAUACAGGUUCCACUAUUGGUUAUUGACCGGAGACAUGUCUCGGUCAUGUCUACAUAGUUCUCGAACUCGUAGGGUCCGCACGCUUAAAGUUUCGAUGACGGUUCUGUUAUGAGUUUAUGAGUUUUGAUGUACCGAAGGUUGUUCGGAGUCCCGGAUGUGAUCACGAACAUGACGAGGAGUCUCGAAAUGGUCCCCAACAGCGUUAGCACAACGCGGUUGAUGUAGUCGUACGUCUUCACGAUCUGACCGAUCAAGUACCGAACGCACGGCACCUCUGAGUUCAGCACACGUUCAGCCCGAUGACGUCCCUCGAACUCCGAUCUAGCCGAGUGUUGAGGGAGAGUUUCGUCAGCACGACGGCGUGGUGACGAUGAUGAUGUUCUACCGACGCAGAGCUUCGCCUAAGCACCGCUACAGUAUUAUCGAGGUGGACUAUGGUGGAGGGGGGCACCGCACACGGCUAAAAGAUCAAACGAUCAAUUGUUGUGUCUCUAGGGUGCCCCCUGCCCCCGUAUAUAAAGGAACGAGGGGGGAGGUGCGGCCGGCCAGGAGGGGCGCGCCAGGUGGAGUCCUACUCCCACCGGGAGUAGGACUCCCUCCCUUUUCCUAGUUGGAUUAGGAGUGGAGGGGGAAAGAGGAGGGAGAAAGGAAGGAAAGGGGGGGGGGCAUCGCCCCCCUCUCCUUGUCCUAUUCGGACUAGGGGGGAGGGGCGUGCGGCCCUUCCCUGACCGCCUCUCCUCUUCUCCACAAAGGCCCACUAUGGCCCAUUAAGCCCCCGGGGGGUUCCGGUAACCCCUCGGUACUCCGGUAAAAUCUCGAUUUCACUCGGAACAAUUCCGAUAUCCAAAGAUAGGCUUCCAAUAUAUCAAUCUUCAUGUCUCGACCAUUUCGAGACUCCUCGUCAUGUCCUUGAUCACAUCCGGGACUCUGAACAACCUUCGGUACAUCAAAACAUAUAAACUCAUAAUAUAACUGUCAUCGAAACUUUAAGCGUGCGGACCCUACAGGUUCGAGAACUAUGUAGACAUGACCGAGAUACGUCUCCGGUCAAUAAGCAAUAGCGGAACCUGGAUGCUCAUAUUGGCUCCCACAUAUUCUACGAAGAUCUUUAUCGGUCAGACCGCAUAACAACAUACGUUGUUCCCUUUGUCAUCGGUAUGUUACUUGCCCGAUAUUCGAUUGUCGGUAUCUCAAUACCAAGUUCAAUCUCGUUACCGGCAAGUCUCUUUACUCAUUCCGUAGUACAUCAUCCCACAACUAACUCAUUAGUUGCAAUGCUUGCAAGGUUUAAGUGAUGUGCAAUACCGAGAGGGCCCAGAGAUGCCUCUCCGACAAUCAGAGUGACAAAUCCUAAUAUCGAAAUACGCCAACCCAACAAGUACCUUCGGAGACACCUGUAGAGCACCUUUAUAAUCACCCAGUUACGUUGUGACGUUUGGUAGCACACAAAGUGUUCCUCCGGUAAACGGGAGUUGCAUAAUCUCAUAGUCAUAGGAACAUGUAUAAGUCAUGAAGAAAGCAAUAGCAACAUACUAAACGAUCGAGUGCUAAGCUAACGGAAUGGGUCAACUCAAUCACAUCAUUCUCCUAAUGAUGUGAUCCCGUUAAUCAAAUGACAACUCAUGUCUAUGGCUAGGAAACAUAACCAUCUUUGAUCAACGAGCUAGUCAAGUAGAGGCAUACUAGUGACACUCUGUUUGUCUAUGUAUUCACACAAGUAUUAUGUUUCCGGUUAAUACAAUUCUAGCAUGAAUAAUAAACAUUUAUCAUGAUAUAAGGAAAUAAAUAAUAACUUUAUUAUUGCCUCUAGGGCAUAUUUCCUUCAGUCUCCCACUUGCACUAGAGUCAAUAAUCUAGAUUACACAGUAAUGAUUCUAACACCCAUGGAGCCUUGGUGCUGAUCAUGUUUUGCUCGUGGAAGAGGCUUAGUCAACGGGUCUGCAACAUUCAGAUCCGUAUGUAUCUUGCAAAUUUCUAUGUCUCCCACCUGGACUAAAUCCCGGAUGGAAUUGAAGUGUCUCUUGAUGUGCUUGGUUCUCUUGUGAAAUCUGGAUUCCUUCGCCAAGGCAAUUGCACCAGUAUUGUCACAAAGAUUUUCAUUGGACCCGAUGCACUAGGUAUGACACCUAGAUCGAAUAUGAACUCCUUCAUCCAGACUCCUUCAUUUGCUGCUUCCGAAGCAGCUAUGUACUCCGCUUCACACAUAGAUCCUGCCACGACGCUUUGUUUAGAACUGCACCAACUGACAGCUCCACCGUUCAAUGUAAACACGUAUCCGGUUUGUGAUUUAGAAUCGCCUGGAUCAGUGUCAAAGCUUGCAUCAACGUAACCAUUUACGAUGAGCUCUUUGUCACCUCCAUAAACGAGAAACAUAUCCUUAGUCCUUUUCAGGUAUUUCAGGAUGUUCUUGACCGCUGUCCAGUGAUCCACUCCUGGAUUACUUUGGUACCUCCCUGCUAAACUUAUAGCAAGGCACACAUCAGGUCUGGUACACAGCAUUGCAUACAUGAUAGAGCCUAUGGCUGAAGCAUAGGGAACAUCUUUCAUCUUCUCUCUAUCUUCUGCAGUGGUCGGGCAUUGAGUCUUACUCAACUUCACACCUUGUAACACAGGCAAGAACCCUUUCUUUGCUUGAUCCAUUUUGAACUUCUUCAAAACUUUGUCAAGGUAUGUGCUUUGUGAAAGUUCAAUUAAGCGUCUUGAUCUAUCUCUAUAGAUCUUGAUGCCCAAUAUAUAAGCAGCUUCACCGAGGUCUAUCAUCGAAAAACUCUUAUUCAAGUAUCCCUUUAUGCUAUCCAAAAAUUCUAUAUAAUUUCCAAUCAGCAAUAUGUCAUCCACAUAUAAUAUCAGAAAUGCUGCAGAGCUCCCACUCACUUUCUUGUAUAUACAGGCUUCUCCAAAAGUCUGUAUAAAACCAAAUGCUUUGAUCACACUAUCAAAGCGUUUAUUCCAACUCCGAGAGGCUUGCACCAGUCCAUAAAUGGAUCACUGGAGCUUGCACACUUUGUUAGCUCCCUUUGGAUCGACAAAACCUUCCGGUUGCAUCAUAUACAACUCUUCUUCCAGAAAUCCAUUCAGGAAUGCAGUUUUUACAUCCAUUUGCCAAAUUUCAUAAUCAUAAAAUGCGGCAAUUGCUAACAUGAUUCGGACAGACUUAAGCAUCGCUACGGGUGAGAAGGUCUCAUCAUAGUCAAUCCCUUGAACUUGUCAAAAACCUUUCGCAACAAGUCGAGCUUUAUAGACAGUAACAUUACCGUCAGCGUCAGUCUUCUUCUUGAAGAUACAUUUAUUCUCAUUGGCUUGCCGAUUAUCGGGCAAGUCAACCAAAGUCCACACUUUGUUCUCAUACAUGGAUCCCAUCUCAGAUUUCAUGGCCUCAAGCCAUUUUGCGGAAUCUGGGCUCACCAUCGCUUCUUCAUAGUUCGUAGGUUCGUCAUGGUCUAGCAACAUAACUUCCAGAACAGGAUUACCGUACCACUCUGGUGCGGAUCUUACUCUGGUUGACCUACGAGGUUCAGUAACAACUUGAUCUGAAGUUCCAUGAUCAUCAUCAUUAACUUCCUCACUAAUUGGUGUAGGCGUCGCAGAAACCGGUUUCUGCGAUGAACUACUUUCCAAUAAGGGAGCAGGUACAAUUACCUCAUCAUGUUCUACUUUCCUCCCACUCACUUCUUUAGAGAGAAACUCCUUCUCUAGAAAGAUUCUGAAUUUAGCAACAAAAGUCUUGCCUUCGGAUCUGUGAUAGAAGGUGUACCCAACAGUCUCCUUUGGGUAUCCUAUGAAGACACAUUUCUCCGAUUUGGGUUCGAGCUUAUCAGGUUGAAGCUUUUUCACAUAAGCAUCGCAGCCCCAAACUUUUAAGAAACGACAACUUUGGUUUCUUGCCAAACCACAGUUCAUAAGGCGUCGUUUCAACGGAUUUUGAUGGUGCCCUAUUUAACGUGAAUGCGGCCGUCUCUAAAGGAUAACCCCAAAACGAUAGCGGUAAAUCAGUAAGAGACAUCAUAGAUCGCACCAUAUCUAGUAGAGUACGAUUACGACGUUCGGACACACCAUUACGCUCUGGUGUUCCGGGUGGUGUGAGUUGCGAAACAAUUCCGCAUUGUUUCAAAUGAAGACCAAACUCAUAACUCAAAUAUUCUCCUCCACGAUCAGAUCGUAGAAACUUUAUUUUCUUGUUACGAUGAUUUUCAACUUCACUCUGAAAUUCUUUGAACUUUUCAAAUGUUUCAGACUUAUGUUUCAUUAAGUAGAUAUACCCAUAUCUGCUUAAAUCAUCUGCGAAGGUGAGAAAAUAACGAUAUCCGCCACGAGCCUCAACAUUCAUCGGACCACAUACAUCUGUUUGUAUGAUUUCCAACAAAUCUAUUGCUCUCUCCGUAGUUCCGGAGAACCGCGUUUGAGUCAUCUUGUCCAUGAGGCACGGUUCGCAAGUACCAAGUGAUUCAUAAUCAAGUGGUUCCAAAAGUCCAUCAGUAUGGAGUUUCUUCAUGCGCUUUACACCGAUAUGACGUAAACGGCAGUGCCACAAAUAAGUUGCACUAUCAUUAUCAACUAUGCAUCUUUUGGCUUCAAUAUUAUGAAUAUGUGUAUCACUACUAUCGAGAUUCAACAAAAAUAGACCACUCUUCAAGGGUGCAUGACCAUAAAAGAUAUUACUCAUAUAAAUAGAACAACCAUUAUUCUCUGAUUUAAAUGAAUAACCGUCUCGCAUCAAACAAGAUCCAGAUAUAAUGUUCAUGCUUAACGCUGGCACCAAAUAACAAUUAUUUAGGUCUAAAACUAAUCCCGAAGGUAGAUGUAGAGGUAGCAUGCCGACCGCGAUCACAUCAACUUUGGAACCAUUUCCCACGCGCAUCGUCACCUCGUCCUUAGCCAAUCUUCGCUUAAUCCGUAGCCCCUGUUUCGAGUUGCAAAUAUUAGCAACAGAACCAGUAUCAAAUACCCAGGUGCUACUGCGAGCAUUAGUAAGGUACACAUCAAUAACAUGUAUAUCACAUAUACCUUUGUUCACCUUGCCAUCCUUCUUAUCCGCCAAAUACUUGGGGCAGUUCCGCUUCCAGUGACCAGUCUGCUUGCAGUAGAAGCACUCAGUCUCAGGCUUAGGUCCAGACUUGGGUUUCUUCUCCUGAACAGCAACUUGCUUGCUGUUCUUCUUGAAGUUCCCCUUCUUCUUCCCUUUGCCCUUUUUCUUGAAACUGGUGGUCUUAUUGACCAUCAACACUUGAUGCUCCUUUUUUAUUUCUACCUCCGCAGCCUUUAGCAUUGCGAAGAGCUUGGGAAUCGUCUUAUCCAUCCCUUGCAUGUUAUAGUUCAGCACGAAGCUCUUGUAGCUUGGUGGCAGUGAUUGGAGAAUUCUGUCAAUGACACUAUCAUCCGGAAGAUUAACAUCCAGUUGAAUCAAGUGAUUAUUAUACCCAGACAUUUUGAGUAUAUGCUCACUGACAGAACUAUUCUCCUCCAUCUUGCAGCUGUAGAACUUAUUGGAGACUUCAUAUCUCUCAAUCCGGGCAUUUGCUUGAAAUAUUAACUUCAACUCCUGGAACAUCUCAUAUGCUCCAUGACGUUCAAAAUGUCGUUGAAGUCCCGGUUCUAAGCCGUAAAGCAUGGCACAUUGAACUAUCGAGUAGUCAUCAGCUUUGCUUUGCCAGACGUUCUUAACGUCGUCAGUUGCAUCAGCAGCAGGCCUGGCACCCAGCGGUGCUUCCAGGACGUAAUUCUUAUGUGCAGCAAUGAGGAUAAUCCUCAAGUUACGGACCCAAUCCGUGUAAUUGCUACCAUCAUCUUUCAACUUUGCUUUCUCAAGGAACGCAUUAAAAUUCAACGGAACAACAACAUGGGCCAUCUAUCUACAAUCAACAUAGACAAGCAAGAUACUAUCAGGUACUAAGUUCAUGAUAAAUUUAAGUUCAAUUAAUCAUAUUACUUAAGAACUCCCACUUAGAUAGACAUCCCUCUAAUCCUCUAAGUGAUCACGUGAUCCAUAUCAACUAAACCAUGUCCGAUCAUCACGUGAGAUGGAGUAGUUUCAACGGUGAACAUCACUAUGUUGAUCAUAUCUACUAUAUGAUUCACGCUCGACCUUUCAGUCUCCGUGUUCCGAGGCCAUAUCUGUUAUAUGCUAGGCUCGUCAAGCUUAACCUGAGUAUUCCGCGUGUGCAACUGUUUUGCACCCGUUGUAUUCGAACGUAGAGCCUAUCACACCCGAUCAUCACGUGGUGUCUCAGCACGAAGAACUUUCGCAACGGUGCAUACUCAGGGAGAACACUUAUACUUUGAUAAUUUAGUGAGGGAUCAUCUUAUAAUGCUAUCGUCAAUCAAAGCAAGAUAAGAUGCAUAAAAGAUAAACAUCACAUGCAAUCAAUAUAAGUGAUAUGAUAUGGCCAUCAUCAUCUUGUGCUUGUGAUCUCCAUCUCCGAAGCACCGUCAUGAUCACCAUCGUCACCGGUGCGACACCUUGACCUUCAUCGUAGCAUCGUUGUCGUCUCGCCAAUCUUAUGCUUCUACGACUAUCGCUACCGCUUAGUGAUAAAGUAAAGCAUUACAGGGCGAUUGCAUUGCAUACAAUAAAGCGACAACCAUAUGGCUCCUGCCAGUUGCCGAUAACUCGGUUACAAAACAUGGUCAUCUCAUACAAUAAAAUUUAGCAUCAACCGUUCUUACCUACGCAUCAAAACCACAACGAUAGUUUGUCAAGUUGGUGCUGUUUUAACCUUCGCAAGGACCGGGCGUAGCCACACUCGGUUCAACUAAAGUUGGAGAAACUGACACCCGCCAGCCACCUGUCUGCAAAGCACGUCGGUAGAACCAGUCUCGCGUAAGCGUACGCGUAAUGUCGGUCCGGGCCGCUUCAUCCAACAAUACCGCCGAACCAAAGUAUGACAUGCUGGUAAGCAGUAUGACUUAUAUCACCCACAACUCACUUGUGUUCUACUCGUGCAUAUAACAUCAACGCAUAAAACCUGGCUCGGAUGCCACUGUUGGGGAACAUAGUAAUUUCAAAAAUUUCCUACGCACACGCAAGAUCAUGGUGAUGCAUAGCAACGAGAGGGGAGAGUGUUGUCCACGUACCCUUGUAGACCGAAAGCGGAAGCGUUAGCACAACGCGGUUGAUGUAGUCGUACGUCUUCACGAUCCGACUGAUCAAGUACCGAACGCACGGCACCUCCGAGUUCAGCACACGUUCAGCCCGAUGACGUCCCUCGAACUCCGAUCCAGCCGAGUGUUGAGGGAGAGUUUCGUCAGCACGACGACAUGGUGACGAUGAUGAUGUUCUACCGACGCAGGGCUUCGCCUAAGCACCGCUACAGUAUUAUCAAGGUGGACUAUGGUGUAGGGGGGCACCGCACACGGCUAGAAGAUCAAACGAUCAAUUGUUGUGUCUCUAGGGUGCCCCCUGCCCCCGUAUAUAAAGGAGCAAGGGGGGAGGUGCGGCCGGCCAGGAGGGGAGCGCCAGGUGCCCUUUUCCGAGUUGGAUUAGGAGUGGAGGGGGAAAGAGGAGGGAGAAAGGAAGGAAAGGGGGGGGGGCGCCGUCCCCCGCUCCUUGUCCUAUUCGGACUAGGGGGAGGGGCGCGCGGCCCUGCCCUGGCCGCCUCUCCUCUUCUCCACAAAGGCCCACUAUGGCCCAUUAAUCCCCCGGGGGGUUCCGGUAACCCCUCGGUACUCCGGUAAAAUCCCGAUUUCAUUCGGAACACUUCCGAUACCAAAUAUAGGCUUCCAAUAUAUCAAUCUUCAUGUCUCGACCAUUUCGAGACUCCUCUUCAUGUCCGUGAUCACAUCCGGGACUCCGAACAACCUUCGGUACAUCAAAACAUAUAAACUCAUAAUAUAACUGUCAUCGAAACGUUAAGCGUGCGGACCCUACGGGUUCGAGAACUUUGUAGACAUGACCGAGAUACGUCUCCGGUCAAUAAGCAAUAGUGGAACCUGGAUGCUCAUAUUGGCUCCCACAUAUUGUACGAAGAUCUUUAUCGGUCAAACCGCAUAACAACAUACGUUGUUCCCUUUGUCAUCGGUAUGUUACUUGCCCGAGAUUCGAUCGUCGGUAUCUCAAUACCUAGUUCAAUCUCGUUACCGGCAAGUCUCUUUACUCGUUCCGUAAUACAUCAUCCCACAACUAACUCAUUACUUGCAACGCUUGCAAGGUUUAAGUGAUGUGCAUUACCGAGAGGGCCCAAAGAUACCUCUCCGACAAUCGGAGUGACAAAUCCUAAUCUCGAAAUACGCCAACCCAACAAGUACCUUCGGAGACACCUGUAGACCACCUUUAUAAUCACCCAGUUAUGUUGUGACGUUUGGUAGCACACAAAGUGUUCCUCCGGUAAACGGGAGUUGCAUAAUCUCAUAGUCAUAGGAACAUGUAUAAGUCAUGAAGAAAGAAAUAGCAACAUACUAAACGAUCGAGUGCUAAGCUAACGGAAUGGGUCAAGUCAAUCACAUGAUUCUCCUAAUGAUGUGUAACACCCCCAGUGUCAUGCUACAGUAACUCUCUGUGAUUAAGCCUAAUCAUUUGGCUAAAGAAUGCUUAAUCACCUUUGUUCAAUAUCUCUUUUCAACUCCCAUCUGAAUUCAAAUUCAAAUCAUAAGUGAAAUUUGAAGUUGCACAAAAGUUGCUGGAAAAAUGUUCAUCAUUUAGCAAAUAUUCCAAUACAAUUUGAUGUAAUUAAAAACAACAUCACUCCUAUGCUAAAAUGGACACUAACAUUUAUAACAGUGCCAUUCCAGCAAUUUAAAAUGCAAAUUCACUUAUGAAAAUUCCAAAUGAAUCUAAACCUCUCCCAAAAAUAAUUGUGGCAGUGCCUAAAAAUGCACUGGACCUUUAUGAUCCAGUUCCACAUUUUUCCUAAAUCAUUAGGGUCCCCAGAUAAAUCAUUUUCCUUCUCUUGUGAUUAAAGAAAAGAAAAGGAAAAGCAGAAGAGAGAGAGAGAGAGAACCCCCCCCCCCGUGUCCCUCUGGACCUCAACCAGCCUUGCCGGCCCAGUCGGCCCAGCUCCCCGCACCGCACCCUCCCUUCCUGUUCCUCGGUCGCGCGCCGCUACAGGGCACGGUCGCCACCGAACCCACCUCGUCGGCGCCGUCCCGAGGGGAUAAGGCCGACAGCCGUGCCCCCUCGAGCUCCCCCCGCCCUCUCCCACUCGCCUCUCCCAGAUCCACUCCCCUCUCUCCAUCCGCUCGCUCCUCGCCUCUCCCCUUCGUUCCCCAUCGCCACCGAGCGCCAUCGCCGCCGAGCACCGCGGCCACCGACGCCCAUUCCUCCCUCCGAGGUGUCCAGGAGGUCCGCGGUGGACUGCUUCUUCAUCCUCGUCACCGGAUCGAUCCCGAGGAGCGCCACCGUCGUCGCUCGCAUCUUCUUCCCCAACUGCGGCCACCGCUACGCCGCCGUUCGAUCCGCCUCGAAUCUGCAGCUACUAAACCCCCGAGGGCCACCGUGCGUGCCGCAAGGUGAGCCCCUCUUCCCCUUCCAUCGCUCCCCUGGCCUCUUGCGCUCCCGUAGCCACCGCGUCCGCCAGGGCCGAGCUCAGCUCCGCCGCAUAGCUCGCCGCCGUCGCCACGGGCAUCGUCACGCUCGCCCGAGCACUCGAGAGUGCUCAGGCCACCUCGCCGCAUCCGCCCGUGCCGCUAGGUCCCUUCCCCGUAGCCUCUAGCGCCGACCGCCCGUUUGCCCGUACUCCGGUGACCACCGCGGUGCGCGCCGCCAUCGUUUUAGUGCGUUUCCGGCCAGGACACCACUGCUGUUCGACGCGCGCUACUCCGCUUGUUCGAACGCGCCCUCGCGCGCGCGAAACGGUUGCCCGUAGGCGAAAUCCGACGAGGUCCGAGGCCCUCCGCCGUGUUUGCCGUCACCGGCGAUGUGCCGCCGGCCGCCGCUGACGUGGCACACCUGGGGCCUCCCCUGGGUCACUGCCAGCGGGCCCCGCGGGCCCCGUUGACUGGGUUGACCUAGUCAACGUGCUGACUGGGCGUCUAUGUGACGCUGACAUGCGGGCCCCGCCACUUAAUCUUCUAAUUAAAUGUUUUAUUAAUUAAAACUAAUUAGUUUAGUUAAUUAGUCCAUGACAGGCGGGACCUACCUGCUAAAUAACUCUGUUUAGUUAGUUUUAAAACUCUGUUAACUCUCUGUCUAUGACAUGUGGGCCCCGCUGGACCCACAUGUCAGUUUUGACCUGGUCAGCGAGUCUGUUAACUGCUGACAUCAUCCCCACGCAAUGCUGACAUCAUAAUUCCUUUUCUGUUAAUAUUAAUAAUUCCAAAAUAUUGUUUAAACUUUGAAAAUUCAUAGUAAUUAAACCGUAACUCCGAUGAAAAUGUUUUCUACAUGAAAGUUGCUCAGAAAAAUCCAACGAAUCCGGAUACACGGUCUGUUUACCUGUCAGAUGCCUCUAACUAUCUGAACAUGGAACAUUCCCCCUUCGCUUAUCUGUCUGACACAGGUCCGGAACCGAGAAUACAUUCCCGGUUGAAUUCCCCCUUCACCUACAUCGUGUAGCCAUACGUUAGGUCACACCCGGCACAGCAUAUUGCCACGUUAUGCUUUGUGAUGCUAUGUUUGCUUUAUGUUUACUGUUUCUUCCCCCUCUUCUCUCCGGCAGACCCCGAGACCGAUGCUGCCCCUGUGAUCGACUACGUCGACGACGACACUUCUUCCUUUUUAGCAGAGCUUCCAGGCAAGCCCCCCCUUGAUCACCAGAUAUCGCCUAUUCUUCUCUAUACUGCUUGCAUUAGAAGAGCGUAGCAUGUUACUGCUUUCGGUUAAUCCUAUUCUGCUGCAUAGCCUAUCAUUGUUGCUACAGUUGUUACCCUUACCUGCUAUCCUACUGCUUAGUAUAGGAUGCUAUUGUUCCAUCAGUGGCCCUACACUCUUGUCCGUCUGCCAUGCUAUACUAUCGGGCCGUGAUCACUAGGGAGGUGAUCACGGGUAUAUACUAUAUACUUUAUAUACAUGGCACAUGUGGUGACUAAAGUCGGGUCAGCUCGUUGAGUACCCGCAAGUGAUUCUGAUGAGGGGGCUGAAAGGACAGGUGGCUCCAUCCCGGUAGAGGUGGGCCUGGGUUCCUGACGGCCCCUGACUGUUACUUUGUGGCGGAGCGACAGGGCAGGUUGAGACGACCUAGGAGAGAGGUGGGCCUGGCCCUGGUCGGCGUCCGCGGAUACUUAAAAAUAACACACUUAACGAGUUCUUGGUAUUUGAUCCGAGUCUGGCCAUUUGGUCUAUACGCACUAACCAACUACGCGGGAACAGUUAUGGGCACUCAACGUCGUGGUAUCAGCCGAAGCCUUCGUGACGUCAGCGACGGAGCGGCGCGCGCCGGAUUGGACUGGAACGCCUGCUAGGCUAGGUCUGCUUCCGGCCGCCCUCGCAACAUGCAGGUGUGCAAUGGGCGAUGGGCCCAGACCCCUGCGCCAUAGGAUUUAGACCGGCGUGCUGACCUCUCUGUUGUGCCUAGGUGGGGCUGCGACGUGUUGAUCUCCCGAGGCCGGGCAUGACCCAGGAAAGUGUAUCCGGCCAAAUGGGAUCGAGCGUGUUGGGUUAUGUGGUGCACCCCUGCAGGGAAGUUUAUCUAUUCAAAUAGCCGUGUCCCUCGGUAAAAGGACGACCCGGAGUUGUACCUUGACCUUAUGACAACUAGAACCGGAUACUUAAUAAAACACACCCUUCCAAGUGCCAGAUACAACCCGGUGAUCGCUCUCUAACAGGGCGACGAGGAGGGGAUCGCCGGGUAGGAUUAUGCUAUGCGAUGCUACUUGGUGAACUUACCAUCUACUCUCUUCUACAUGCUGCAAGAUGGAGGUGGCCAGAAGCGUAGUCUUCGACAGGAUUAGCUAUCCCCCUCUUAUUCUGGCAUUCUGCAGUUCAGUCCACCGAUAUGGCCCUUUACACAUAUACCCAUGCAUAUGUAGUGUAGCUCCUUGCUUGCAAGUACUUUGGAUGAGUACUCACGGUUGCUUUUCUCCCUCUUUUCCCCUUUCUAUACCUGGUUGUCGCAACCAGAUGGUGGAGUCCAGGAGCUAGAGAUCCCGAGGAUGAUUCUACGUGGAGUUCGGCUUCGAGGAGUAGUUAGGAGGUCCCAGGCAGGAGGCCUUGCCUUUUCGAUCGUUGCUACUUUUGUGCUAGCCUUCUUAAGGCAAUCUUGUUUAACUUAUGUCUGUACUCAGAUAUUGUUGCUUCCGCUGACUCGUCUAUGAUCGAGCACUUGUAUUCGAGCCCUCGAGGCCCCUGGCUUGUAUUAUGAUGCUUGUAUGACUUAUUUUUAUUUUUAGAGUUGUGUUGUGAUAUCUUCCCGUGAGUCCCUGAUCUUGGUCGUACACGUUUGCGUGUAUGAUUAGUGUACGGUCAAAACGGGGGCGUCACAAGUUGGUAUCAGAGCCGACUGCCUGUAGGAAUCCCCCUUCCACACUCCUUGGCCGAAGUCGAGUCUAGACAUUGCAAAACUUUUACUAACAUGGCUGUGUGUCUUACGGGCCCACGUCGCCAUUGGGUGGUAUUAGGAUCUUUUAUUCCUCGUCUGUACUCUGGGACUCUUAUCUCUCUUCUAUUCGGGUUAAAUGAUUUUUCUAAAAUCUACCUUUAGGUUCUCGAGAAAACUUCUCCUGGAGAGCCCCUUCAGUCCAGAUGACCGCCUGCUGCACCAGAAAAUUUUGAAGAUACUCUCCGAUGUUUCCCCGAGACCCUGGUGCCCUUCGCCGUUGCAAAUCCAUGCCACCGAUAAAUCCCUAUGGAAAGCUACAUACACUUGUCGUCCAUAACUUCAUUUCCAAUUGUUCUUGUUAUUACAAGAUACCCUGAAAUACUUCGGAUAUUCCGAGAAUCCUUUGGGUCUGCUGCCUUGCAGCUUCUUUUCCUCAUGAAUACAUGUAUGAAUAAUUCCUCACACUUACCGGGGAUUCGUUCAUCCCUAGUUAUUCAGGUGUUUCGCAAAUUCUUCGAAAUGCCAUUCGAUCUUCCAAAAUCCUCAGUAGCCUAUUGCCUUUGAUCUUCUUUACCUGCUUGCAUAAUGGUUACUUCCAUAUGUCUAGCAAUAUUCAUUAAAAUACUUUGUGAUCGACAUUCUGAUCAUGCUGGAUCAACAUGUGUGUGAAUGCACACAAUCAUCAAUUAAUCCUUGGAAAAUUUCUUUCCGGCUCAGACAUUGUUCUGGAUAUGAGCUCGUUCUUGCCAAAUCAAGAUUUGAUCGGGUGCACCUCUAAGUCUAUUCAACUUACUCAUCUUUUGAUCAGAGCCUCUGCUUCUGAUCCUUCGUCUUGAAAUCAUAAUUCCUUUGUACUCAAGCAUCGAAUUAUUCAGACGUUUCUAUAAGUCGAUGCCUUUGCAUCCCCUUCUUCAUCUGGCUGAUUACCGAUACUCACAUCACUCUGUCGUGAAUCACUAGAUCCACUGUUGGGUUGUUAUCCGACAAUGUCCUUCACAUCCAAAAUCUUAUGAGUUUUUCCCUGAUACAUAAUACCUUCGGUAAAUUGUAUCAUCUGCUUUGACCUCAAUAUUCUGCUUUCGAACUCGUAUCUUUUGCUUGGUUGAUGGUUGUAUAGAUUCGUAAAAAUGCCCCGAUGGGUUGAACUUAUGCCUUCCAUAAUCUGUGUGAACCCAAGAGUUCUCACGAGUCUCACUCUUCUGGUACUUCGCCAGAUAAAUCUUCUGCACUACAAUUUCUUCGAAAACGAAGAGUGAAUGAAAGGUUAUGCAUUGAAGAAGUGGGAGUCGACCUUGAACCUUUGUGUUCAUGCCCAUGAAACCGAUGUAGAACUUAUCAUGGAAGCUGCUCGUAAAAAUAAUAAUAAUAAACUCCUAUUAUAAUCCAUCUGGUAUUUUGCUUUGAUUCUUUGCAAUCGUGGUCCCGACCAUGAUUGUUCUUCUUUGAUCCCAUUUCGUGGGCAAGGUAAAGCACUUGUCUUUUGCAAACCAAUAUGCCUGCCCAACCUCUAUUCUGUUUUACCCUCGAGUGUUACCCCUUGGUAUCUCGGGAAUAUCGCAAGAACUACAUAACUUCUUAUGAGUUCUUCAUUGAACUACUAUUGAUCACCAAUUCCAGUAUCCCCGGGUUCUGAGUGGUUGGUCACUCGAGAACAUCGGUAAGUGAAUCGGUUCUGCACUCCGAUUCGAUAACUCUAAGUAAUUUUCGUUGCUUACGAGUUUAGUAAUCCUUCCAGUCAUUCCUAGCCUGAUCGGGUAUAUCAUUAUCGUGCUAAUUUUAACUGUGCUACCCGGUCCUGGAGCACAACUUUUUGACGAUGAGCGAAGCUUACGUCGAUCUUCCUCAUCUUAUCAUUCCACCUUGAACAACAAGCUUGAAUCCGAGCUUGUGUCGUAUACGUGGUUCCAAUAGCCUUUGCUUCAUCAUUCCUUUUGCUUGAUGUCGUUGCUGCUCGAUGGCAUCUUCAUAGAGCCUCUCGACAAAAUUUGUCGUGAUCACCGUCAAUAUACUGCCUUGUUCUAAGAUAUCAAUCGAAUUCUUGAGGAGAAAUACCAUCCUUGCCCGUCGAUGAUUCGUGUUGUCAUCGACACCAUCCUUGACUUCCUUCCAAUACAGACUUGGUCAUGUUUUGAUUAUAUCUUACAUUCCUUGUCAUUCUUGGAAUUGUUCCUUUGUACUUCUUGUGACCUUCAGAUUCAAUCUUGCUUGAAACACCCUGUUAAUGUUACCUCGAAGCAUGACUGUGGUAUGCCGAACAACAACAAGAACAUUGGAAGUGCAUUGCCAAAUGUUUCUUGCUCUAUUAUCCAAAACACCGUUGUAUGGAUAACAUCAUGAAUUCCCUUGCCCCUUUAUCCAAAAUGGUGAUGUACUUGUUGAUCUAACAUGUAUAUCAUGCUCUACUUUUCCUUGGGAAAAGUUACACUCCUAAAUCUUGUGUAUAAACACAUUUUCCUUUCCAUUGGUUUGAUUAACCUUUCUUGUGAUCUAUAUAUGUUAUAAGCAGAAAUAAUUCCCUGCUUAUGGAAACACCUCGGUUUACAACUCUGUCAGUGUGACCCUGUUACUAUUGCUGACGACAUCCUGGUAACCACCGAUGGACGAGAACUUUCCUAUUGCUCCGCCUCGUUCAACGAGCAGGAAAAUAGUUCUCUUCGUCCCUCGCCCUUGGUACCAACGAUGUUGGCAACAUAACUGGCAGUCUAUCAUCUGACAUGCCUUGCUAUCGACCCCCUUUCUACUUUUAACCCACAUGGUGGGCCCAAAACCCACAGUUCCACAGGAUCGGAACCUGACUCUCCUGUAUAUCUUUGAUUCUGAAAUAUUCUUGAAUUUGGCUUCGUAUCAUGUCACGAGCCACCUUUCGAGAGAUGAUCUAUUCCCGAUGCUCUGAACCCCUUUCUCACACCCUGUUCAGGUAUCGAUCGUUUGUCCAUUCGCUUGAAACUUCUUAUUGUACCUUCAUAUUUUGCUGUCGACAUUUUCUUAUAUUUCAACUCGAGAGAUACUUCUGUCACAUUCCCUGAAUUGUUCACUAGAUAAUUAACCCUAAAAGGGUCAGUUCUCCCGAAGUUACUCUUUACUUCCCCACUUAAAUCUCGGGACGAGAUUUCUUGUAGUGGAGGAGAUUUGUAACACCCCCAGUGUCAUGCUACAGUAACUCUCUGUGAUUAAGCCUAAUCAUUUGGCUAAAGAAUGCUUAAUCACCUUUGUUCAAUAUCUCUUUUCAACUCCCAUCUGAAUUCAAAUUCAAAUCAUAAGUGAAAUUUGAAGUUGCACAAAAGUUGCUGGAAAAAUGUUCAUCAUUUAGCAAAUAUUCCAAUACAAUUUGAUGUAAUUAAAAACAACAUCACUCCUAUGCUAAAAUGGACACUAACAUUUAUAACAGUGCCAUUCCAGCAAUUUAAAAUGCAAAUUCACUUAUGAAAAUUCCAAAUGAAUCUAAACCUCUCCCAAAAAUAAUUGUGGUAGUGCCUAAAAAUGCACUGGACCUUUAUGAUCCAGUUCCACAUUUUUCCUAAAUCAUUAGGGUCCCCAGAUAAAUCAUUUUCCUUCUCUUGUGAUUAAAGAAAAGAAAAGGAAAAGCAGAAGAGAGAGAGAGAGAGAGAACNNNNNNNNNNNNNUUCACUUAUGAAAAUUCCAAAUGAAUCUAAACCUCUCCCAAAAAUAAUUGUGGCAGUGCCUAAAAAUGCACUGGACCUUUAUGAUCCAGUUCCACAUUUUUCCUAAAUCAUUAGGGUCCCCAGAUAAAUCAUUUUCCUUCUCUUGUGAUUAAAGAAAAGAAAAGGAAAAGCAGAAGAGAGAGAGAGAGAGAACCCCCCCCCCCGUGUCCCUCUGGACCUCAACCAGCCUUGCCGGCCCAGUCGGCCCAGCUCCCCGCACCGCACCCUCCCUUCCUGUUCCUCGGUCGCGCGCCGCUACAGGGCACGGUCGCCACCGAACCCACCUCGUCGGCGCCGUCCCGAGGGGAUAAGGCCGACAGCCGUGCCCCCUCGAGCUCCCCCCGCCCUCUCCCACUCGCCUCUCCCAGAUCCACUCCCCUCUCUCCAUCCGCUCGCUCCUCGCCUCUCCCCUUCGUUCCCCAUCGCCACCGAGCGCCAUCGCCGCCGAGCACCGCGCUGCACCGCGGCCACCGACGCCCAUUCCUCCCUCCGAGGUGUCCAGGAGGUCCGCGGUGGACUGCUUCUUCAUCCUCGUCACCGGAUCGAUCCCGAGGAGCGCCACCGUCGUCGCUCGCAUCUUCUUCCCCAACUGCGGCCACCGCUACGUCGCCGUUCGAUCCGCCUCGAAUCUGCAGCUACUAAACCCCCGAGGGCCACCGUGCGUGCCGCAAGGUGAGCCCCUCUUCCCCUUCCAUCGCUACCCUGGCCUCUUGCGCUCCUGUAGCCACCGCGUCCGGCAGGGCCGAGCUCAGCUCCGCCGCAUAGCUCGUCGCCGUCGCCAUGGGCAUCGUCACGCUCGCCCGAGCACUCGAGAGUGCUCAGGCCACCUCGCCGUGUCUGCCCGUGCCGCUAGGUCCCUUCCCCGUAGCCUCUAGCGCCGACCGCGCGUUUGCCCGAACUCCGGCGACCACCACGAUGCGCGCCGCCAUCGUUUUAGUGCGUUUCCGGCCAGGCCACCACCGAUGUUCGACGCGCGCUGCUCCGCUCGUUCGAACGCGCCCUCGCGCGCGAAACGGUUGCCUGUAGGCGAAAUCCGACGAGGUCCGAGGCCCUACGCCGUGUUUGGCGUCACCGGCGACGUGCCGCCGGCCGCCGCUGCCGUGGCACACCUGGGGCCUCCCCUGGGUCACUGCAAGCAGGCCCCGCGGGCCCCGUUGACUGGGUUGACCUAGUCAACGUGCUGACUGGGCGUCUCUGUUACGCUGACAUGCGGGCCCCACCGCUUAAUCUUCUAAUUAAACGUUUUAUUAAUUAAAACUAAUUAGUUUAGUUAAUUAGUCCAUGAUAGGCGGGACCUACCUGCUAAAUAACUCUGUUUAGUUAGUUUUAAAACUUUGUUAACUCUCUGUCUAUGACAUGUGGGCCCUGCUGGACCCACAUGUCAGUUUUGACCUGGUCAACGAGUCUGUUGACUGCUGACAUCAUCCCCACGCAAUGCUGACAUCAUAAUUCCUUGUCUGUUAAUAUUAAUAAUUCCAGAAUAUUGUUUAAACUUUGAAAAUUCAUAGUAAUUAAACCGUAACUCCGAUGAAAAUGUUUUCUACAUGAAAGUUGCUCAGAAAAAUCCAACGAAUCCGGAUACGUGGUCCGUUUACCUGUCAGAUGCCUCUAACUUUCUGAACAUGGAACAUUCCCCCUCCGGUUAUCUGUCUGACACAGGUCCGGAACCGGGAAUACAUUCCCGGUUCAAUUCCCCCUUCACCUACAUCGUGUAGCCAUACGUUAGGUCACACCUGGCACAACAUAUUGCCACGUUAUGCUUUGUGAUGCUAUGUUUGCUUUAUAUUUACUGUUUCUUCCCCCUCUUCUCUCUGGUAGACCCCGGGACCGAUGCUGCCCCUGUGAUCGACUACGUUGACGACGACACUUCUUCCUUUUUAGCAGAGCUUCCAGGCAAGCCCCCCCCUUGAUCACCAGAUAUCGCCUAUUCUUCUCUAUACUGCUUGCAUUAGAAGAGUGUAGCAUGUUACUGCUUUCGGUUAAUCCUAUUCUGCUGCAUAGCCUGUCAUUGUUGCUACAGUUGUUACCCUUACCUGCUAUCCUACUGCUUAGUAUAGGAUGCUAGUGUUCCAUCAGUGGCCCUACACUCUUGUCCGUCUGCCAUGCUAUACUAUCGGGCCGUGAUCACUAGGGAGGUGAUCACGGGUAUAUACUAUAUACUUCAUAUACAUGACACAUGUGGUGACUAAAGUCGGGUCAGCUCGUUGAGUACCCGCAAGUGAUUCUGAUGAGGGGGCUGAAAGGACAGGUGGCUCCAUCCCGGUAGAGGUGGGCCUGGGUUCCUGACGGCCCCCGACUGUUACUUUGUGGCGGAGCGACAGGGCAGGUUGAGACCACCUAGGAGAGAGGUGGGCAUGGCCCUGGUCGGCGUCCGCGGAUACUUAAAAAUAACACGCUUAACGAGUUCUUGGUAUUUGAUCCGAGUCUGGCCAUUUGGUCUAUACGCACUAACCAACUACGCGGGAACAGUUAUGGGCACUCGACGUCGUGGUAUCAGCCGAAGCCUUCGUGACGUCAGCGACGGAGCGGCGCGCGCCGGAUUGGACUGGAACGCCUGCUAGGCUAGGUCUGCGGUGUGCAAUGGGCGAUGGGCCCAGACCCCUGCGCCAUAGGAUUUAGACCGGCGUGCUGACCUCUCUGUUGUGCCUAGGUGGGGCUGCGACGUGUUGAUCUCCUGAGGCCGGGCAUGACCCAGGAAAGUGUGUCCGGCCAAAUGGGAUCGAGCAUGUUGGGUUAUGUGGUGCACCCCUGCAGGGAAGUUUAUCUAUUCGAAUAGCCGUGUCCCUCGGUAAAAGGACGACCCGGAGUUGUACCUUGACCUUAUGACAACUAGAACCGGAUACUUAAUACAACAUACCCUUCCAAGUGCCAAAUACAACCCGGUGAUUGCUCUUUAACAGGGUGACGAGGAGGGGAUCGCCGGGUAGGAUUAUGCUAUGCGAUGCUACUUGGUGAACUUACCAUCUACUCUCUUCUACAUGCUGCAAGAUGGAGUUGGCCAGAAGCGUAGUGUUCGACAGGAUUAGCUAUACCCCUCUUAUUCUGGCAUUCUGCAGUUCAGUCCACCUAUAUGGCCCUUUACACAUAUACCCAUGCAUAUGUAGUGUAGCUCCUUGCUUGCGAGUACUUUGGAUGAGUACUCACGGUUGCUUUUCUCCCUCUUUUCCCCUUUCUAUACCUGGUUGUCGCAACCAGAUGCUAGAGUCCAGGAGCUAGAGAUCCCGAGGAUGAUUCUACGUGGAGUUCGGCUUCGAGGAGUAGUUAGGAGGUCCCAGGCAGGAGGCCUUGCCUUUUCGAUCGUUGCUACUUUUGUGCUAGCCUUCUUAAGGCAAUCUUGUUUAACUUAUGUCUGUACUCAGAUAUUGUUGCUUCCGCUGACUCGUCUAUGAUCGAGCACUUGUAUUCGAGCCCUCGAGGCCCCUGGCUUGUAUUAUGAUGCUUGUAUGACUUAUUUUUAUUUUUAGAGUUGUGUUGUGAUAUCUUCCCGUGAGUCCCUGAUCUUGAUCGUACACGUUUGCGUGUAUGAUUAGUGUACGGUCAAAACAGGGGCGUCACAUGAUGUGAUCCCGUUAAUCAAAUGACAACUCAUGUCUAUGGCUAGGAAACAUAACCAUCUUUGAUCAACGAGCUAGUCAAGUAGAGGCAUACUAGUGACACUCUGUUUGUCUAUGUAUUCACACAAGUAUUAUGUUUCCGGUUAAUACAAUUCUAGCAUUAAUAAUAAACAUUUAUCAUGAUAUAAGGAAAUAAAUAAUAACUUUAUUAUUGCCUCUAGGGCAUAUUUCCUUCAAACGCUUCCGCUUUCGGUCUAUGAGGGUACGUGGACAACACUCUCCCCUCUCGUUGCUAUGCAUCACCAUGAUCUUGCGUGUGCGUAGGAAUUUUUUUGAAAUUACUGCGUUCCCCAACAGUGGCAUCCGAACCAGGUUUUAUGCGUUGAUGUUAUAUGCACGAGUAGAACACAAGUGAGUUGUGGGCGACAUAAGUCAUACUGCUUACCAGCAUGUCAUACUUUGGUUCGGCGGUAUUGUUGGAUGAAGCGGCCCGGACCGACAUUACGCGUACGCUUACGCGAUACUGGUUCUACCGACGUGCUUUGCACACAGGUGGCUGGCGGGUGUCAGUUUCUCCAACUUUAGUUGAACCGAGUAUGGCUACGCCCGGUCCUUGAGAAGGUUAAAACAUCACUAACUUGACGAACUAUCGUUGUGGUUUUGAUGCGUAGGUAAGAACGGUUGUGUCUCAGCCCGUAGCAGCCACGUAAAACUUGCAACAACAAAGUAGAGGACGUCUAACUUGUUUUUGCAGGGCAUGUUGUGAUGUGAUAUGGUCAAGACGUGAUGAGAUAUAAGUUGUUGUAUGAGAUGGUCAUGUUUUGUUGAAGUUAUCGGCAACUGGAAAAAGCCUUAUGGUUGUCUCUCUAUUGCAUAAGAUGCAAGCGCCAAAUAAUUGCUUUACUUUAUCGCUAUGCGAUAGCAAUAGUUGCAAGAGCAAUAGUUGGCGAGACGACCAUGUGACGACACAUUGAUAUAGAUCAAGAUGAUGGAGAUCAUGGUGUCAUGCCGGUGACGAUGGAGAUCAUGACGAUGCUUUGGAGAUGGAGAUCAAAGGCACAAGAUGAUGAUGGCCAUAUCAUGUCACAUAUUAUGAUUGCAUGUGAUGUUUAUCUUUUAUACAUCUUAUUUUGCUUAGUUCGGCGGUGGCAUUAUAAGAUGAUCUCUCACUAAAUUUCAAGAUAAAAGUGUUCUCCCUGAGUAUGCACCGUUGCCAAAGUUUGUCGUGCCCAGACACCUCGUGAUGAUCGGGUGUGAUAAGCUCUACGUCCAUCUACAACGGGUGCAAGCCAGGUUUGCACACGCAGAAUACUCAGGUUAAACUUGACAAGCCUAGCAUAUGCAGAUAUGGCCUCGGAACACUGAGACCGAAAGGUCGAGCGUGAAUCAUAUAGUAGAUAUGAUCAACAUAGUGAUGUUCACCAUUGAAAACUACUCCAUUUCACGUGAUGAUCGGUUAUGGUUUAGUUGAUUUGGAUCACGUGAUUACUUAGAUGAUUAGAGGGAUGUCUAUCUAAGUGGGAGUUCUUAAGUAAUAUGAUUAAUGGAACUUUAAUUUAUCAUGAACUUAGUCCUCGUAGUAUUAGCAUAUCUAUGUUGUAGAUCAAUAGCUCGCGUUGUUGCUUCCCUAUGUUUUAUAUAUGUUCCUAGAGAAAACUAAGUUGAAAAAUGAUAGUAGCAAUGAUGCGGACUGGGUCCGUGAUCUGAGGUUUAUCCUCAUUGCUACACAGAACAAUUAUGUCCUUGAUGCACCGCUAGGUGACAGACCUAUUGCAGAGCAAAUGCAGACGUUAUGAACGUUUGGCUAGCUCAAUAUGAUGACUACUUGAUAGUUUAGUGCACCAUGCUUAACGGCUUAGAAUCGGGACUUCAAAGACGUUUUGAACGUCAUGGACCAUAUGAGAUGUUCCAGGAGUUGAAUUUAAUAUUUCAAGCAAAUACCCGAGUUGAGAGAUAUGAAGUCUCCAACAAGUUCUAUAGCUAAAAGAUGGAGGAGAAUAGCUCAAGCAAUGAGCAUGUGCUCAGAUUGUCUGGGUACUACAAUCGCUUGAAUCAAGUGGGAGUUAAUCUUCCAGAUAAAAUAGUGAUUGACAUAAUUCUCUAGUCACCAUCACCAAGUUACUAGAACUUCGUGAUGAACUAUAAUAUGCAAGGGAUAACGGAAACGAUUCCCAAGCUCUUCGUGAUGCUGAAAUCGACGAAGGUGGAAAUCAAGAAAAGCAUCAAGUGUUGAUGCUUGACAAGACCACUAGUUUCAAGAAAAGGGCAAAGGGAAGAAGGGGAACUUCAAGAAGAACGGCAAGCAAGUUGCUGAGUGAAGAAGCCCAAAUCUGGACCUAAGCCUGAGACUAAGUGCUUCUACUACAAAGGGACUAGUCACUGGAAGCGGAACUACCCCAAGUAUUUGGCAGAUAAGAAGGAUGGCAAAGUGAACAAAGGUAUAUUUGAUAUACAUGUUAUUGAUGUGUACUUUACUAGUGUUUAUAGCAACCCCGCGGUAUUUGAUACUAGUUCAGUUGCUAAAAGUAGUAACUCAAAACGGGAGUUGCAGAAUGAACAGAAACUAGUUAAGGGUGAAAUGACGAUGUGUGUUGGAAGUAGUUCCAAGAUUGAUAUCAUCAUCAUCGCACACUCCCUAUACUUUCGGGAUUAGUGUUGAACCUAAAUAAAUGUUAUUUGGUGUUUGCGUUGAGCAAGAAUAUGAUUUGAUCAUGUUUAUUGCAAUACAGUUAUUCAUUUAAGUUAGAGAAUAAUUGUUAUUCUAUUUUCAUGAAUAAAACCUUCUAUGGUUAUACACCCAAUGAAAAUGGUUUGUUGGAUCUCGAUCGUAGUGAUACACAUAUUCAUAAUAUGAAGACAAAAGAUGCAAAGUUAAUAAUGAUAGUGCAACUUAUUUGUGGCACUGCCAUUUAGGUCAUAUUGGUGUAAAGCGCAUGAAGAAACUCCAUGCUGAUGGGAUUUUGGAAUCACUUGAUUAUGGAACAGUUGAUGCUUGCGAACCAUGCCUCAUGGGCAAGAUGACUAAGACUCCGUUCUCCGGAACAAUGGAGCGAGCAACACACUUGUUGUAAAUAAUACAUACUGAUGUAUGCAAUCCGAUGAGUGUUGAGGCUCGCGGCAGGUAUCAUUAUUUUCUGACCUUCACAGAUGAUUUGAGCAGAUAUGGGUAUAUCUACUUGAUGAAACACAAGUCUAAAACAUUUGAAAAGUUCAAAGAAUUUCAGAGUGAAGUGGAGAAUCAUCGUAACAAAAAUAAAAGUUUCUACGAUAUGAUCGCAGAGGUAAAAUAUUUGAGUUAUGAGUUUGGCCUUCAAUUAAAACAAUGUGGAAUAGUUUCACAAACUCAUGCCACCUGGAACACCACAGCAUAAUGGUGUGUCCGAACGUCAUAACCGUACUUUAUUGGAUAUAGUGCAAUCUAUGAUGUCUCUUACCGAUUUACCACUAUCGUUCUGGGGUUAUGCAUUAGAGACAGCUGCAUUCACAUUAAAUAGGGCACCGUCUAAUCCGUUGAGACGACACCGUAUGAACUAUGGUUUGGCAAGAAACCUAAGCUGUCGUUUCUUAAAGUUUGGGGUUGCGAUGCUUAUGUGAAAAGGUUUCAUCCUGAUAAGCUCAAACCCAAAUCGGAAAGGUGCGUCUUCAUAGGAUACCCAAAAGUUACUAUUGGGUACACCUUCUAUCAUAGAUCCGAAGGCAAGAUAUUCGUUGCUAAGAAUGGAUCCUUUCUAGAGAAGGAGUUUCUCUCGAAAGAAGUGAGUGGGAGGAAAGUAGAACUUGAUGAGGUAACUGUACCUGCUCCCUUAUUGGAAAGUAGUUCAUCACAGAAAUCUGUUCCUGUGACUCCUACACCAAUUAGAGAGGAAGCUAAUGAUGAUGAUCAUGUGACUUCUGACCAAGUUACUACCGAACCUCGUAGGUCAACCAGAAUAAGAUCCGCACAAGAGUGGUACGGUAAUCCUGUUCUGAAGGUCAUGUUACUUGACCAUGACGAACCUACGAACUAUGAGGAAGCGAUGAUGAGCCCAGAUUCCGCGAAAUGGCUUGAGGCCAUGAAAUCUGAGAUGGGAUCCAUGUAUGAGAACAAAGUGUGAACUUUGGUUGACUUGCCCGAUGAUCGGCAAGCCACAGAAAAUAAAUGGAUCUUCAAGAGGAAGACGGACGCUGAUAGUAGUGUUACUAUCUACAAAGCUAGAAUUGUCGCAAAAGGUUUUCGACAAGUUCAAGGUGUUGACUACGAUGAGAGUUUCUCACUCAUAUCUAUGCUUAAGUCUGUUUGAAUCAUGUUAGCAAUUGCCGCAUUUUAUGAAAUCUGGCAAAUGGAUAAACAAACUGCAUUCCUUAAUGGAUUUAUUAAAGAAGAGUUGUAUAUGAUGCAACAAGAAGGUUUUGUCAAUCCUAAAGGUGCUAACAAAAUAUGCAAGCUCCAGUGAUCCAUCUAUGGACUGGUGCAAGCAUCUCGGAGUUGGAAUAUACGCUUUGAUAAGUUGAUCAAAGCAUAUAGUUUUAUACAGACUUGCGGUGAAGCCUGUAUUUACAAGAAAGUGAGUGGGAGCACUACAACAUUUCUGAUAAGUAUAUGUGAAUGACAUAUUGUUGAUCGAAAAUAAUGUAGAAUUAUUCUGCAAAGCAUAAAGGAGUGUUUGAAAGGAGUUUUUCAAAGAAAGACCUCGGUGAAGCUGCUUACAUAUUGAGCAUCAAGAUCUAUAGAGAUAGAUCAAGACGCUUGAUAAGUUUUUUCAAUGAGUACAUACCUUGACAAGAUUUUGAAGUAGUUCAAAAUGGAACAGUCAAAGAAAGAGUUCUUGCAUGUGUUACAAGGUGUGAAAUUGAGUAAGACUCAAAGCCCGACCACGGCAGAAGAUAGAAAGAGAAUGAAAGUCAUUCCCUAUGCCUCAGCCAUAGGUUCUACAAAGUAUGCCAUGUUGUGUACCAGAUCUAUUGUAUACCCUACCACUGAGUUUGGCAAGAGAGUACAAUAGUGAUCUAGGAGUAGAUCACUGGACAGCGGUCAAAAUUAUCCUUAGUGGAAUAAGGAUAUGUUUCUCGAUUAUGGAGGUGACAAAAGGUUCGUCGUAAAGGGUUACGUCGAUGCAAGUUUUUUGACACUGAUCCAGAUGACUCUAAGUCUCAAUCUGGAUACAUAUUGAAAGUGGGAGCUAUUAGCUAGAGUAGCUCCGUGCAGAGCAUUGUAGACAUAGAAUUUGCAAAAUACUUACGGAUCUGAAUGUGGCAGACCCGUUGACUAAAAUUAUCUCACAAGCAAAACAUGAUCACACCUUAGUACUCUUUGGGUGUUAAUCACAUAGCGAUGUGAACUAGAUUAUUGACUCUAGUAAACCCUUUGGGUGUUGGUCACAUGACGAUGUGAACUAUGGGUGUUAAUCACAUGGUGAUGUGAAUUAUUGGUGUUAAAUCACAUGGCGAUGUGAACUAGAUUAUUGACUCUAGUGCAAGUGGGAGACUGAAGGAAAUAUGCCCUAGAGGCAAUAAUAAAGUUAUUAUUUAUUUCCUUAUAUCAUGAUAAAUGUUUAUUAUUCAUGCUAGAAUUGUAUUAACCGGAAACUUAUACAUGUGUGAAUACAUAGACAAACAUAGUGUCACUAGUAUGCCUCUACUUGACUAGCUCAUUGAUCAAAGAUGGUUGAGUUUCCUAGCCAUAGACAUGAGUUGUCAUUUGAUUAGCGGGAUCACAUCAUUAGAAGAAUGAUGUGAUUGAGUUGACCCAUUCCGUUAGCUUAGCACUCGAUCAGUUAGUAUAUUGUUAUUGCUUUCUUCAUGACUUAUACAUGUUCCUAUGACUAUGACAUUAUGCAACUCCCGUUUACCGGAGGAACACUUUGUGUGCUACCAAACGUCACAAGUAACUGGGUGAUUAUAAAGGUGCUCUACAGGUUUCUCCGAAGGUACUUGUUGGGUUGACGUAUUUCGAGAUUAGCAUUUGUCACUCCGAUUGUCGGAGAGGUAUCUCUGGGCCCACUCGGUAAUGCACAUCACUAUAAGCCUUGCAAGCAUGGUAACUAAUGAGUUAGUUGCGAGAUGAUGUAUUACGGAAUGAGUAAAGAGACUUGCCGGUAAUGAGAUUGAACUAGGUAUUGAGAUACCGACGAUCGAAUAUCGGGCAAGUAACAUACCGAUGACAAAGGGAACAACAUAUGUUGUUAUGCGGUUUGACCGAUAAAGAUCUUCGUAGAAUAUGUGGGAUCCAAUAUGAGCAUCCAGGUUUCGCUAUUGGUUAUUGACCGGAGACAUGUCUCGGUCAUGUCUACAUAGUUCUCGAACCCGUAGGGUCCGCACGCUUAAAGUUUCGAUGAUGGUUAUGUUAUGAGUUUAUGAUUUUUUAUGUACCGAAGGUUGUUCGGAGUCCCGCAUAUGAUCACGGACAUGACGAGGAGUCUCGAAAUGGUCGAGACAUAAAGAUUGAUAUAUUGGAAGCCUAUAUUUGGAUAUCGGAAGUGUUUCGGGUGAAAUUGGGAUUCUACCGGAGUACCGGGGUUACCGGAACCCCCCCCCCCGGGGGGGGGCUUAUUUGGCCUACAUGGGCCUUAGUGGAAAUAGAGGGCAACAAGGGGAGUGUGGGGCGCGCCCCCCAAGGCCCAAACCGAAUUGGUUUAAGGCAAAGGGGGCCGGCCCCCUCUUUCCUUCUCCUCCUCUCCCUUUCCUUCCCCCUCUCCUACUCCUACUAGGAAUAGGAGGAGUCCUACUCCUAGUGGGAGUAGGACUCCCCCUUGGCGCGCCUCUCCCUGGCCAGCCGCCUCCUCCCCUUGCUCCUUUAUAUACGGGGGCAAGGGGGCACCCCAGAGACAAAACAAUUGAUCGUUUGAUCUUUUAGCCGUGUGCGGUGUCCCCCUCCACCAUAGUCCACCUCGAUAAUACUGUAGCGGAGCUUAGGCGAAGCCCUGCGUCGGUAGAACAUCAUCAUCGUCACCACGCCGUCGUGCUGACGAAACUCUCCCUCAACACUCGGCUGGAUCGGAGUUCGAGGGACGUCAUCGGGCUGAACGUGUGCUGAACAUGGAGGUGCCGUGCGUUCGGUACUUGAUCGGUCGGAUCGUGAAGAUGUACGACUACAUCAACCGCGUUGUGUUAACGCUUCCGCUUUCGGUCUACGAGGGUACGUGGACAACACUCUCCCCUCUCGUUGCUAUGCAUCACCAUGAUCUUGCGUGUGCGUAGGAAUUUUUUUGAAAUCACUACAUUCCCCAACAGAAUGGUGGAGCUGUCAGUUGGUGCAGUUCUAAACAAAGCGUCGUGGCGGGAUCUACGUGUGAAGCGGAAUACAUAGCUGCUUCGGAAGCAGCAAAUGAAGGAGUCUGGAUGAAGGAGUUCAUAUCCGAUCUAGGUGUCAUACCUAGUGCAUCGGGUCCAAUGAAAAUCUUUUGUGACAAUACUGGUGCAAUUGCCUUGGUGAAGGAAUCCAGAUUUCACAAGAGAACCAAGCACAUCAAGAGACGCUUCAAUUCCAUCCGGGAUUUAGUCUAGGUGGGAGACAUAGAAAUUUGCAAGAUACAUACGGAUAUGAAUGUUGCAGACCCGUUGACUAAGCCUCUUCCACGAGCAAAACAUGAUCAGCACCAAGGCUCCAUGGGUGUUAGAAUCAUUACAGUGUAAUCUAGAUUAUUGACUCUAGUGCAAGUGGGAGACUGAAGGAAAUAUGCCCUAGAGGCAAUAAUAAAGUUAUUAUUUAUUUCGUUAUAUCAUGAUAAAUGUUUAUUAUUCAUGCUAGAAUUGUAUUAACCGGAAACAUAAUACUUGUGUGAAUACAUAGACAAACAGAGUGUCACUAGUAUGCCUCUACUUGACUAGCUCGUUGAUCAAAGAUGGUUAUGUUUCCUAGCCAUUGACAUGAGUUGUCAUUUGAUUAACGGGAUCACAUCAUUAGGAGAAUGAUGUGAUUGACUUGACCCAUUCCGUUAGCUUAGCACACGAUCGUUUAGUAUUCUGCUAUUGCUUUCUUCAUGACUUAUACAUGUUCCUAUGACUAUGAGAUUAUGCAACUCCCGUUUACCGGAGGAACACUUUGUGUGCUACCAAACGUCACAACGUAACUGGGUGAUUAUAAAGGUGCUCUACAGGUGUUUCCGAAGGUAUUUGUUGGGUUGGCGUAUUUCGAGAUUAGGAUUUGUCACUCCGAUUGUCGGAGAGGUAUCUCUGGGCCCACUUGGUAAUGCACAUCACUUAAGCCUUGCAAGCAUUGCAACUAAUGAGUUAGUUGCGGGAUGAUGUAUUACAGAACGAGUAAAGAGACUUGCCGGUAACGAGAUUGAACUAGGUAUUGAGAUACCGACGAUCGAAUCUCGGGCAAGUAACAUACCGAUGACAAAGGGAACAACGUAUGUUGUUAUGCGGUCUGACCGAUAAAGAUCUUCGUAGAAUAUGUGGGAGCCAAUAUGAGCAUCCAGGUUCCGCUAUUGGUUAUUGACCAGAGACGUGUCUCGGUCAUGUCUACAUAGUUCUCGAACCCGUAGGGUCCGCACGCUUAAAGUUUCGAUGACAGUUAUAUUAUGAGUUUAUAUUUUUUUGAUGUACCAAAGGUUGUUCGAAGUCCCGGAUGUGAUCACGGACAUAACGAGGAGUCUCGAAAUGGUCGAGACAUGAAGAUUGAUAUAUUAGACGACUAUAAUCGGACACCGGAAUGGUUCCGGGGGUUAUCGGAUAUAUACCGGAGUACCGGGGGUUACCGGAACCCCCCCGGGGGAUUAAUGGGCCUAUAUGGGCCUUUGUGGAGAAGAGGAGGGGCGGCCAGGGCAGGCCGCGCGCCCCCUCCCCCUCUAGUCCGGAUUGGACAAGGAGGGGGAGGGCGCGGCGCCCCCCUUUCCUUCUUCUCCUCCUCCUCUUUCCCCCCUUCUCCUAAUCCAACAAGGAAGGGAGGGAGUCCUACUCCCGGUGGGAGUAGGACUCCUCCUGGCGCGCCCCUCUCCUGGCCGGCCGCCUCUCCCCCUUGCUCCUUUAUAUACGGGGGCAGGGGGCACCCCAAAGACACAACAAUUGAUCUGUUGAUCUUUUAGCCGUGUGCGGUGCCCCCCUCCACCAUAGUCCACCUCGAUAAUAUUGUAGCGGUGCUUAGGCGAAGCCCUGCGUCGGUAGAACAUCAUCAUCGUCACCACGCCGUCGUGCUGACGAAACUCUCCCUCAACACUCGGCUGGAUCGGAGUUCGAGGGACGUCAUCGGGCUGAACGUGUGCUGAACUCGGAGGUGCCGUGCGUUCGGUACUUGAUCGGUCGGAUCGUGAAGACGUACGACUACAUCAACCGCGUUGUGCUAACGCUUCCGCUUUCGGUCUACGAGGGUACGUGGACAACACUCUCCCCUCUCGUUGCUAUGCAUCACCAUGAUCUUGCGUGUGCGUAGGAAUUUUUUUGAUAUUACUACGUUCCCCAACAUUCCCCCCGUCGCUCGCAGGAGCGAUGCGGGGGUUCACGAAAGGGGCGUCUCUCAACAGUCAACCUUAUUCAACCUUCACGGAGUUGCCGCUGCCGCCUCGCCUCAUGGAACAAAAAAAAACACCUAAAACACAAAGCAGGAUCCCUCAAGGGCCGGGGUCCACCGCGCCUCCAUGGCCCCACGAUCAACGAAGAUGAGGCGGACCAGCGGCAGCGCUGACAGGGGCAGAGGAACCCUAAGCUAUUUUCAUGUCAAAUUCAAGUGUGUCUGUUCUCCUAUUAAUCAGCAUCUCAUUGCAUAGUCUACAUCAUACUGGAAUCAGCUGGAACUCUACAUCACCAUCAUACAUACAGGAAAAAAAGACCAGGAAGGUAUUCUACAAUGGAGGAUCAUCAGGACGACAUCUUCGGGUUUGCCUUCUCCCACCCGCCGCAGGAGUCGUCGCAGCAGCUCUCCUCGCCGAUGACCCUGUUGACGGUCCUGCCGACGCAGCUGGAGGAGGCACAGCCGCCGUCCCUGGCGUUGUCGAAGUCCGGCGCGAAGCCGAGGAACAUCGGCGGCUGCGUCUCCAUCCCGUGGUUGCUGCCCAGCGUCCCGUACUGCUUCUCGACGCCGCCGUCCUCCCGGAACCUGACCUUGCACCCGCCGCCGUCCUCCCUGCAGAGGAGCAGGUCGUGGCCGGGGUUCCAGAAGAUGCGCACGCCGUGCGCCCAGCAGAGGUUGGCGCCGCGGUAGGAGCAGAGCACCUCGAACACCUCGUCGCCGCGCACCGCCGGGAUCGACAUGCGCGCCUCCUCCGCGCUGGGGAUCUCCGCCCGCUCCGACCAGACCGGCGCGCUCAGGUUGUGCUCGCUGUAGCCGUGGCACAGCAGCUGCACGUUGCCGUCCGCCAUGUCCAGCUCCUCGCCCACCUGCUGCUCGUUGGUCACCACGAUCAGCAGCUUCGGCGCGGCGCCCGGCAGGAACGGGGACGGCAGGCGGGGGCACCGGUACCGGAGGAAGUAGCUGGUCGCCACCACCGCGGCAAUCAAGACGGCGAGGACCACGAUCUUGACCGGCCCCGCGGCCAUGACGGCGACGACAACGACGAUGAUGCUGCGACGGCGGUGGCGCGCCGGCGGAACUUAGGACCGUGGAGAUGGGGCUGCGCGUACGUGUGCGGUCGAGGCUGGCAUGCAAAGUGGCGCGCGCCUCGCUCAUGCAUGUUUCGCCGUGAUCCUUCCUUGGGCUGAGGGAGGCCACAGCGGAGGAAGGCAAACUUAGGCAGCGGACAGAGACGAAUGAGCUCGUUUUUUCCUCUAGGAGGCAAGAGCUGCACUGCCUAAUUUUGGGGUGUUUGCUCACCUGGCUAAAUUUGCCGAUUGACCAAGAACACAUGAAAUGCAACACUCAAAUAUCAUGCCAACUUUUAUUCUCAUUUGGUAGAGCAAAGCAUGCUCUGAAGUCUGAAUUAUGGUUCCAUUCGAACAACAGUAGGCAUAUGGUUCCAUUCGAACAACAGUAGGCAUAAACUCAGCAAGAUGAUGACAACAUCAGGAUGGUUGGGUAAUUCAGAAGCACUCCAUAUAUAUCAGUGCUGCAGCAGGUCUCUGAACCAGUAGGCCGACGCCUUGGGGUGCCGAUCCAGGGUGGGGCUGUUGAAGUCGACGUACACGAUGCCAAACUUGGAUGAGUAGCCGGAGAUCCACUCGAAGUUGUCGAGGAGAGACCACGCGAAGUAGCCGAGGACGUUGGCGCCGCCGUCGAUGGCCUUCUUCAGCUCGCUGAGGUAGCUCCGGUAGAACCGGACCCUCGUCGCGUCCCGCAAGUACUGGUCGCGGGUGAGGCCCCCCGGCUGAUCCAUUCCUGGCAACAUGAUGAUAACAAGGUUAGUAUAUGCAUGACAAGAUGAGUGAGAGGCAUGAAACCGAGCAAAGAUGAUAUGGAGCUUCAAAAAAGGAUGAAGUAUUUAUCCAGUACCGUUUUCGGUUAUGACAAUAGCUGGGUUUCCAUACUUCUGGCUGAGGUAGUGCACGCAUCCGUACAUCCCCGACGGGACGAUGUAAAGCCAGUUAGAAUUCGCCUACAAGAGUUCACAAGGAUUGAUCAUGUUAAUUUUGAACACAACGGUGCAAAUAAUGUCCGAGAAAAUAGAGCUGAAAAAGGUUGCAGCUAAGAGCUACACACACACCUUUGGUCCAAUCGGUUUGCCAUUUCUCUCAACUGCAAAGAUUUCGGCGAUGAUUAAAAGGGUGAACCGACAAUAUUCAUCGGAAUGCGAUGAUGUAAAACCUAGAGCUUGGGACAAGAAACUCACAGGCAUAGGUAACCUGCCAAUCGGCUGAGUAGCUGGUCGGCGUCUGCUGCGUCAACUUCUGCCCCUUCAUGAGGCUGGCCGUGUACUGGUUGAUCCCAAUGUAGUCUGCUGAGCCCUUGACCAAUUUAGCUUCAUCGGGAGUGAACCUGGGCAACCUCUCUUUCACAAGGUCUUGCAUUAUCUGUGGGUAAUGCCCGUUUAUUAGCGGGUCGACAAACCUGCAUCCAAAUGCAACGUUGAUGGCAUAAGCGUCGGUGUCAUAUUUUGUUUAUCGAUCUGAAAUGCUUUGUCAGAGGAUGCUAGUAUGGCUUACCAGCCAACAUGGAAGUCCCUGGCUCUUUGGGCUGCUGCUUGGUCUUCAGUUGAGUUGGUAAGAGCCUCAUACCAGUUGAAGUCCAGAACUAUUCCAACCUUCCCCUUCUGAGCUGCCUACAUUUUAAAAAAAA
Molecule: long non-coding RNA, 125445 nt
Filed under: Triticum aestivum (bread wheat)
Lineage: Eukaryota; Viridiplantae; Streptophyta; Magnoliopsida; Poales; Poaceae
Description: long non-coding RNA (TAES_LNC004030)
Source: RNAcentral